RNAcentral lists this long non-coding RNA (90853 nucleotides) under Coffea arabica (coffee). Its description in RNAcentral is "long non-coding RNA (CARA_LNC005599)". Lineage: Eukaryota; Viridiplantae; Streptophyta; Magnoliopsida; Gentianales; Rubiaceae. The record is from RNAcentral.
CUUGUUCAAUUAUGGUCAGCUGAAAGAUUUGUAGGAAAGAGAGAAGGAAUGACAAUGAAAGAUGUAGGCUUCAAUUACCUAAGAGAACUGGUCAAUAGGAGCCUAAUUCAAGUGACUGAAAGUUUUUACGAAGGAAUCCCCGAGACUUGUCGAAUCCAUGAUCUAGUGCGAGAAGUUAUUCUUUCCAAGUCAAGGGAACAAAAUAUGAUCACAAUUACUAAUAUGAUCACAAUUACUACUGGACAAUACACAAGGUGGUUAUCUGAGAAGGUACGCCGUUUGGUAGUCCAUAGUAGUAGCAACAACACCGAGCAGCACCAGGAAAGCCAAUAUUAUUGCUUUAACCACCUUCGAUCGUUUAUUACGAUUGGAUCCAUGAAUCCACUGAUAUCCAGAGCCUUGUUAUCUAAAGCUUUAAAGAGUAGCAGAUUGUUAAAGGUUUUGGAUUUGAGUGAUGAAGAGACAUUGGAGGAAAUCCCAAAUGAGAUUUUCAACUUGUAUCAUCUCAGGUAUCUGAACCUAUAUGGGACAGGAGUUAAAGCAGUCCCGAAAUUCAUAGGAAAGCUUCGUAAUUUGGAGUAUUUGGAUUUGGGUGAAACUCAAGUCAAGGAAUUACCCAUGGAAAUCCUGAAGCUACAAAAGCUUGAGCAUCUUAUGGUACGCACAAAAGUUGAUGUUUCUGAUGAAGCUUAUGGAUAUCAUGGGUUUAAAGCUCCAUCAAAAUUGGGAGGACUUCUUGCCCUACAAUCAUUAACAGCCAUAGAUGCAAGUAGCGGAUCCGUAAUAGUUAAAGAGAUAGGAACAUUGACUCAAUUAAGACGAUUAGUGAUUUCAAAUCUGAGAAGAGAAGAUGGAAAGGAGCUCUGCUCCUCCCUUGCCACCCUCACUAGUAUUCAGCUACUACACAUUGGUUCAAUUAGAAAUGAUGGUGGUGAUUAUGAGGUACUGGAUCUGAAUCAUCAUCAUCAACAACAACAUUCUCGUUCAUCUUCAAUGUCUUUUUCAUUUCUCCAAUCUCUUCGUAUGCUAACAUUGUGUGGCCGCUUAGAAAAGAUGCCACAAUGGAUAGCUCAUCUUCAAAGCUUGGUAAGAAUAGAUUUGAACUGGAGCAGUUUAAGGGAUGAGGAGGAUCCGCUUGAACCGCUCCACCAUUUGCCAAAUUUGGUUACUAUUCAAUUUUGUAGAUCUUACCAAGGAGAGGGGUUGUGUUUCAAGGCUGGAAGAUUCCCGAAGUUAAAGGAUUUGUACCUAGAGAAAUUACAAAAGUUGAAAUGGCUGAAAGUGGAGGAGGGUGCAUUACCCAGUCUCCACGAACUUAGUCUGGAUACACUUCCAUUGCUAGAGGAGUUACCUUUGGGAAUUCAGCACUCAAGGAAUCUUCGAAAACUGUAUUUGGUUGAGUUGAGUUCUCAACUGAUUGAGAAGCUGGAGAAUCUAAAUGAAGAUACUGAAGAUUAUAGAAAAAUUGCACACAUUUCUGAAGUUGUCAUUGAAUUGUGGACAGAUGAGGGAUGGAAACGUCGCCGGCUAUGGGGGAAGAAGAUGUAAAUAUUCCUCUUUUAGUAGCCCUGCCUUCCUAUUUCUUUUUAUUUUCUUUUUGCACUUUUGUUUGUAACUUCUAAGUUUAUAAUUUGCUUUAUCUUUUAUCUUGUUGUAUAAAUAUUGUAUUGCAUAAUCUUGUUUAUAUGCGGUAUUGCACUCUUUUUUUUUUUUUUGCUUAUUUACUUUUUCUUUAAUUGAUUUAGCAAAUAAUUUAGAGGUUGCAGGUUACAAGUCUAUUAGUAUCUUGCACACAAUUUCAAUAUACAAUCCAGAACACUAGCCUAAGAUUUUGGUACAAAAUUAAUACAUGUAGCCUAUGUUUAUACACUAGUAUGACUUAGAAAUUGAUUUCUCUAGUAAUUAAUAAUAUAGUAAUUUUUGGAAAAAUAAUGGUUGUAUCAGUUCUCUAUGCUCAUCCAUCUGUAUUUUUGUGACAAAUUUUGAAGGAACACAUUAAUAUUUUUAAGUAAAUUAUUUUCAAUCAUGCCCAACUGCUAUGUAUGAAUAAAUAUUAUGUCAACGAUAUGACAAAUCCACUUAUUACAGUCAUGAAAACAAUUUCUUUUUCUAUGAAUUCAUAAUCGAAUGUUUGCACUGUAAUGCCCAAUACACCAAGGUUCAUUUUUAAACCAACAAUAUUGAAGUUGCUAAAAUUGAGAACUUUUACAUCGCACGCUAUAAUUUCUUCUUCUUGUGAUAAAUACUGGUGUAAUACAUCACAAUCAUGGUUUAGUACUUACCACUAUUUGUUGAUGAAUGCAGUCAUAUUCAUAAUCAAUAUUUGUAAGGCAACAAAGAAGUAUAAAAACCAAAUAAUAGUGCUUUGUUUGGAAACCAAUUUUUCUCCAAAAAAAAUUUAAGUUUUUUUGUGAAUAUAGUUUUGAAUCACCUUUUUAUCUCACACGCAUUAAACCGUUACAACGCAUUUUUUAUGUAAAAAUUCUAGAAAAUAACAAUCCAAAUGAGACGUUUAGUGUCCUUAAAACACAAAUACUUCUCGACAUUAUUUGGGAUUGUCACAGACCAUGGCGUUAUAUAACAAACUAACGUGUUGGAAGUGGAAGAGUCCUUGAACAACACAGAGAAAUAGGAAAGCUCAGGUCUAGUAAUUAUGGCCUCGGAUUAAUAAUUUUGAAGUUUCAGGAAAGAAUUCAGAGUACUCUAGAAACAUACAGGCUCAAAUUUUGUGCGGCUAUUCUUUGCUUAGUCCUAAAUCAAUUCAUUCCAUAGAUGCAAUUCGUGCCAGUGAUUAUUGGUGCAACUGAUGGACAAGAAAUCUAUGAUCUAAUAGAGCUCAAAUUACUUCAAUUACUGAAGACCUGUUUAAACUUUCAUGCAGCUUUUGAUGAAAAGCCAUAAAAUAGUCUAUUUCCACGCUGCAAAAGACAUACACCUAAAGGAAAAGAUUACAAGACAAGACAAACAUAUCAAAUGAUGCUUUAAAGAAAAAAGCAUAUCAAAUGAUGCUAAUAGAAGAUUUAGACUAUGUUUUCAGACUCGGACCGGCAAUCGACUCGGCCGAACUCAGGGGUCAGGGGUCAAUGUGUUCGAUUCGAUAAGGGGUCAAACCAGAUAACGUCAUAAAUACGUCAUAUAUAUAUAUAUAUAUUCUGCAAAUCAAAUUUACAAAAUAUAACCAACAACCCAAUCAUCCAAAUUUAUAUCCAUUUCACCGAACAAUUCACCAAAUUCAUCCAAAUUCACAAAAUUUACAAAAUAGGAAUCCCAUACAUGUUCAAUCCUUGACAAAUAGCAAUCCAAAUAAGGCAACAAGUUCAUGUUCAAUCCUUGAUAAACAUCAAUACAACACUAAAAAACUGGCACAAUCAGAGGAUUCUUACAUCUUCCCGCUUGUUCAAUACUGAAGGACCUGAAGUGAGGAUUAUACUACUAAUUGAGAAAUUCACUAAUGGACCAAACCAGCAAAACUUUUAUAUUUUACAUCCCAUGUUCCAGCCACGGUCAGAAAAGAAUAUAGUUAAUAUAUCUAAAAGAUGCAAUUGCAAUUCUUUGCACUUAAGAAUGGCGUCAACAUGUUGACUUAACCUUCUACUCAAAGUGCAUAUUGUAUGUCAUAUAGGCCACACUUUUUUUCAAACUCACAUAAAAGAAAAGCAUAUCUGAAGCAUCUUGAGACCAUCAAAAGAUUCACAAGAAUUUUCAAGUCAUAUCAACUUUAGGAACUACAAGAGUAUAUGAACCCAGAUUUUUUAUAAGUUACCACACUAUCAAGAAUGUAGCACUCGAUUAGAAACAAAGAGACUGCCAAAUCUAACUAUAAAGAACAUACAAGAUCAAUACAAACUGGACCAGCAUGCAAGAACUUAACCUUUUUGUAAUCUAAUGCAUCCUAUAAGUUACAAGAAUUUUCAAGUCAAAUCAAAAGAUUCACAAGAAUUUUCAAGUCAUAUCAACUUUAGGAACUACAAGAGUAUAUGAACCCAGAUUUUUUAUAAGUUACCACACUAUCAAGAAUGUAGCACUCGAUUAGAAACAAAGAGACUGCCAAAUCUAACUAUAAAGAACAUACAAGAUCAAUACAAACUGGACCAGCAUGCAAGAACUUAACCUUUUUGUAAUCUAAUGCAUCCUAUAUUUGUCAAUUAUCACAAAAUUGAAAGUCUAGAAUUUAAUAAGCAGGUUAAAGCUCUCAGCUAAUACCCUGCCAUCAAGUUUACAUGAAACUUAUAACUUUCUGUUAUAUAGAAGUAACUGAAACCAUCUGCCUAAGGGCAUCUUUUACAAUGUCCCCACUCAAUUUUCGUCAUUAUAGUCAGAAUACUGCCAAUGAAGUGGUACGAAAAAACACUUGAGGAAAACAAACCAAUCAAUAAGGAGGUAAGACUGACGAACCAAGCAAGAAAGAAAGGUUCAAAAGGGUUUUUCGUUUCCUUUUCAUAAGAAACCAGAAACGCCUAAAAAAUGUUCAAGUCCUUGAGGCCUAAUUCCUCCGAAUCAAAGAAAUGGCCCAAUAAAAAAUGUCCAGAGAAAAGGGCAGAAAUAUUCUUCUAUUCCAUCUAUUUUUUCCCCCACAAUAACAUCCAGAGCAUAACGAUUUUCUUUCCAUCAUCAAGCAAAAGUGAAGAAUAUAAUUAGUCUCAGAUUCUAAAAAUUACCAGAUUGAGCUCUGACCUCGCGCGUUGCUUGAGCCUUGAACUCUGAAGAAACUAGCGAUGCUGCAACGGUGGAGGCUAGAGGUUGAACGACACAUGAUCGGCGGCAAUCGCGAUUAGGAAACGAUCAGUGAUUAUGAAGAGACGGCGGUGGAGGUUUUCAGGGUUAAUCUCAGAUUCUCAGGAACGAACGAAAGAGAGAAGCAGAGAGUUGCGUUUGUCUAAUUUCGUUCCAUUUUUUCCUUUUCUUUUUGUUUUUUCAGUCAAUCAAGUAUUGAGUCCAAUUUUUUAAUAAAAAAAAGGCAAAAAAAAGAAAAAAAGAAAAAACCGGGGUUAAUUUGAUUCUCCGGUUCACCGGUCAAACCCAAGUUCUGACCGGGUUUGGCCGAUUUUUUAAUCCCAAGUUUUUUACCUAGCUCGGAGCGGAUGCCUGGCCGAUUUCCGGUUUGACCGGCCAGUCCAGUCUGAGUCUGAAAACACAGGAUUUAGAUGUACAAUCUGCCCCUCCCCGCAAGCUACGCACAAUGCUACCACAUAAAUCUCAGUAUGUACCAAAUAGAAAGCAAAUGAUUGCUGGUAUCAAUUACCAAAAGUAAGCUAAAUGCUGACGUGCCAUUUGAAGCUGCAUCUGUGUGAGUGUGCGCAGAACCCUAGAGAGAAAGUGUCUGAGAUUUAUAUUUUACAAGUCAUGUAACUUGUAAUGAUGCCCACAACUAUCAAAAUUACGUAUUUAUAUCAUAUCUAACCAAAUUCCUUGCAUCCUAUGCAUCAUAAGAUGCUUUGCCCUGCAAAUUCCUAGAAAGUUCUAUGCAAAGGGAGGAUGCUUUUCCAUGCAACACUUUCCGAGAAAAAUUCUAUGCAAAGAACUCAAAGGGAAGAAGGUCAACCCAAUACCAGGAAGGAUUCACACGAUUCAGAUAUUGCCGCAUCAUGGGUCUGAUUCAUGUGUCUCUAUCCUUCAAGUUGACUAAACCAGUCUGUAUUUGUUCUUGUGAGGACUCUAGUGUCAUUCAAAGAAAGUGUCUUAAGACCUUGAGCAACGGCAUCUACAGGCGUGUAUAUAUCUCUCACUUGCCAUCUAGGUUCCUGAUCGUCCAACAAAACAAAUUUCAGCAUAAAUGGAGAAUAAAAAGAAGAAAUUUUGUUAGAGAACAAUCGUUGACCAUGUCAUUGUUCUCAUUACCGUGCUACUUUCCAAUUUUUUAUCAAAAGUAACUUAAAGAUCAUGCUAAAUAAUACAUACACAGUUAGCAUAACAUACAAGGCGCAGCGCAACAUGUCAGCAUAAAUUCCCAGAAAGCGAAGGUCUAGAGAUUAUGAUACAAAAGGAGCACAAAGUUACUGCAGCAUACCUGUAUGCAAGGUGUAAUAUGAGUUCCAUUCAAUAUUAUUUUCUGUAGUUUUCCACCAAUAGAUUCCACUCAAGGCUUCAGUGUCUCUUCAAGAAUGUCAGUCUCAUCAAUUGCAUCAACAUUGAACUUGACCUGAAAAAAGAAUCAGAUAGACUAAAAAGUGAACAUCGAAGUUGGAGCAAUUCAAUCAAUUCUUGUACUUGAAUAACAUGCUCAAACCAGUAAUGUACACUGAACACUGUAUGACUUCUGGAAACAGUCGAGAUUCUUAGAGGGUGCUGGCCUCAACUCUGAAAUUCCUUCAGCAAGCUGAAGUAACAUCCAUUUGAGGCAGAUUGAGGAUUAGAGAAUGACCAGAAGACAGAAAGAGCAACUGAGGAUGCUCACCUCGGCCGCCCCGCAUGCCCGAGGUGAACUCACCUCGUCCGUCAUCAGAGCUCAUCCGUGUCUCGGGCAUAUCCCUUAAGCUCGGCCGGAUCCCCAGUCUACCGUGUAGGUGACCUCGGCACCUCCACCUCAGCUGCACGCGGAUGAUGCCAAGACACCUGACAUCAUCCCGGAUCAGUGCUUUAUCUGAAAAGCACUGUCGCACUUAAUGACUACUGCGAAGGACUCCUCGUCACCCUGUCCAGGCGGCUACAGUGUCAGAGUCAGGCCCCCCGACAGGGAGCAGACCCGUAAUGGCAGGACAUGGGUCCCACCGGCAUAAGACCUCCGUCCUGCCCUUCACUCUCACUCUAUAAAUACCCCACACACUCCCAACAAGUAAACACACUGUUCAUUCUCAUAUACUAUUAUCUUUCUCAUUCUCAUACUAACUUAAUCGUCGGAGUGAUACCAGGGGAGAAGCCCCGCCAUCCACUUCAGACGUGAGGAUACACCUCACUUCAUCUCAGAGGGGCUUGAUUCGGGUCGGUUCAACUACCCACCGAAAAUCACCUCUUCAAUUGGCGCCGUCUGUGGGAACGAGAUCACUGUUAAAAUGAGAUCCACGCGCUCCAGAAGCGGAAGAGUUCCCUCAAUUGGGGUUGGGCAGACCUCGGGAGCCCAGCAAGAUCGUAUUUCUGAAGAACAAGGGUCUCCAAGAACCCAGCCCAAUAACGAAGACGCCAUCGCCAAGAUGGCCGAGUUCGUGGCUGAUAACCCAAACAUCUUUGAAGAACUGGGGAGGUACUUCAAAAGGCAGGGGAAGGAAAAGGCCGAGUCUUCAAAGCGAAGGCCGACGAAGUCUCCUGAAGUGCCCUCAGGGGAGGACUCCGAUGAGGGGCGUCCCUCUCGGAGCACCUCUAGGCGCGCCUCCUCCAAGGCGACCUCUAAAAUGGCCUCCAUCUCCAGGGCAUUUUCCCGGGGACUGCUAGGGAAACGCGCCGAGAACCCACCUCGGCGCCCCGGGGGCCUAGCUACUGACUACAUGAGGGCUCCGCCCUUCACUGAUGACAUCAAUGGGGAGAUGGUGCCCCCAAACUUUAAGCUUCCAAAUUUGCACACCUAUGACGGCCGAGAUGACACCGAGGAUCACCUCCGCGCCUUCAUCUCCGCAUUCUGACUCUACUGCGUCCCCGACGCCGUGAUCUGUCGGGCUUUCCCCAUCUUCCUACACGGGACCGCCCGAAAGUGGUUCUGGAGUUUAGAACCGGGGAGCAUCUACUCCCUGGAUGAGCUGAUAGACCGGUUCAUCCACCGCUUCGUGUCGUCUCGACCAAUAACAAAGACUUCAGCUUACCUCUUGAACCUGCAACAGGGUCAGGGCGAGUCACUUCGCUCAUACGCCCAAAGGUUCAAUGAGGAGAAUGUACAGAUACCUGACCAGAACGAGCAGGUAACUAUCGCUGCCUUCACCAACGGGUUAGUGGCAGGGAUCUUUAACACCGAAAUCCAUCGGCAGUACCCCCAUACACUUCGGGAGCUCUGGGAAAGAGUGGACCAGGGAAUCCGAAGUGAAGAUGUAAAUCGCAUGAAGCGAGAAUCCCAAGCAUCUCGUACCGGGCAAGAUCCCCGGAGGAGGAAAGACACAGGCCGAAGUGAACAAGGCCGAGGUGAACAAGGCCCAAGUGGCACUUCAAACCAACUCCGAGACCGCCGAAGUGUCUUCGACCGGAUCGUGAAAGGCAGAUCAUCCAUCUCGGACGCCGAGCUGACCCCCCUCAAUUCGAGUUGGACCCACGUCCUGGCUGUGAUGAGGCAGAAUCACCUCGGCCGCAAUCCUCCCGAAAUUCCGGGGAGGAGAGAUAAAAGGAACUCGAACCUCUACUGUGCCUACCACCGUGAUGUAGGGCACGAGACUGAAGACUGCAAUGACCUGAAGCGGGAAAUCGAGAAUUUGAUCCGGCAAGGAUACCUGAAGCAAUUUGUCCGCAAGGAUGGAGGCUUCAACCGAAGCGUCUCCCACCGGGAGAACCGGGGCCCCCGCCGAGACGACCGACAAGACACGAACAUGCAUUGCCGAGGUCCCGAGGACCGUAGGGAGGACAAGCAGCCCCCACGCGAUGGCUCACCGGGCUACGGCCCCAACAUCGCCAGGGUGAUCAACACCAUCGCGGGAGGACCAACGGGAGGAGACAGCCAGAACUCCCAGAAGCGGACCUACCGCCAGGCCGAGAUGGAGGUGACCGAGCCGAGCUCUCGGCUGUCCGAGGUCAUCACCUACGGUCCCGCUGACCCCGUUCCUACGGCCUCCAGCAAUCAUGAAGCUCUUGUGAUUGAAGUCCUCACCAACAACUACGUAGUCAAAAAGGUCUACGUAGACCCCGGAAGCUCGGUAGACGUCCUGUACUACCGAACUUUCGAAAGUUUGAAACUGACCAGGGAGCAACUCACUCCUGUCAGAACUCCCCUCGUGGGAUUCGGGGGACACGUCGUCCACCCGGAGGGCAUGUUGACCCUGAUGGUAACAAUCGGGCGUCAUCCACGCUGCCGAACUGUGCCUGUCAGUUUUGCGGUGGUCAAAGCAGACUCCCCCUACAAUAUGCUGAUAGGCCGGCCCACGCUCAAUGCCUUGAGAGCCGUAUACUCCACCUACCACCUGAGCUUUAAAUUUCCAACAUCUGCGGGGGUGGCCGAGGUGAGCAGCGAUGUGGGCGCCGCCCGGGAGUGCUACCUCGCCACCAUUCAAGCAGCAGUCACCCCCCGGCCCUCACCGAGGUCAGAAGAAAAGAGACCAGCGGUCCUCUCCAUAGACUGCAUCAACCCUCAGAAGGCAGAAGAGCCCAACAGGCUGGAGCCCGGGGAUGAGGUGGAACUGGUGGUAGUGGAUGAAGCGAAACCUGACCAAGUGCUCCAAGUAGGGGCUGGACUACCCUCACCCCUGAAAGAAGAAAUGAUCUCCCUGAUCAAAGACCACCGAGACGUCUUCGCGUGGUCCGCGGAUGAAGUGGUCGGAGUGCCACCCGAGCUCUUGAUUCACCAACUCAACGUUGACCCACAGGCCCGACCUGUGCGACAGAAACGAAGGCACUUCGGCCCCGAACGUAGUCAGGCCAUAUCGGAUGAGGUCGACAAGCUCUUGCCGGCCAAAAUGAUCUACGAAGUCCAAUAUCCCACCUGGCUGUCCAAUCCAGUCAUGGUCAAAAAGGACACCGGUGGAUGGAGAAUGUGUGUCGACUUCACCGACCUCAACAAGGCCUGCCCCAAAGAUUGCUAUCCUCUGCCGAGGAUAGACGCCCUCGUCGACGCGGCGAUGGGGUAUGAAAUCCUCUGCUUCCUAGAUGCCUUCAAAGGGUAUCAUCAAAUAGGAAUGAGUGAGGAGGACCAAGAGAAAACGGCGUUCUACACCGACCGAGGUACUUAUUGUUACACUACCAUGCCCUUCGGGCUAAAGAACGCCGGGGCGACCUACCAAAGGCUGAUCAACCGACUCUUCCAGAAUCAGAUCGGCCGCAAUGUGGAGUCCUAUGUGGAUGACAUCCUCGUUAAAAGCCUCGCCACUUCAUCCUUUCUGUUAGACGUGAGGGAAGUCUUUGGAGUCCUACGAGACUCGAGGAUGAAGCUGAAUCCCAAGAAGUGCGUCUUCGGCGUCACCUCGGGAAAAUUCUUGGGGUAUCUGGUUUCCCACCGGGGAAUCGAGGCCAACCCCGACAAGGUGAAGGCCAUUCAGGACAUGUCCCCACCUCGGAACAUCCGAGAAGUCCAACGGCUAAAUGGACGCCUGGCCGCGCUGAAUCGCUUCCUGUCCCAAUCAGCUGAGAAAGCUCUGCCCUUCUUUAAGGUGCUCAAGAAGGCUGAUCAGUUUGCCCGGACGGAAGAGUGCCAGGCCGCUUUCGACAAGCUGAAGCAAUACCUCUAUCACCUACCAACUCUCGCUUCAUCUCGGCCCGAGGAGAAGCUCUACCUCUACCUCUCCGCAGCCGACGAGGCUGUCAGCGCUGUUCUUAUCCGGGAUGAGGGCACCCAAGUGCCAGUCUACUAUGUCAGCCGGGCUCUCCGCGGACCAGAGACUCGAUACACUCAGGUGAAAAAACUGGUGCUGGGGCUAGUCCACGCCGCUCGGCGGCUGUAGCCCUAUUUCUUGGCUCAUCCCAUAUCCGACAGGACCGACCAGCCUCUCCGACAGAUACUGGUUCGACCCGAGGCCUCCGGGCGUCUCACCAAAUGGGCUGUGGAAUUGGGAGAAUAUGACUUGUCAUACGAGCCCCGCACCGCCAUAAAAGCACAGGCCCUAGCCGAUUUUCUGGCCGAGUUGACCUUCACGGAAGGCCCAGAGUCCACCUCCGCCAGUGCCGAGGUGUCCACCUCAUCCCUGUGGAUAUUGUAUGUAGAUGGAUCCUCUAAUGGGGAUGGCAGCGGAGCUGGGCUACUCCUAGAAGGACCUCAGGGAGAAGUGUGCUCUUAUGCCCUCCGCUUUGGCUUCCCAGCCACCAAUAAUGAAGCCGAGUACGAGGCCUUAAUCGCUGGACUCCAACUGGCCCGAAGGCUCGGCGCACAACAAAUCCACGUCCGCAGUGACUCCCAACUCGUCGUACGCCAAGUCCUUGGUGAGUAUGAGGCCAAGGAUGAGACCAUGCAACGGUACCUCUUCAAAGUACACCAACUCACCGCGUACUUCGAGUCCUUCGAAAUCCAAAGAAUACCCUGUUCCCAGAAUAAGCGAGCCGACGCCUUAUCCCGGCUGGCUUCUACGUCAUUCUCUGAGCUCAACAAAACUGUUUUAGUGGAAGUCCUGAGUGAACCAGGAUAUGUGGAAGAGGUGGCCUGCCCCGUGCACUCUGAAGAAACAUGGAUGACCCCAUUCAUCCUUUUCUUGGGUCAGGGAGCCCUCCCUGAAGACCGAGCCGAGGCGAGAAAAAUACAACGCAAGGCGGCUCGGUACGCUCUCCGCGAUAGAGAGCUGUACAAACGUUCCUACCUCGGUCCAUGGCUGAGGUGUGUCACUCCCGAGACAGGACGCCACGUCCUCCAAGAGAUCCACGAGGGCUUGUGUGGAGCUCACGUCGGCCACAGAAUGCUAGCCAAGAAGGCUCUGCUUCUUGGAUAUUUCUGGCCCUCAGUUCGGCAAGACGCCCAAGACCUCGUCCUCGGCUGCCCUUCCUGCCAAGUCCACGCGCCCGAGUAUCACCAGCCCGCCAACUUCAUGGUUCCCAUCACUUCACCCUGGCCAUUCGAGCAAUGGGGGACAGACAUCAUAGGUCCUUUCCCCAGAGCCGUCGGGGGUCAUACCUUCCUGGUAACCGCUGUGGAUUACUUCACCAAAUGGGUUGAAGCCGAGCCUCUGAGGACCAUCACCGGGCUGGCAAUUCAAAAAUUCUUUUGGAAAUGCAUCGUCUACCGCUUCGGCAUACCUCAGGUCAUCAUCUCGGAUAAUGGGAGGCAAUUCGCCGAGAACCCCUUUAAAAGUUGGUGCACAAACCUUGGCAUCAAACAACAUUUCACUUCGGUAGGCCAUCCCCGGGCCAACGGCCAAGCAGAAAACUUCAACCGAACUCUCUUGCACGGCCUUAAGACCCGACUACACCGAGCUGGAACAUCCUGGGUCGAAGAACUCCCCAGUGUCCUGUGGUCUUAUCGGACCACGCCGAGGUCAGCCACGCAAGAGACCCCAUUCUCCUUGACCUACGGAGCUGAGGCUGUCAUCCCCGCCGAGAUCCUCACCCCUAGCCCCCGACUGGCAGCCUAUGCCGCCGAGGUGAACGACGAAGAGAGACAGAUGGAUCUCGACCUCGCCGAUGAACGAAGGGACCUCGCCUCAGCCCGGAUAGCCUCCUACAAGAACACACUGGCACACUAUUACAAUGCCCGUGUCAGACACCGUAGAUUCCAGCCUGGAGACUUGGUUCUGAGAAAAAACUCAGUCAGCCGAGCUGAACCGCAAGGGAAACUAUUCCCAAAGUGGGAAGGCCCUUACCGAGUUGUGGAGUCUGACCUUAAGGGAUAUUGUAAACUAAGCUACCGAGAUGGCUCACUAGUGCCGAGGUCUUGGCACUCCGAGAACCUCAAAAUGUAUUAUACUUGAAUUUUUAAUCAAGUUAUGACUUCGGAUCUUAUGUUAUUUUUCAACAUCGGUUCUACGUUAUUAAAAAAUAAAGGGGGACAAGCAAGGGACGAAGUCAAAGCAGACGAAGUCAAAGUAAGAAAUUAAAGUGCUGAGGUGAAAAGAAAUAAACUUUCAUUCAAAAAAGAAGAGCGUUACAAAAAAUACAAGGCCGAGGUCGGAGUGCUACUAAGCACUCUCCACCUCGGCCACCCCUUUAAGACCCACGAGCCUAGACCCCUGUCUCGGCUCCAUUCCCCUUCUCGGCUCCCUCCUGGGCAGCCUUUUCUCCGGCCUCCUCUCCACCGGGGUGAAGCUCUUCUCCAUGCUCUUCGCCGAUGUUCCCUCCAGACACUUCACCCGUCCCUUCGCCGAGGCCUACCUCGGCUUCUUCUCCUUGGCCCUCCUCGAACACUUCGUCGAGUUCAGACAGCCAUUUGUUGAACUCGUCUUGGAUCUCGGCCAGGUUCCUUCCAUUUUGGAUGCCCUCGGCCAUCCGGUCACACAAUUCCUUGGAAUCUUCAUUGUAGUGAGCAUUGUCUUUCAGUGACUCCAAGGCUUCAGAUGAGAGGUGGGCUGCGGCCGCGUCCACACCCGACGUGAAGCCAAACAUGAAGCUCGGCGUAAGCAGUUGGCCGAGAUCCUUGGUAAAGGACUCAGACCUCCGAAAUGCGUCCACUGCCGAGGCCCCAACACUGUUGAGGGCUUGCUCAUGAGACUUCUUCACCUCCUCCCCCCUCUUCUGUUCUUCUUCGAGGGCCGAUCUGAGACUGUUCAUAGUAACCUCGGCCUCCUCACCCUUAGCUUCGGCCUCCUUGAGCUGCCUUUGAAGCUCGGCCUUCUCAGACUCGGACACCGCCAAUUUCUUCUCCAACUUGGAGAUCUGAUUUUGCAGCUUGCCUGUGUCCUGCUCCUCGACCAUAGCACAGUACCGGUGUGCCAUCUCGGCAACAAAGGCUGAGUUGGAGGCCGUGGUCACCAUGAGACUCUGAACCAUCUCGGCCGGGGUCAGCUUCUUCAUGAACUCCAAGUCCCUUGACAGGGUGGAGUGCAUCACUAGCUCUUGGGCAACCCGAGGAUGGCUGCACCUGUCGUUGACCGAAAGCUUCCAGUUCGGACACCAGUGCUCGCCAGAGUGUGUCUUCUCCUCCCCGGGAAACACCGGGGGGCUAUGGAAACGGUUCCAUAGCGAGGUCCCCGACACUGCAUUGACUGGGGGCUUCAGCUGCUUGCCUCGGCCAUGAGGUGGGAGUGCCGUGGUGACUCCAAGAGGCACUCCCUCGGGCACGGACGAGGUGGACCCCGUAGCCGCGGUGGCCGAGCUGCUUUGACCAACCGGGGUGGGAGUGCUUUUAGCCGCCGAGGUCUUGGCAGCUGGUCCUUGUGAUUUCUUCUUUGGCGGAGGUGCCGAUGUCUCGCCAGAGCUUUUCCUCUUCUGCCUUUUGGCCACCUCGGACGAGCCCGAUACGACGAUGUCGGACAGUUUAGUCACUGCACAAGAAACAAAUAUUAUCAUAUGCCUUAGCCGAAGUGAAAGCAAAGUUAUGAAAGAAAAUUACAAGGAAUCUUAAGUUUGGUGGAAGUGAAGGGAGUUUUGUCAGGACUGAGCAAAGCUCGGCUGACUCCUCCAUCAACCAGCACGGCUUCGGGGUAGUCUAGGCUAUAUAUCCGAAAUCCUGACCCCAUCAGCUUCUGGAAGUCCUCCUCCUUGGCAUCCCCAGCGGAGGGAUCGGCUUUCGCUUUGAUUGGCCUCCACCAGAAACCUCUGGGAAAGUCCACUUCGGACACAAAGAAGAAGUCGCGUUUCCAAUUCUUGAUUGAGCUGGGAGAACCGACCACCAACUUCGGAAUGGCAUUGUUCCGAUUGCUAACAAAAAACCAUCCCUUGUCUGUCCCGUGCGCCUUGAGGGUAUAACAUCGGCAGAAGAGGUCGACAGAGGGAGCCACCUCCUGAUGUCGGCACAGCAUCUCGAACCCUAUAAUGAUGCGGAUCGCGUUCGGGGUGAGUUGGGUAAUCCUCACGCCGAAGUGACGAAGCAAGUCCCUGAAGAAUCUCGACGUGGGCAUCCUCAGCCCGGCCUCUAACUGUUGGACAUAGAUGGCCACUGUGCCCAAGGGGGGCUUUUCGGCUGAGUCAUCUGCCCCGGCCGGUAUGAUCUCGUACCCCGACCGGAAAGGGUACUUGUUCAUCACCUUCACGGCCCUAUCUCUUCCGAUGCGACUUCUAAACUUCGGCAUCUUGCCGAAGUCGAUGUUGGCUAGGUCCUUGGGAGCGACAGGCUCCAGGGCGUCCUCGUCGUGUGGUGUCUCGACGCCGAGCUCCUCAUUGUAGUCCACCCCGGAACCACCCUCGCUCAUCUCGGAUGACUCCAACUCCGAGGCUGCCCCACUGGCUCCCGCCUCGGUUGAUCCCUUCUCAGAACUCGGGGUCGACCCUUCCGAGCUAGACGUCGUCGCUUCUUCCCGAGGAUCCGGCCUCACCUCGGUCAGGUAGCUCGGAGUUAUGGUCUCUCUGUGGGUCUUAGCCGUUUUGGCCAUGGGUGAAAGAUGAAAUAAGAAAGAAAAAGGGUACUUACUAUUGCCUACGGAACUGGACGAAGUGGAUGACCUCGGAUCUGAUCUCGGCUACUAUAUUGACCUCGGCUACGCUCGCGAACUUUGCAGGUCUCGGAUGAAAAUGAAAGGUGUGGGAAGUGCGGUGAGGGGGACCCCCCUAUUUAUAAGGGUUUGGGGAGAAUCCGAAGAGGCGGCAAGAAUGUGAAAGGACGGCCACGUUCGAAUUCAAAGCGUCGUGCCUCCCUCUCUCCUCAUUAAUGCCCCGUCCUUUCAGCUGACACCCUCUGCACGAAACGUCCCACUACUUCACGACGCGACGGUUACCAGUGACCACGUCCUGUCAACUGACACGCCCACGUGUCGCGUCCCCGCAUCUUCCGGGGCAGUUUCAGGACUCCGACUCUCUACAACUUCGGCCCAAGGAAGCCUCGGUACCUCCCUGGCCCGGAGCUUCCGAGGCUUGGGGGGCUUAUUGAGGAUGCUCACCUCGGCCGCCCCGCAUGCCCGAGGUGAACUCACCUCGUCCGUCAUCAGAGCUCAUCCGUGUCUCGGGCAUAUCCCUUAAACUCGGCCGGAUCCCCAGUCUACCGUGUAGGUGACCUCGGCACCUCCACCUCAGCUGCACGCGGAUGAUGCCAAGACACCUGACAUCAUCCGGGAUCAGUGCUUUAUCUGAAAAGCACUGUCGCACUUAAUGACUACUGCGAAGGACUCCUCGUCACCCUGUCCAGGCGGCUACAGUGUCAGAGUCAGGCCCCCCGACAGGGAGCAGAGCCGUAAUGGCAGGACAUGGUUCCCACCGGCAUAAGACCUCCGUCCUGCCCUUCACUCUCACUCUAUAAAUACCCCACACACUCCCAACAAGUAAACACACUGUUCAUUCUCAUAUACUAUUAUCUUUCUCGUUCUCAUACUAACUUAAUCGUCGGAGUGAUACCAGGGGAGAAGCCCCGCCAUCCACUUCAGACGUGAGGAUACACCUCACUUCAUCUCAGAGGGGCUUGAUUCGGGUCGGUUCAACUACCCACCGAAAAUCACCUCUUCAGCAACAAAGCCAUUUCACCAUUUGACAGAUAAAUGAUGGAGAUAUAGACAUGUUCAGCCACAAAGGUGGCAGGAUUUGUUUUCCAGGUUGGAUAGGCAUCAUGAUGUAAGUGGGAUGUCACCUGAUUAAAAACAGCUGGCAACUGAUCAACAAACUUGUUGACUGAAACUGCCACUUCUGGAUCGUAAUUUGGAAUCAUGGUUCCAGGAGUAUCAAGUAGUCCUUUCCAUGCAUCUGCUGUAUAUUAGUAUCAAUGAAAGGAGAAGGCAUUAGAAUUAGAAAGACAACAUAAGCAAUUAUUCAACCUCAUCAGCUAUAUAUCUUCAAUCAAAUGAAGCAUUGUAUCAUACCUAUGAAAAAAAUCCAAAUUUGAUUUUAAAACCAUUACUAGGAUAUUUUCAUUACUACUUGAAGGCUUGCCUUGGUUUACAGAGAUACCUUAUAUUUGGUAAUUGUGAUACUUGGGGAGUGUCUCGCCCCAUUUUUUGCGAUGAAAAUAAGUAUUUAUAAAAGAUGUGAUUUUAUUUAAAAAUAAGUAAAAAAGGACUUAGAAUGAGACUUGAAAGAAUGCGAUAGUUUGGAUCCAAAAUUUAGUCUAAAAGAGUUUUUUAAAAAAAUAGGAGUCGCCACUUGGUAUUGAGUUUGGGUGUACCAAGUCACCCAAAAAUAUUUUUGACAAAAAUAUUUUAAAAUAAAACCCUUUUCGACAACUCCAGAUCUUUAAAAAAACAAAGGAAAAUGAUUUCGAAAGUCACGGUUGAAGAAAGGAAAGGCAAAGGUUGGAUUAAGUCACACUUAAGGCACCCUUUCAACCUAGUCUAAGCUAGUUGCGAGAUUUAGUCAAAGUUUUCCUAAUCUAACUCUUAAUUUUAUCACGCUUGGAUGUUUCUUACAUGGUUGCAAAUCUAAAUUUAGAAAAUAUCAAAAAGGACAAAAUGUUCAUUCAACGGUUUAAUUGAUACCAAUCGCAUUAAUUGCGAAGACCAAAAUAAUUCCUUGAAAGUGUCGCGAGUAUACAAAUGAUGAAAUUAAAAGAAAAGAAAAGAAAAUUAAAUUACAUACAUAGGUAUAAAUGAUCAAAGGAAAAGGAAAUGUAGCAUAAUAGGUAUGGAAGGCAAAAACUCGUGACAUAAUUUUCUUAUACAGGGAUUAAUAGGAUAUUUAAACUAAAGAGUUAUAAUCAUCCAUUUCCCAUGUUCAAAGAAUAAUUUUCCUAAUCUAGACAAGCAAAUGAACUAACUUAUUUUUGUAAUUUUUUAAAUGAGAUGCAAUUCUAAAUGAUAUGAUUAACACAUUUAGAGGGUAGGGGGUGAAGAAUAAUAUAAUAGGAAAUAUCAUGCAAAUGAGAAAAAAUCCUAAAAAAUGUGCAUGAAAAUGUAAUGAAUGUCACACAAGAGAUGAAUCUAACGCACGAACGAUCUAAGAGUUUUGCAUUGAACUAGCCCAUUUCUAAAGAACCUUACUAGCGUUGGACUAGCAAGCAAGCGGAAAAGAAAGUCACAACUAGCGUUAAAUUAGUGUGGUGACACCAUGCAUUAAUAAUACAUAGUAAAACAAAUAAGGUAUAAAUUAAAACAAAUAAACACAUAAAAGCACGUAGCACAUAACAUAUAAAUAUAAUAUCUAUAUGCAAAAAUUUUAAAAAAAGCGGAUAAAGCACAUAACACAUAAGCUACAUAAAUACACAAAAACUUAUCUAUUACAGUGGGGAAUCUAACUACAAUCUAAAAUGGGGAAAUAAAAAAAAAUCCUAUCUACCCUAUAUAUUAUAAUAGGGGACCUAAUUACAAUCUAAGAUGGAAAAAAUAUGAUAAAAUAAACCUAGUUAUCCUAUCUAUUACAUUAAGCUAUCUAAUUACAAUUUUUGUAAAGAAUAUUACCUAUCUAUUACAUUUUGAGGUAUUUAAAUACCUCCCAAAUAAUUAUAAAAUUAACUAAACAAACAUAAGAAAAUUUGAAUGAACAUUUGAAUCAAAUAAAUAAAGCAUAUAAAAAUAUAUAAACACAUAAGAACAUGUAAGAGCAUAUAAGAGCACGUAAUCGACAUUUAAAUAAUAUUAGGGGUACCUCCAUUUUUGAAGUGGUAAUUCAAUAGAGUCAAAUUGUCCUAGUUAUAUCCAAAAUGAACAAAAGAAUCAUGGUACCAAUUUAAUUGAAAAUAAUAAUAAUGAUAAAAUACUAAAUUCACAUUAACAUGUCAAACAUAAAGGAAUUUAAGAACAUCUAAAAAUCACAAGUUAAAUAUGUUCAAAAGUAACAUAAUUAGCUAUUAAAGAAAAUAAACAAUUAUAAUAGACUGUCAAAAUUCACUAGGGACCGAAUUGCAAAAAUUAAAAAUUGUUGGGGUAAAAAAUAAUUUUUCCAAAAUUUAGGGGUCAAAAUUAAAUAAAAGAUAAAGUUUAGGGACAAAAUUGAAAUUAAAUUAAGGACCUAAUUAAAAAUUUUAAAAUUCUGGACCACAAUAAAAUUACUCCAAAGAUUAGUGGCUAAAGUGCAAAUUUCAGUUUCUGGUUUGGGCAAGAAAAGGCCAUCGGGCCUUUUUUUUUGCUUGGGCCGAAAAUUCCUAAACCCAGUCGAAACCCAAAACAAAUAAGCGGUCCAGCCUAUCCUUUUAUCACUCAAGCCCGACCAAAAAUGCAUGGGGUCUGACCUCCUAGCACAAGCCGAAACCCAAAAGAAACAAACCAAAACCCAUUCCCAUAACUUAACCAAAAUAACCAUAAGCCCACCACACAAAAAAAAACAUUAGCCCAACACUUUUUUUUUUCUUUCUUUUCCUUCUUUUCUUUUUCUUCUUCUUCUUCUUCAGUUUUCUUCUUCUUCCACCCGAGAAGCUGAAUCUUCUCCUUGCUGGCGGCUAUGGCCACCUCCGGCGGAGCCAGCGCCGGACCGCCACCGGACGCAAAAUUUUCGGUUACCAAAUUUUCUCAAAAUACACCCCCUCACUCGAUUUUUUGCGUAGAUUCCAUUUUUGGGCUUAGUUUUUACAAAAAAGGAACCAAAAGUGGCGAAAAUAGCAAAAGUCAGUCCAGUUUUAUUUUUUUUUCAACACUCAAAUCUUCACCAAAAACCAUAAAAUUUAGAGUGAAUGGCCCAAAAGGUCAUUAAACUAUUAAAAAUGGCACCCUUUCGUCAUCAAACUUUUUUUGUGGUCCAAAAAGUCACUAAACUCACAAAAACGCACUAGCGAGGUCAUUUUACUGAUUUUUAGCAGUUUCUCAUCCGGUGGCACCGGCAAGGUGGAGUGGAGGAAUAUUUUUUAAGGGGCAAAAAUGUCCAAUAAAAUAUGACAGACCUGUUUUGUCCCCGCAAGCCGUGCCCUUGGAUCUAAAACUUCAUUGAGCCCUUCUUUCAUCUAUUAGACAAAUCUUCUUUCAUCUUCCCCAUUCUUGCGGCUCACCACUUCAAAAUCUACUCUUGUGGCUCUCGGAAUGCCAUGACUAUAAUAGACUCCGACAAGACUCUUAUUUGCCUCCGCAACGCCUGCAAUUUCGUCGGCAACCUCGUCAGGUUAAAAGGGCAGUUUCUUUUCGUCAACACCAACACCCUUUUCGACGAAAUCAUCGAGGAAAUGACGAAAGCUAUUGGGAUUAAGAAUGACAAGUCGUGGCGUCUUGAAGGCUUUUUAACAAACAGUUCGAGUCCCAAAAAGUUUCGCGGCCGGAAUAAGAAGUUGAACUUGGGAGCCAUUCACGCUCCUGAUUGUGUGGUGAUUUUCGAUACGGAGAGGAAGUCUUCGGUUAUUUUGGAGGCUGAAUGGUUGCAAGUUCCGAUUGUGGGGCAUGUUGAUUCGAGUAUGCCGUGGGAAACUUAUAAGAAGAUUACUUAUCUGGUGCGUGCCAAUGAUUCAGUUCAAUUUGUUUACUUAUUUUGUAAUUUGAUCACUAAAAUUUUUUUGUAUGAGCAAAGAAAAAUGAAGACUGCACAAGGGGCAGAUGAUUUAACCGCUGGGACUCGGUAUGAACUCUACUAAUUUUACUUUUUGUGUUCAUUUUUGAAGAAAGAAGAUUUCUCUCUGAAUAGAUGAAAGAGAGACUCAAUGAACUUUUAGAUCUAAGGGCACGGCUUGCGGGGACAAAACAGGUCUGUCAUAUUUUAUUGGACAUUUUUGCCCCUUAAAAAAUAUUCCUCCACUCCACAUUGCCAGUGCCACCGGAUGAGAAACCGCUAAAAAUCGGUAAAAUGACUCCUCUAGUGCGUUUUUGUGAGUUUAGUGACCUUUUAAGCCACAAAAAAAGUUUGAUGGCCAAAGGGUGCCAUUUUCAAUAGUUUAGUGACCUUUUGGGCCAUUCACUCUAAAAUUUAUACUACAACACUCCUUGUGAUUUUUACAACAUAACUAUGAACGGAAAUUAAUAAAAGCAACAACAAAUAUGACAAAAUUAAAUCAAAACAGUCCUAAAAAUAAAAAAAAAAUCCUUCAAUACUUUUGAGACUCAAAACUCCAAAAACUUGGAUAACCAAACAUUUUCCGGGCCUUGUGCUAGUUAGGACCAUCUAUCUUGACAAAAUAAGCACAAAAGAUUCACUAAAUUGAUUCAUUUUUCGGUUUGACAUUUUUACAAACACUUAAUAUGCAUUCACAGAAAUCCUCUUUUCCUCUUAAUAUUAUUCGUGACUUACCCCAAAAAAUUCAACAAACACCAGCAGCCAAUUUCUUUCACAAAACCCACAAAAUUAUUGAUCAUCAAGGCCGAAGAAAAGAAGAGAAAAAAAAACCGAACCAGUUUGCAUUAAAAAAAGAAUCAAAUAAAUCUUUGCCAAUUUUCCAGGAGCUAUCUCGUUGGAGUCAAAAUAAAAAUAAAAGGAGAGACUUACAAUAGUUUUACAAUGGCGAUUAUUAUGGCAGUGGUGGUGGUAAUGGCACUAGCAGCAAGCUCCCAACUUCACCCUUGAUCUUGCCUUUCACCUUCUUUUGCCCCCCUUUUUUUUUCGGUUUGUGAGAGAAAAUGGCUGCAGAAGGAAGGAGCUGAGAGAGGGAAGUGAUUUUGUAUUGGUGCGUGAUGGUGUAUGAGAUUGAGAGGGAGGGAAAAAGAGGGGAGCCGAGAGGGAGUAUUGGAGUUUUUUUUUUUAGCUGUCUGAUGGUGUGUUUGUCUGUCUGGGAGCAAAAGAAAAGGCCGAGAGGGAGUAUUAACAGAGUGGAGUUUGUGGCUUGUGUUGGUCAAAGAAAUGAUGGACUUCCAAAUGACAAGAAAAGUGCAUGGAAAUAACAUGAUGAACUUUUUGACGAAAAUGAUGAGAAAUGUUAAUGAGGAUGGAGUGUAAAAAUAGAUUAAUAGUGGUUUUGAUAAAACAAAAUGAUUAGGAUGAUUUUUGAUUCCUUGAUUUCUUGAUUUUGUUCUUUUUUUUCUUUUUUUUUUAAACCAACCUAAAAAUAAAUAAAAUAAAGAUGAAAUAAAUAAAAAAAUAUGCACAUUAAAAUACAAGAAAAUAAAUAACUCAUUAAAUAGAUAAAAUUCAAGAAAAUAUUAAAAUUGAUAAAAUUUUGAUAUCUACAGGGGCUAAUUACUCAGAAUAUAGGUAAGAAAAAAAAAUCGGAGACUUAUUAGUCUGACACAUGCUGGGUAUAAAUCUAUUGUUGCAGCCCGGCACCUGACACCAAAUUUUUUUUUAAAAAAAAUAUGUCAGGUGCCAGGCUGACACAACUCGUCACCUGACCCAAUUUUUUUUUUAAAACAUGGCAAGUGCUGGGCUGGGCUGACACAGCCCGGCACCUGGCAUCAAAUUUUUUUUUAAAAAAAGAUGUCAGCUGCCAGGCUGACACAACCCGUUACCUGACCGAAUUUUUUUUUUUCUAAAACAUGGCAGGUGCCGCAUCCAGUCAAAAGUUUUGCUUUGGGACUUAUUAGGGACUUACCCGGAAGUCUUGGGACUUAUUAGGGACUUACGACGAAUUGUGUCAUCUGGGAUUUGAAGCAGUUGCAUUAAUCCAUCUAAUUGUGAUUGCUUGCUUCCUCUUGCACCAAACUUCCCAAAGUUCCUUUGAACUCGUCGUGAACGUCCCAUGGUACAGUAGGGUUUGGGACAGGAAUCUCAUGCGGCCAUAUGUAACUGUUUUGUUAACUGGAACCAUGUGGCUAUAUACAACUCUUUUCCUUUUAAAUGGGUAUUAUUGGGUAUAUUUUGAAUUAGGUCUAAUUCUAUAUUUUACAUACCCAUUCCACCCAAAUUAAACUUGGGUAUGGGAGCCCAUUGGAUCUUAGAACUUUUUGCCAGUCUAAUAACAUUGCACAGCAGAAACUUUAUUAAUAUUUCUUUCAAGUGUAGGUGGGAUUACACUCCAUCCCCUGUAUCACUCAAUUUAUUCCUUUCUUUAAAAACUUUAUUAAUAUCUUAAACACCAAUAAAGCUCAAGAAAAAAUUCAUACAUAUCCUCCACCAACGAUUUAGACGUUUCAAGAAGAAACCUAUAAUUGAUUGACCCUAAUAAAACACCAAUUAUACAUACUUGGUAAACAAGAAAUUAGCUAAUAAAACACCACUUACCAAUAAGAAAACUAUUAGAAAUUUUGACUUCAAUAUAACCCUUGGAAAUUAAAUAAGAAUCUGCUUUAUUUGUCCACUCAAAGAUGUGAUACUUCAUUUUGCUACCCUUAAUGUCCUUUGCGUCUAAUUUAUCCAAAUUACAUCAUCUCCAAACCCUUGAUCCUAAUUUUUAAACCACUCGUAAUGAGUGGGGGAAGAAAAACUUUCAACAAAAAAAAAAAUGAACUAGGGAUAGGUAUGGUUAGAAAUUUCAUAUCAUUAUUGUACUUUCUAUAUUAUAUGGUUAGAAAUUUCAUAUGAUUAUUGUACUUUCUAUAUUAUAGUAUGAGAAUGGCUGGAAAGAAGAAAUCAAAUCCUGCAUGUAGAUCUAACAAUUAAUCUAAUUAAAUAUUAGUUAAGAUAUAUUUCAGGUAUCAUAUUUUUUAAAUUAUAAGAUUAAUUAGAAAAGGUAAAUAAAUAUAAGAGAAAGUAUGUAAGAUUAAAUAGAAAAAAUAUAUAAAUGCAAGAGAAGCUAAUAAUUAUUAGUAUGUAUAUAUAUACAUGGCAAAUGUGUAACAUUGAAUUCAUCCCUCUCCCGCGGUAUCUUUCUUAGUAUUUAAGUACACUCAAAACAUCUUUGGGGAAUCUACACAUUGUUCGGCACAUGCAUUGCAAAAGUGGUCUUUCCUUAAUAUUUGGUCCAAAUAAUACAUCAAUUAUAAAAUACUUGGUAAACAAGAAAUUAGCUAAUAAAGCAACACUAACCAAAUAAGAGAACAAUCCCAAAUUUGACUCCAAUAAAACACCUAGAAAUUAAAUAGGAAUGUGCUUUAAAGUUGAGAUACUGCAUUUAGCCACCACUAAUGUUCUUCAAUUACAUCUCCCCCAAUUCUUGAUGCUGAUUUUCAAACCAUUGGGGAAAGCACACGUAAGUGAACUCAGCGGCAGCUUCCACUUUCCAAGACGUGCCAUGUAAUGGUUUGUAAAGAUCAAAGGGUAAUUAAACUAUCUGGACGAGAUGCCUUAUAUUCUUUGCAAUUUUUUACCGCUGACUAAUCAGAACAUUUCUCCAUUACUUCGCCAGAUCCUAGUUUUUUUCUAAUUAGCAAAAAAAAAAUAAAAAUUCCAUAAUAGUUGUAACGAGAUCUAACACAGGCAGGAAUUCUUAGCUUUAGGAAUUCUAUAGCUCUGCCAGCUUUUUUAAAAAGCUUAAAAAUUUGGUGUCAGGUGCCGGGCUGUGUUAGCCCGGCAACAAUAGAUUUAUACUCAGCAUGUAUCAGACCAAUAAGUGUCUGACUUUUUUUUUUUUUUUUUUACCUAUAUUCUAAGUAAUUAGCUAAGUAAUUAGCCAUCUACAGGGAGGUUUUAAUAAAAGUUUCAAAAAUAAUAAUUUCAAGGUCUUGAAUUGAUUUCUGUUUCUUGUAAAUCAUAAAAAAAAAAUGAGAAGACAAGUUAAUUAUAUGUCACUCUUGUGCUAUAUUGCUUGUUCUGGAAUAAUAAAGUACAUGAAAUAUAGCCUGCCAUAGUUUGCCGGUAAAUACCUCUGUAUUCCCUAAGACCCUAAAAACAAUAUUCUACUCCCUCAACACAAAAUAGAAGAACGAUGUUUUAGAUGAUCUAAAGCCUGACAUCAAAACACUUCAUGCAUUAAGUUUCUCUUCUUGAUAAAGCCCAGUUUUCAAGCAUCAAUCUGCAUCGCAGUGUUAUAAAAGCUUUACGCACGAUUAGCUUGAUGAAGGAUUAAAUCCAUCACACUCAUAUCUUCAGGAAUAAAUGAGAAACAACAUUAUGUGGGUUAUGUGAAGGAAGGACUUAGGAGGACUCGUAGAUUACAGCCUAGCAUAUGCAGACUCCCCGUCCCCACAACCCCCCCUCCACCCUCGGCCCAACACAAUAAGAGAGAGGGGGUGUGGGAAGCUUCUAUGGUUCAGGAAAAUAAUUGGAUUGCGAUUUUCUGUAAAAAAAAAAAUUUACGUUUUCCGUGAACACAUUCCCAAUCACCUUUUCACCUCACAGUACAUUUUCCUUCAAAAAUUCUUAAAAAUAGCAAUCCAAACAAGGCCACACAAUGAAUUAAUUGUUAGUAAACUUUUGCAAAAUUAAGAAAAAGAAACCAAAUGCAAGAGUACAAAUUAUUUAGUUUUAUACAAACCAAUAAAAAUUACUUUUUUUUGUUACUGCUACACUUGCUAUCCACAAUGAAAAUGCACAUAUUAACAUUUGAAAGGCGUAGAAAAGUUGGCAUAAACGUGCCCCAAAUUUCUCCUCCCACUUCAAUGUUGGCAUUUUUAUCUCUCAAUUAUGUUUUGCAAAUAUCCGUAGAGGUAGCAAGGCUUAUUUUGUUGUACAAAAGAAUGAAUCCAUAUACUUUCUCGGCUUUUCCUUCCAUUUUACGCAGUUGAUUUAAAAUUUUCAGUUGAUAUUUGAAUUUUGAAUCAGUUCAUUUGCCCCAAACGAACCACGUUAGGAUUUCAAUACAUUUUUUACUUUUUUAUUCUGCCCACUUAUUAUAACGAUGUUGUUUUUGGUCUAGCAACGGGACCAGUAGAGAUAGUUUCGCAUCUCGUCGCAUUUUGUGAGAGGAUUGUUCAGGAACGGUCAGCCUAGUGACCGAUCCUACCCGAAAUAUACCUAAAAGCACAAAACAUGGCUCUUACAUUAUCUCUCUCAUAAUAAAUGAUGGUGGGCCAUUGUACUUUUGCUUCACAAGUUUGUCCCCCAUUCUUUUUUUUGGAGGGGGGUGGCAAAUAGUGUAAUUUAUACGAAAUUUUACACUAUAUCAAGGGCAUUUUUUGAAAGUUGAGGAGGGAGGGCAAUUGUCCACCCUCAACUAUUAAUAGCUCCACUCUUCCAAACAAGCUGAACUAGCUCUUGCACAAAAUAUAAAAGUUAUAACCUUUUGAAUUAGCUUUCCAAUGCAUCAAAAAUCAUAUCAUUUGGGACUCUGUAGGCUAAGAAAUGAUAGAUUUCUCCCUGACUAGUCAACAGCCAUUUUUAGAUUUUGGUUUUUUAAAAAAAUGCAUCUCUGUAUUUUAAAUUUUUGGCCCUCGCAAUAUGCAAAUUGGACUUCGAUGUCUUCAUAAGAAAUGUAGCCUAUCUAAUACAUGUAGUUCAAGUUAUAGUUGAAAAACUCCGAUGUGUCAAGGUAGCCAAUCUUCGUUGCCACUUAGAGGCUUUGUUAGCCUGGAUAGGAUGAAUUUCCCUUACCUCAGAGUUUAAUUGCUAUGUACUCCUGCACUUUCUCGUGAAAAAAAAAAUGUACUUAAUGUCACUUGAAAUCACUUCAAAUAAUCAAAAAUCAUGCAAAUAUAUUCUCGCUUUACUCCAUUUGAUGAUUGAAUAAUCAAAACCUACAAAAAAUAUGAAGUUUUAAUCGCUUAAAUACAUAGAAAUGCAAUUUUUCUUACUUAAUCAUAAAAUACAAACUUCACUAGAGAGCUAGUUAAAUUAGCUCUUAAAAUGACUAAAAAAUGCCAAAAACUACAUAAUAAAACACACUAAAAAUAUGCAAAUAAAUAGUUAUGAAAAUUUCUUUGUGCAAUUGAUCAAGUAUAUAAAAAUUUAAAAAAAAAUCAAUAGUUGAAUGAGGUAUGGUUAGAAAAUUGAAAUGAAAAAAAAAAUCAACAGUUGUCAAGAAAAGAAGUUAACGGUAAUUUUUGUUUGGUGGGUGGAGAGCCAAGGGAUGUGAGUAGAUGUAGUUUGGAAAAUCAAAGCAUUGUGACUAAAAACGUUUUAAUUAGUCAUUCAAUGGAAUAAAAGAGAGUAGUGCGUGUAGAUACCAUGGAUGAAUGAUAACUAUGCAAAAUUUGAAUUCGAAAUUUAAUUUUUGCAUGUGUCAUGGAUCCAACGGUGAUAGUGUAUACACUGUCAGUGUAUAUAAGUUUUACUCUUUAAUUAUAUGCUGUUAUCACUAACCUAUGGUAGUGCUGAGACCUCAAGAAAACCAUCUUGCUUCUUUUUCCUUUUUUUUUUAGCUCAUUGGAAACUAUAGCUUAACUAAAAUGGUAGUGUUUGAGGUUCGAACCAGGGACCUCACCAUCUCUGGUUAAUGCUAUUCCAGUUGAGUUAGUUUUGUAAGGUAAAUUUUCUUGAUCAUCACUCAAAAAACUUGGGGGCCUCCCCAUUUCACACGUGAGGCUAUAGCAAUACAACGUCUUGUGUAAAUAUUGCUGUACCCAAAAUGUUCCAAGAACACUAACAUUUUUUAGAAUUUCCACAAUAUAAGGAUCCUUGGCAUGAAAAUGGCAUUAUACAAUUACACUUCUACUGGACGUUACUACAACUUCAACAGCAAGAAAAGUUCAAAGUUCCCUUGUUUACCAAAAAAAUAAAAAAUUUUGUUUGAAUAGUCAGAGUCACAUUUAAAUCCCAAAAAAUUAGUAUUGAAUAGGAUACAUUUCCGGGCCAGCCUAACAACUCUCCUUAAAUUCUUUGCGUCGUCUCAAAAUUCAACUAGUAGAGAUAUCUAUUAUCUAGAGGUAAGUCAUAUGCCUGCCUUUACGUGGGUAUUGCACUUAAUCGGGUACAAUCCUUAACCCCUCCAGUACCUUGCUCAUUCAUAACCCAAUACGACAAAGCCAAUCUCGUAGAAAGCAUACAAGUUUUGCUCUAAUAGUAACUGUGAUGCUUUCCAUUUUGGGUUCACCAAAUAACUUUUGAGCAUAAUUCACAUAACCAAAAUGCUUAAACUAAAACCCAUGAGAAUUGGUCUAUUAUCUAUCAAUCAAUACUUUUAUCUUUUUCUACGGGAGAAGUGGCAUGAGAAUUGGUCUUUCAAUUAAAGAACCCAAUGUUUGCAUAGGUCAGUUGAUUCGAGUUGGGCUGGAUCAACAUUUUUAUACAAACUUUGAAGUCAAUAAUUUUAAAAUUUUGUCCAAAUUGAAGGUAGAUAUACUCGUCAUUUGGGUGUAGGUUUCUUUUCCAAAUAGAAGACAAAGAAAAACGUAAAACAACUGGUAGAUGACCAAGUGAAUAAUAUUGCGUACAGGUCAUAGUUAUUAAACCCAGUCCGGCCCGGCGAUUCAACCGGUCAACCCGGUGAACUGGCCAUGAAACCAGACUGGGUUGGUAAUUAGAUCGUUUGUACAACAAACCCGUUGACUUGUCAACGAUUCGACAACUUGGUUGAACCGGACGGUUUUAUAAGGAACCGGUUGUAUGUUAAAAUAUUUAGAAAAUGUUGCUAGGAAAAAUCAAACUCCGGACCUGACGCAGAAGAGCCAAGCGCGCGCACCACUGGACCAACAACCCCUUUGGAGCUUAUUCAGCCCUUCUAUAUUAUAUAUUAGAUCUUUGUUCUUAUUUUAUUUCAUCAAAACAAAAUUGUUUGGAAUCUUAUAAUAAAAUUCUAUUAUUCCACAAAAUCUAUAAGUUAUGAAUAGAUUUAAAAAAUAGCAUAUUACACAAUUCAUUUUAAAGACAAACAUUAUUCUUAAUAACUUUUUACACUUAAAAUUCGUAAAUAAAUUAGACAAUUACACUUAGAUAUUUGGUUGAUUACUAAUUAAAUUUAGAUUUUGUUAAUUCUUAUAAGAAUUAAUGAUUUUAGAAUAAAUUGCACUAAUUGAGUAUUUACUAUGGUAUAGUUUAUUAUAGUUUCAACUAUAUCAAAAAUUAUGAAAUAUAAUAUUUAAAUAUAUUUAGUGACCCACCGGUUGGACCACUCACUUACUGGUUGAACCAGUAAUCCGUUGACCCACUUCUUUCACCGGGCUCCUCUCCGGGCCGGGUUUAAUAACUAUGGUACAGGUCAUCAAGACAUUAUAAAAAUCUAAUGAUAUCAUUGUCGGUUUUCAUUUCAAUAUAAAAUAUAAAUGAUUCCUAAUCAAUUAAGUUUUGUAAUUUGUUUAAUCUUCCACUUGCAUAUCUCCAUAUUCGUUUUCCAGUGCAUAUUUGUACUUGAUCGGCUUCUAGUGUAAAUGAUUGUAAGUUCAGGGCAGCUUCCUCAAGAAUUUCGAAAUCAGUUUGAUGUGAUUUCUGUACCAUUAGUAACCUUAUACUGUUAAUCAAUUUAAUCUUCGUCCUCGGAUUUCCAGCUUCGUUCCAAGGAUGAUGCAGCUAUCUUACCUACCACUGACUUUUACUCUUCAUUCUGUACUUUAAUGAUGCAGCCUCUCAGCAGAUCCCAUUUAUUUACCCCUGUUUCCUACUUUGGUUCAGGGUUCAAUUUUCACAAGUUUUCAAUAAAAUUUUUUAGGGGUUAAUCUCAUUUUAUCCCCUUAAAGAAUACCCCAUUUCUCAGUUUACCCCCUAACCUUUAAUUUUGCUCACUUAACCCCCUUUAGGACAAAAUUGCCCUUGCAUUAUUUUGACUUUUCAUUUACCUUAUUUUCCUUGGGUAAAAUACACGGAACUCCCUUAUGGUUUCGCGAAAAGAUACAUUACCCCCCUAUCGUUUAGAAACAUACACAUAAACACCCUAAACUUCAUAACUAAAGUGGAGAUUGACUUCUUAACCGGCUGAGUUACCAGCUGCAGGUCGAAUACCCAAAAUACCCUCAUUUAUAAUAGAGAGGGAGAGAGAAUCAAGAACUGACUCUCUCUCGUUCAUCCUGUGUAAGAAAAAAAAACCCUAAAACAAGGGAUUUGUAUACUAAAUUGUUGCUGAAAUAUCAUGAAUCUGAGUUGAAAACAGCGUGGCUGCCUUUCGGACAUGAAUUGGUUGAUCCUAAAGGGUUCCUGAGAAGCUGGAACAACAGUGGUAUUGGAGCUUGUUCGGGUGGCUUGGCCGGGAUUAAAUGUGCUCGGCGACUAGUAAUUGUAAUCCAGCUUCCCUGGAAAGGUCUAGGUGGUCGAGUAACUGAAAAAAUUGGGCAGCUGCAAGCUCUCAGAAAGCUUAGCCUCCACGAUAAUGCAAUUGGUGGUGCAAUUCCUUCCUCGUUGGGGCUUUUGCCUAACCUCAGAGGUGUUCAAUUAUUCAAUAAUCGAUUUUCUGGUUCAAUCCCACCUACACUUGGUUUGAGUCCCCUUCUUCAAUCACUAGAUUUCUGUAACAACUCCCUCUCUGGAACUAUUCCAGCUACUCUUGCCAUUUCAACCAGGCUCUUUAGGCUUAAUUUUAGCUACAACUCUUUGUCUGGUUCAAUUCCCACCAGCCUUACUCAAUCGCAAUCGCUGAUUUUUCUUGCUCUAGAGCACAACAAUCUCUCUGGUUCCAUUCCUGACUCUUGGGGUGGAAAUGUGAAGGCCCUCUAUCAACUUCAGUCCCUAACACUUGGUCACAAUUCAUUUUCUGGGACAAUUCCAGCUUCUCUUGGCAACUUAAGUGAGCUCCAAGAGAUUUCACUCAGUCAUAACAACAUGGCUGGAUUGAUACCCAAUGAAAUUGGAAGACUAUCUAGGCUUAGAACACUUGAUUUCUCAUAUAAUGCACUCAAUGGGAGCUUACCUGCCGCUCUUUCCAAUUUAUCAAACCUUGUAGUUUUGAACUUGGAAAGCUACCAUCUUGACCACCAAAUUCCUGCAGCUGUAAACAAACUACAGAAACUAUCUGUUCUCAACUUGAGAAAUAACCAAUUUGCUGGUCCUAUUCCAGCAACAGUUGGGAACAUUUCUUUCCUGACACAAGUUGAUUUAUCUCAAAACAAGUUUAGUGGAGAGAUUCCAGCAUCUAUAGGUGAUUUACCUAAUCUUAGUUCCUUUAAUGUGUCUUACAACAAUCUGUCCGGUCCUGUUCCAACUAAGCUUGCUCAAAAGUUCAAUGCAAGCGCCUUCGUGGGCAAUCUUGAGCUAUGCGGAUACAGUGCAUUAACCCAAUGUCCAAUACCACCCUCUCCGGGCCCAUCAACUCCACCAGAAUCUCCAGCAAAGAAACAUCAUAAACUGAGCACUAAAGACAUUAUUCUCAUCGCAGCUGGGGCUCUCCUCAUCUCCGGAGAAAAAGGCACUCCUCCAACUGCAGGUGAAGUUGAAGCAGCUGGAGAAGCAGGAGGAAAGAUUGUCCACUUUGAUGGACCCAUGGUUUUUACAGCAGACGAUCUGUUGUGUGCCACAGCAGAGAUCAUGGGUAAGAGCACUUAUGGAACAGUAUAUAAGGCAACAUUGGAGGAUGGCAGUGUUGCUGCAGUGAAGAGAUUGAGAGAGAAGAUUACAAAAGGACAAAGGGAAUUUGAAACUGAGGUUAAUAUACUGGGGAAGAUCAGGCAUCCAAACCUUUUAGCGAUGAGGGCUUAUUAUUUAGGUCCGAAAGGUGAAAACUUCUCCGUAGAUCUUCUCCCUUUUUCCUUUCACUCUUUGAUAGGUUGAAAUCUCUUCUCCCCUGAUAUGUCACUUCAAUAUAGCAACUGAAGGGUAACUUGGGAAUGAAACUCAAGAUCUUUUCAAAAGAAUCUCGCAUACCCAUCAUCAGUAGGUCGUUCAGCCGGUUAUAGGUCUAUUUCCACUUUAGUUAUGAAGUUUAGGGUGUUUAUGUAUAUGUUUUUAAACGAUAAGGGGGUAAUGUGUCUUUUCGCGAAACCAUAGGGGGGUUCCGUGUAUUUUACCCUAUUUUCCUUUCUUUUAUUUCUUUUUCUCUUUCUUCUUUAUUUAAUUCUUCCUCUUUCCCACAAAAAUCUUCACCUUAAUGAUUGAAAUUAAAAAAAGAGGAAUUGCAGAGAUCUAUCCUCUCCUUAAAUGAUUAAAAAAUAUUCAAAUCACUUUCCUAAAAUACAAUUUUUUUAGCCUUUCAAUUCUUUUAACUUUGGGUUUUCCUCUUUCCUUUCUAGUUUCUCAUUUUAUUCCCAAGAAAAUAUCUUAAGAUGAAAUUGUGACCUGAUUAAUAAUCAUCAAUUGAAAUUUGUGACACGUGGCAUCAUACAAAAAAUCAAAAUUAGUUUUUGAUACCCUUUCAAUUCUUUUAACUUUGGGUUUUCCUCUUUCCUUUCUAGUUUCUCAUUUUAUUCCCAAGAAAAUAUCUUAAGAUGAAAUUGUGACCUGAUUAAUAAUCAUCAAUUGAAAUUUGUGACACGUGGCAUCAUACAAAAAAUCAAAAUUAGUUUUUGAUACCUUUUAAACCUUCACCCAGAAAUAUGCAAUUACAAACUCAAAACAAAAAUUUUCAUUGAAAUGGAAUUUCUAUUGGGAAGGAUGAAAGAGAGAAGAAAGAGAAAAAGAAAUAAAAGAAAGGAAAACAAUUUCAUCUUAUGAUAUUUUCUUGAGAAUAAAAUGAGAAACUAGAAAGGAAAGAGGAAAACCCAAAAUUAAAAGAAUUGAAAGGCUAAAAAAAUUGUAUUUUAGGAAAGUGAUUUGAAUAUUUUUUUAAUCAUUUAAGGAGAAGAUAGAUCUCUGCAAUUCCUCUUUUUUAAUUUCAAUCAUUAAGGUGAAAAUUUUUGUGGGAAAGAGAAAGAAUUAAAUAAAGAAGAAAGAGAAAAAGAAAUAAAAGAAAGGAAAACAAGGUAAAUGAAAAUUCAAAAUAAUGCAAGGGCAAUUUUGUCCUAAAGGGGGUUAAGUGAGCAAAAUUAAAGGUUAGGGGGUAAACUGAGAAAUGGGAUAUUCUUUAAGGGGAUAAAAUGUGAUCAACCCAAUUUUUUAGCAUUAAAUGAUAUCUACACAUUUUCACUUCUCACGUCGUUUGUCGUUUGGUUGCAACUUCUUUACUUUUUCACAAAAGCAUUGAUAAAAAAAAAACCGUUUUUUUCUUAACAACACUUAUUAUCAUUAUCAUUUUUAAAAGAUACAACAAAUCUCGGUACUUUAGAAUGUAAGUGCAAGUUAUCUUAGUUUUUGUUAUUUCAAUUAUGUCCUUAUUAAUUGAUGAUUGAAGUUUCAUAUUAUACUCUUUUUAAUUUUUUAUGACUAUUGAAAUUCAUUUUGUCACACCUUCAUCUUUUAAAAUCAAGUCGCUGUCUGGCUUCUUCUUUUUAAUUUCCAUCCUUUUGCUUUCUGGUGUUCUUUCCUUCUUGACAAUUAAUUCUUCAUUUUCCGGCAGUUUCUUUCUUCUGAGGAUCCACUAUCGUGGGUCAUGAGUGAAAAAGGAAUCGCGAUAAGCAAAAGAGUACAAAAGAGAGAGAGCACAAAACCCUAUAAAAUAAUUCCAAAGUCCAAAUGUAUCUAAAACUAAAAACACUUGAGAUAUUUUUUUUUUUUUGGGAAGCAUAACACUCGAGAUUUUAAAGAACACACAAAUGUCUUGUAAAAUCAAAAUUCCUAAAGUUUAGGAUUAUGAUAAAAUGAUAAUGUUAGAAUACUUCAUACUUUAGUAUAUUAAUUGAACCAUUCCAUCUAAUUAGUGGUUAAAAAAUAGGGAACUUAUAAAACACGAGCAGCACAUUGCAAUUAGUGGGGAACUUUUGUCACUUUGUUAAUGAAAAAUAGCAUGGCAGACUAAAUAGGACUUUAGGAAAAUUAAGUGAAUUUGAUGCUAUUUGUUGGCAAACUUCUUGGAAACUGAAGAAGAAUGGAAAAAAGAAAUGUCUUAAAAAAAGUUAAACACAACUAAUGCUCACAUUCUUAAAUCUUUUGGGCUAGUAUUAAAAAUACUUUAGUAGGUGACCAUGAGAUUUUUCCUGUUUUUCGUACUAACUUUAAUCACAUGCCAAAUAAAAUGUUGCUUUUUAAAGAACAUACCAUUGCAGGUGAAAAAUACUGCCACAAACUCGAUUUGUCAAGUGACAAGAUCAUUACUUCAGAAAAGGGUAUGCUGAUUUUUGCCUCUAUCUUCCGCACUUUUCAGAAAGAAAAAAAAAAGCAUAAUCAUUUAUAUGAGCUGCCAUUGACAGAAAAAAAAAAAAAGAGUAUAUCCCUGUAACAGGAUAAACCAAAAAAAGAGUAUAAUCACUUAUUUGUGCUUUAUGAUUAUCCUAUUUGUACUAGUGCUCUAUUUUUUUUUUUUUUUUACACUUUUCCUGUUUUUUCUUUUGACAAUGCCAUUCUUGAUAAUCCCCAAAAAUACUAUCCUCUUCCAGUUUGUCUUAUUUUUCUCACAUUGUAUUUUUUUUUUCUAGUUUCUGGUUGCUUUUAAGAAAUAAAGAUAUUGAUUAGAAUUUUAUUAAGGUCCUUGAAAUCACAAAUGCACUCAAAAAUUUGUGGAGCUUAUCAACUUACAAAUAUUGGUAAGACUAAAAACUGCUUAGACUCUAUAUACUUAGAAAAUAAUGGCCAACAAUAUUAAAUUAUUAAUGUGUACCCCUAAAAUACAAAGUAAAAAAAUGACAAGAUAUCGUAGGUAACUUUUGACUCUCUUUAGUUGGCCUGAUUUAUCAUUGCAAACCCUCAUGGCAAAUAUUAACCCAAAAUUACAGUAGUUUAAAAAAAUGCUCAUUCACACACACAGAGACACAUACACAAAAGGCGUAUAAAUAUAAACAAUCUUCCCUUCUUUGUUUAUUUACUUUUGCACCGUGCAAUGGCUGCUCCUUCAGUCCUUUAUCCGUUCGAAGAACCCACAAUCAAUUGAAUAACCCUGAAGCGUGAAGACCCCCACUGACUAAAAAAGUCUUCCUGAUAACUUCUACAUUUUUGCAUUUUGGCUUCUUUUGUAAGGCAGCUUCGUCUUUCAAACUCAAGUCGCUGUUUGGCUUCUUUUUUAAAUUUCCAUCCUUUUGCUUUAGUUUUUUCUUCCCUUUUGGACGAUUAUGGCUUCAUUUUCCCUCCAAUUUCUUUCUCCUGAAUUAGUGAUUACAAUUAUAUUUUCUAGCAUUUCAUCCUUAACUUUUUCACACGUCUUUGACAAUUCUUUUGUAGCAAUGGUAUCAAGAUGACAAACACUUACAGAAAAAUUAAAGAAUAUGGUAUUAGUUGUCGUAGGAUUCCAGUAACAUGAGUAAUUGACUUUCAAGUUAUGACUAGCAACAAAUUUCACCGGUGAAUUUUAAAUAUUUAACUAAGGUAACUAUUUUGAUAUAGAAAUCUGAAAAAAUAAGGUAAUAACUCAAUCAAUUGAACUACUACUUUUUAGCCUAUCACUCCAAAAUAUAUUUAGGAAAAGCCAAUAAAAAAAUUCCUUUUAUUUUUUUAGUUGGGAUUGCAUGGAUAGAAUAUUACUUAGAAAAAAUUUUGUAUAAUUCACUGUAGCAUGUUUUGUAGUGUAAUGUAUUUAAGUAAUUCUAAAAUAUGUUUAAGAGCAAUUAAAAAAAUAAAUAUUCUUUUAGAGUCAUCACAAUGAUAUGUAACACAAGUGUCCCACAAAUUAGCUAUCAUUGCAUAAGUAAAUCAGUAAAGAACAGAUUCACAUGUGAAUAUGUCUGGAAACAGUGUUUUGAAAACCAGACUGGACCGGCCGGUUCGACCGAUUGGACCGCAAAUCGGUCAUGGUUUCGAUCCGAUUCUAUGCUAUAGUUGAUCAGGUUAGAAAACCGGUCAAAAACUGGUUAAACCGUGAAAACCGCCGGACCGGAUUGAACUGGCGGUUUCCGGUUUUCGAGAUUUUCCCUUUUUUUUUUUUUUUUUUUUUUUACAUUUUGCAAAAUGCAGCUAUCAAGAUUCGAACUCAAGACCUUUGUAAUAAAAGACCAAUGUAGUAACCAUUGCACCAUCACAUCUUAUUAGUUUUUUUUUAUAACUUAUUUAUAUAAAACAAAAACUCAUAUUUCUUUUUUUCAUUUUUUUUACAAAAUCUAAUCAUCUCAUGGUUCUUUCUUUUUAAUCUUCAACACACACACACACACACACACACUCUCUCUCUCUCUCUCUCUCUCUCCUCUUUUUUUUGUCACUCACUUUUUAAUCAAACCACUUUAUUUUUAAUUUAUUGAUGUUUUCUUCUAUCUUUUAAUUUUAUUUUUGUCCAUUAAAUUGAAAAAGGUUAAAAAAGAAUUAUUUUUCUUUAACCCAAAUUAUUUAAUGCCACAACCACUCACUUUUAUCUCAUUUUUUAUUUCUUAUCAAGUUUGCAUUUCUAUUUUCGAUUCUCCUGACUUCUUUCGAACUCCAAAAUUCCUUUUUUAAAUUGCAAUCUCUAAAUCCCAAAACGUAAAUUAAAAUUUAAGUUCACAAAAUCUAAAUUCUCAUAGACAUGAAUUUUGUAUAAUUUUAAAAUAUUAUGAUAUUUUUGGGUUAGAUCUAAGAUUUUUUUGGUAGAUAUAAUUGAAAUUGAAAUGAAAUUUAUUUGUUUUAACUUAUAAUUUAAAAUUUUUAUUUUUAAAAAAUCAAGUUAUUCAAAAAUAAUAAACUUUUCAUCAUAUAAUGUAUUAAAUUAGUCCAUUACAUGUCUUAUUUUAUGCAUAAAUAUUUAUAUAAAUAUUUUUUUUUUAAAUUCAUUGAACCGAGGUUAAAUCGGUCCGAUCGAUUGAACCUCGACUCUUUCACGUCACCGGUUUAAUUAACGGUCCGAUUUUUAAAACAUUGUCCGGAAGUCUUUGCAGAAUCAAAGCCUUGUAAGUUCUGCCCCACACCUUUCAUAUUCAUACAUCUGAACGCGGUUUUGAUUUGUUGACCAAUGGUUCUGAACCACAGAUUAUUAAAGUUCAUAGUAUACUACGAACCCAGGACCGACUCUAAUUUCUUCCUUCUCUGUACAAGGUCAAGGACCCUCUCUUCCUUUCCUGACAUUCUCAAGUUAAAGAAAAAGACUGAAAAUGGCAGAAACAGUUCUCUCUUUUGUGUUAGAUCAGCUGUCAAUUUUUCUGCGUGAAGAGGGCAGAUUAUUGGGAGGGCUUCGCCACGAGGUUCAACUCAUCAGCGAUGAGUUGGGGCACAUGAGAGCAUUCCUGAGAGUGGCAGAAACAAAGGAAGAAGAUGCAGAUCCCAGGCUGCAAGAAUGGAUCAAGCAAGUACGAGAAGCCGCUUAUGACACUGAAGAUGUUCUUGAUGAAUUCGUAGCUCGCUUUGCUCACCAUCAUGCAACAGGGUUCUAUGGCUCUGUUAGGAAAAUUUUCAACUCCGUGAAGACUUUGCGAGCUCGUCGUAAGGUUGCUGAGCAAAUACAGAGCAUCAAGGCCAGAGUAAAGAAUAUAUCUGAAGGGCAUCAGAGAUACCAAUCAGAAUUCGGCGGUGCUACCCAAGCGGCGGAGUCUCUUGCUACUGUUAACAACACAACAUGGCGCUAUAGCAGGGAUGAUGCACUUCUCGUGGAAGAAGCUGAACUAGUUGGCAUUGACCACCCCAAACAACAGCUAAUUUCUCAACUACUCGAGAGGGAUGAUUCCCAGCUCAAAGUUGUCUCUGUGGUUGGCAUGGGAGGACUCGGUAAAACUACCUUAGUCAAAAAAGUCCACGAAGAUUUAGGUAUUAGAAGGCAUUUCCCGGUUCGUGCCUUUGUAACUGUCUCUCAACCAUGCAACUUCCAGGAGCUCCUGAAAGACUUGACUCGGCAGUUACACAAUGAUUUGAAGAAACCAGUUCCAGAAUCGAUUGAGACAAUGACUGCAAUUCAGCUGAAACAAUGUGUUAAAGAUUUUCUUCAACAAGCUGGAAGGUAUGCAAUUGUGUUUGAUGAUGUAUGGGAUGUGGAAUUCUGGAAUGCGAUUAGAUUUGCACUGCCCGAAAAUGGCUAUGGCAAUCGCGUCAUGCUAACAACACGAAAAGCCGAUGUAGCCUCUGCAUCUUGCAACAAAUCUCAAGAUUAUGUCUACAAAAUGGUGCCCCUCUCUUUCGAGGAUUCAUGGACCCUAUUUUGCAACAAGAUCUUCAAAGGAAAUGGUUGUCCUGCCCAUCUAACAGAUGUUGCAAAAGGUAUAUUGGGGAAAUGUCAGGGAUUGCCCCUUGCGAUUCUUGCAAUCAGUGGGCUUUUGGCUUUGAAAGACUUGAAUAUUGCAGAGGAAUGGGAGAUAGUUCGACGCAGCCUAGUGGGUGAAUUAGAAGGCUCUGGUAUGCUGGACAGGGUCAAAAAGAUACUUUCUCUCAGUUACAAUGAUCUACCCUCCCAUCUUAAGUCCUGUUUGUUGUAUUUAAGCAUUUAUCCAGAGGAUUUUGAAAUACCUUGUGGUAGACUUGUUCAAUUAUGGUCAGCUGAAAGAUUUGUGGGUAAGAGAGAAGGAAUGACUGUGGAAGAUGUAGGCUACAAUUACCUCAGAGAACUGGUCAAUAGGAGCCUAAUUCAAGUGACCCAAAUUUUUUAUGAAGGAAUCCCCUACGCUUGUCGAAUCCAUGAUCUAGUGCGAGAAAUUGUUCUUUCCAAGGCAAGGGAACAAAAUAUGAUCGCAAUUACUACUGGACAAUACACAAAGUGGUGGUCUGAGAAGGUACGCCGUUUGGUAGUCCAUAGUAGCAGCAACAACACCGAGCAGCACCAAGAAAGCCAAUGUUAUAGCUUUAACCACCUUCGAUCCUUUAUUACGAUUGAAUCCAUGAAUCCACUAAUAUCCAGAACCUUGUUAUCUGAAGUUUUGAAGAGUAGCAGAUUGUUAAAGGUUUUGGAUUUGAGUGAUGAAGAGACAUUGGAGAAAAUCCCAAAUGAGGUUUUCAACUUGUAUCAUCUCAGGCAUCUGAACCUAUGUAGGACAGGGGUUAAAGCAGUCCCGAAUUUCAUAGGAAAGCUACGAAAUUUGGAGAAUUUGGAUUUGCGUGAAACUCAAGUCAAGGAAUUACCCGUUGAAAUCCUGAAGCUACAAAAGCUUGAGCAUCUUGUGGUAUACCAAAAAGUUGAUGUUUCUGAUACAACUUAUGGAUAUCAUGGAUUUAAAGCUCCAUCAAAAUUGGGAGGGCUUCUUGCCCUUCAAUCAUUAACAACCAUAGAUGCGAGUAGCGGAUCCGUAGUAGUUAAAGAGAUAGGAGCAUUGACUCAAUUAAGACGAUUAGGGAUUUCAAAUCUGAGAAGAGAGGAUGGAAAGGUGCUCUGCUCCUCCCUUGCCACCCUCACGAGUCUUCGGCAACUAAACAUUGCUUCAAUUAGAAAUGAUGGUGGUGAUUAUGAGGUAAUGGAUCUGAAUCAUUCUCUUUCAUCUUCAAUGCGUUCUUCAUUUCUCCAAUCUCUUCGUAUGCUAGUAUUGCGUGGCCGCUUAGAAAUGAUGCCGCAAUGGAUAGCUCAUCUUCAAAGUUUGGCAAGAAUAGAUUUGUAUUGGAGCGGUUUAAGGGAUGAGGAGGAUCCGCUUGCACCCCUCCACCAUUUGCCAAAUUUGGUUACUAUUCAAUUUUGUGGAUCUUACCAAGGAGAGGGGUUGUGUUUCAAGGCUGGAGGAUUCCUAAAGCUGAAGGAUUUGUACCUAAAGAAAUUAGAAAAGUUGAGAUGGAUGGAAGUGGAGAAGGGUGCAUUGCCCAGUCUCCAAGAACUUAGUCUGGAUACACUUCCAUUGCUGGAGGAGUUACCUUUGGAUAUUCAACACUUAAGCUGUCUCCGAAAGCUGGGUUUGUAUGAGUUGGGUUCUCAACUGAUGGAGAAGCUAGAGAAUCUAAAUGAAGAGACUGAAGAUUAUAGAAAAAUUGCACACAUUUCUGAAGUUGUCAUUGAAUUGUGGACCGAUGAGGGAUGGAAACGUUGCCGGCUAUGGGGGAAGAAGAUGUAAAUAUUCCUCUCUUAGUAGCCCUGCCUUCCUAUUUCUUUUUAUUUACUUUUUGCACUUUUGUUUGUAACUUCUAAGUUUAUAAUUUGCGUUAUCUUUUAUCUUAUUGUAUAAAUAUUGUAUUGCAUAAUCUUGUUUAUAUGCGGUAUUACAAACACAAAUACUUCUCGACAUUCUUUGGGAUUGUCAAAGACCAAGGCGUAGGAUAAGUUGUUUUUAUAACAAACUAACGUGUCGGAAGUGGAAGAGUCCUUGAACAACACAGAGAAAAAGGAAAGCUCAGGUCUAGUAAUUAUGGCCUCGGAUUAAUAAUUUUCAAGUUUCAGGAAAGAAUUGUGAGUACUCUAGAAACAUAUAGGCUAAAAUUUUGUGCGGCUAUUCUUUGCUUAGUCCUAAAUCAAUUCAUUCCAUAGAUGCAAUUCGUGCCAGUGAUUAUUGGUGCAACUGGUGGACAAGAAAUCUUUGAUCCGAUAGAGCUCAAAUUACUUCAAUUACUGAAGGAAUCUUUGAUCCGAUAGAGCUUAAACUUUCAUGCAGCUUUUGAUGAAAAGCCAUAAAACAGUCUUUUUCCACGCUGCAAAAGACAUACACCUAAAGGAAAAGAUUACAAGACAUGACAAAGCAUAUCAGAUGAUGCUAAUAGGAGAUUUAGAUGUACAGUCUGCCCCUCCCCGCAAACUAUGCACAAGGCCACCACUUAAAUCACAGUAUCACCAAGUAGAAAGCAAAUGAUUGCUGGUAUCAAUUACCAAAACUAAGCUAAAUGUUGACGUGCCAUUUGAAGCUGCAUCUGUGUGUGUGUGUGCAGAACUAUCAAAAUGACGUAUUUACAAGUCAUGUAACUUGUAAUGAUGCCUACAACUAUCAAAAUUACGUAUUUAUAUCAUAUCUAAUAAGUUUGUUUGGACAACAUAUUAUUUGACCAAAUAUAUUUACUUACGUCAUCAUCACAAUUUCCAAUACACCUUUUUAUCUUUUCAAUUAUCUUUUUAUCUCACAUACAUUACAUCACAAAAAGUGCUACAGUAAAAAUAUCUCAAAUAAUUUACAAUCCAAACAAAUUUCCUGCAUCCUCUGCAUCAUAGGAUGCUUUUCCCUGCAAAUUCCUAGAAAGUUCUAUGCAAACAUAGGAUGCUUUUCCAGGAACACUUUCCGAGAAAAAUUCUAUGCAAACAACUCAAAGGGAAGAAGGUCAACCUAAUACCAGGAAGGAUUCACACGAUUCAGAUACUGCCGCAUCAUGGUUCUGAUUCAUGUGUCUCUAUCCUUCAAGUUGACUAAACCAGUAUGUAAUUGUUCUUGUGAGGACUCGAGUGUCGUUCAAAGAAAUUGUCUCAAGACCUUGAGCAACAGCAUCUACAGGCCUGAACUCCAAAAUUCCUUCAGCAAGCUGAAGUAACAUCCAUUUGAGACAGUUUGAGGAUUAGAGAACGACCAGAAGACAGAAAGAGCAACAAAGCCAUUUCACCAGUUGACAGAUAAAUGUCGGAGAUAUAGACAUGUUCAGCCACAAAGGUGGCAGGAUUUGUUUUCCAGGUUGGAUAGGCAUCAUCAUGUAAGAGGCUUGUCACCUGAUUAAAAACAGCUGGCAACCGAUCAACAAACAUGUUGACUGAAACUGCCACUUCCAGAUCGUAAUUUGGAAUCAUGGUUCCAGCAGUAUCAAGUAGUACUUUCCAUACAUCUGCUGUGUAUUAGUAUCAAUGAAAGGAGAAGGCAUUAGAAUUAGAAAGAUAACAUAAGCAAUUAUUCAACCUCAUCAGCUAUAUGUCUUCAAUAAAAUGAAGCAUAGUAUCAUACCUAUGAAAAAAAUCCAAAAUUGAUUUUAAAACCAUUACUAGGAUAUUUUCAUUACUACUUGAAGGCUUGCCUUGGUUUACAGAGAUACCUUACAUUUGGUAAUUGUGAAACUUGGGGAGGAUUUAAUAAAAGUUUCAAAAAUAAUAAUUUCAAGGUCUUGAAUUGAUUUCUGUUUCUUGUAAAUCAUAAAAAAUGAAAGGACAAGUUAAUUAUAUGUCACUCUUGUGCUCGGCCUUGUUUGGAUUGUUGUUUUCCGUUGAAAAAUUACGUCGUUUUCCGUGAUCACAUUUCCCUAUUACCUUUUUUCCUCACAUACAUCAAAUCGUUACAGUAUUUUUUCCAUGAAAAAUCAUGGAAAAUGCAAUCCAAACAUGAAAUAUAGCCUGCCAUAGUUUGCAGGAAAAUAUCUCUGUAUUCCCUAAGACCCUAAAAACAAUAUUCUACUCCCUCAACACAAAAUAGAAGAACGAUGUUUUACAUGAUCUAAAGCCUGACAUCAAAACACUUCAUGCAUUAAGUUUCUCUUCUUGAUAAAGCCCAGUUUUCAAGCACCAAUCUGCAUCACAGUGUUAUAAAAGCUUUAUGCACGAUUAGCUUGAUCAAGGAUUAAAUGAAUACACUACUUGCUUCAGUGUCCAUCACACUCAUAUCUUCAGGAAUAAAUGAGAAACAACAUUAUGUGGGUUAUGCGAGGAGGACUCGUAGAUUACAGCCUAGCAUGUGCAGACUCCCAAUCUUCCCCCCUCCCCCCCCCCCCCCCCCAACACAGUCGGGGUGGUGUGGGAAGCUUCUAUGGUUCAGGAAAAUAAUUGGAUUGCAAUUUUGUGCAAAAAAUUUUUUUUUACAUUUUCCAUGAACACAUUCCCAAUCACCUUUUUACCUCACAUACAUCAAAUCGCUACAGUACAUUUUCCUACAAAAAUUUCUAAAAUUAGCAAUCCAAACAGGGUAACACAAGGAAUUAACUGUUAAUAAACAUUUGCAAAAUUAAGAAAAAGAAACCAAAUGCAAGAGUACAAAUCCGAAUAUAGCUAAUGAUUCUUUUUCUUUUUCUUUUAUUUAGUUUUGUACAAGCCAAAAAAAUUACUUUUUGUUGUUACUGCUACACUUGCUAUCUACAUUGAAAAUGCACGUAUUAACAUUUGAAAGUUGCAAUGAAGUACACUCUCUGCAAAUGUCAAAUAACGUCUCUUUUUUUUUUAGUGUAAGUGGAAGGGUUCGAAUCCAGAAUUUCUCACUUACUCUCCCUCUUCUUGAACCACCCAACCCAUCCCUCCACCUCCCCCUCCCCCUCCCCCUCCCCCGUCCCUCCAAAAAUCAAAUAAUGUCUCAUUUUCCGUUUAAUGCAGAUAUUGUUGUGGCCUCUUUCAAAGCAUUAAAAUGGAAUCAAGACUAAAGAGCACUUGUAUGCCUGGGUAAUCUUGCGUAUGUUUCAAGGCCACAGAAAAUAACAUUUGCAAGAAGAUUCUCUUUUAGCAUAUCUAUAAGGAAAUCAAGGGUAGAGACACUUCACCAAACUAUAGUUCCAAAUAAUUGGUCUUCAGGAACCCAAAGAGUUGCACAGGACAGGGAAUUAGUAUAAGAUUAAAUCAAACUGGUGGUACCUAUUCAAAUUUUGUCCAAUACGGUAGAGGUACUCAUCCUCCAUUACAUUAACAGAAGGUUUGUUUUCCCAAUAGAAGAGAAAAUGAAAAAGGCAAAUAAACAUUGUCAAGAAUGUCACAACAUUCACAUGAAUUACUCAAUUAAGUGCAGAUAGAAAACUACACAACCAUGUUGACUGCGGAUUGUCGAUUUGUGGAUAACAAAGUUGGUACCUACAACUAGAAGCUUUGAUUUGGCUACAAAUUCAUGACAUCCACACAUUAGUAGCUCCACAAGUAUUUGUGUCCACACAAUUUGUAGGAUACAAUUUCUACAGCAUGCCUUGCUAGUUUCCGAAAAGCCCAAGACUUACCCCUCAUUCUAGUGCUAUCUAUGACCGUCACUAGAGCGUUUCUAUAUAAACCACCUUAUAGGUAACCAGUUGUCCGCUCUGUUGUUUAACACCCUUAUACAGAACUUAGCCCUAAAAAGUUAGACUAACUCAGAAAAUAGUACUAAACUAUUACUGCAAUUUACAAUAGAGAAAUAAAACAGAAACAGGAACAUUCCCUACCACCCCAUCCCUUCUCGCAGUCCACCAAUACUCAUUAGUCUACAACACAAAUUCCUCCACCUAACCCAAACUACAAGUUAGAUCAUGGGAAGGUGAGAGCAAAAAUGACCUUCAAGAGUCCAAACAAAGCCAUGCUGUUUCUCAUCAAAGCUAAUGUCAACGGUGAUUAUAUUAACAACAGAGGAAUUGAUUUGGCAAUUUCUCAGUAGCCCGCUUUUGUAAAGAGCAUACAACUAAUCAUGGGAUUCAAAAGAUUUCUAUUAGACUAACGCAGCAUUGAUGUAUAAGUAGCUAAAGCAACAUAACUAAUGAUGUUUAAUUUUAAAGAAGUAUUAAGAAAAUUAAGAAACCUUUUGCUGUGAUCAACCUGAGGCAUUUUGAGUGAAUGAAUAUACUGGAGAUGCUUUCAUUAUUGGAAGUACUUGACUGACAAGAGGUCCUAACUGCAUCAAAGCAUAAUACAACUUCAAAAAUGAGGAAUGUUACAAAAGCAAUACUAGUUCUUUGAGAGGCAGUAGACAAAAAAUUUGUCACGGAUUCUAAAGCAAGGGCUGAGAAAACUACAGCCCUACCAAUUGAACGAGUAUAGAAACAACUCAUCACAUAAGCAUAUUUACAAUCAACUCCACCUUGGUAUAUAAGAUUUCAAAUGAAAUUAAGGUUCAAAAACAAAUGACAAAAUUGAUCCACCAAAGCUCAAGGUAUAAUAUUUAUGCAAUAUCAAAAUAUAAAUUCAACAGACUAAAGAAAUGUUUAGAUCCAACUUUCCAUAUAAUCCUCAAUGUUGAUUGGCUCCAGUUAAGCCAUCACCAAGAUCAAGGAUAUGUUAACUAUAAUGUUGUUUAUGUGGAUUCCCUUAUACUGAACUAAUUUGUAUUCUUGAAUGAACAGAAGACUGAUAUGACUUCACCCUUUGGAUGAAUAAUAAUUGGUGAACAGUUCAGUAUAAGGACAAAAUUACAACAAUCACAAACGAACAAAAGUGCGUUAGUUGCUCUAAAAGCCAUCAGCAAGCAGAAGCAUAGGUGCUAAAACUCGAAGCAGAAAGAUCUAGAAAUGAUGUACAGACAUACCAUUUCCACAAAUAUAUGCAAUCACUGUGGACACUCUUUUAAUUAUAAACUGCAUAUUACACUUUCUACUUCACAUUUUUUUUCCUUUUCACUUUAUUUUCUGAGUUGCUACCUUCAGCUAUCAUUUGUCCUGUUUCAAUUAUAAGUUUACCCGUUUUCUUGCUCCCUGUAAUGUUACCAAUUAUUUCCUUUCCAAAAAAAAUCUUCACUUUACGUCAACUUCAUGGCAUAGCUGAAGCAAUAUAUAUUAUAAAAAAUUUUCUUUGUUAGCUGACAAUCAUAAUACGGCAUUGAUGCGAUGGCACCUUUACAUUGCUUUAUGCAUUAGCUUUUUCAUGUUUGUGUUUAACAUUUUACAUCUUAUACAUAUUCCAAUGUAAAGGGAAUAGCAUGACAAUUACGGAGAUUUUGAGGAUGAUAGGAUCCGACACAACAGGUCAUGCAUACAUCUUUCGACAACUAAGAUGAUAUUAUCCAUAGGAUUAUUGGAGGAUUAGUAGAAAUUCCGCUUGAAAAAGGUAAUAAACUCAUGCCAUGGCAUGAUAAUGAAAGCAAUCUUAGUAACUAAAGAGACUUUCAUCCACCAAGUGCGCUCUCAAAAAUGGCAUCAGCUGGAUACAUGUCAAAUAUCUACAGGACAUGACUUUUACAUCACUGAUGGGGUAGGUCUUAGAGUGCUAACACUCACAAAUCGUGGAGUUCCCUGUUCAUGAACUCAGACAAACUACAUCAGUCAGUUGCAUCACAUGAUAGAUCCUCAAUAGAAACCACGAUUCUUAUAAAUUUACCCUAUAUGUCGGUUUGAAAAUUCAGAGAGGCAAUGAAAGAAUAGGCUGUUUGCCUGGUGAAAUUUGAGCACAGAUUAGAUUUAAGAAGUAGAGGUUAGAUAGAGAUUAGGAGAGGUACAGGGCUAAAGAAAGGAAGGAAGGAAACAUGACUACUCAGACUUCACAGGUAAGAGCCUAAGAGGGGUUUCAUUCUGAAACUUUCUUGAUUCAAACUCACUCUCAAUUACAAAAACUAAUGCAAGCUAUUCAAAGAGUCUAACACAGCAACCUAAAAGCUUUCUCUUCUGAAAAAAAAAAACAGCCAUUCAAGAGUAGAGUCGAUAACAAUUGUUGUCCACAACAAUAGUAGCUAUGUUGGAUGACCAUUGAACUCCCAACCAUGGGUGUUAUUUGAAAGUCCACCCAUGCCCAUUGGACUUCCAAUCAUGCUUUACCCUUAGACUUCUACUACUAGUUUCAAGUACAGCAUCAUUAUCAGGCAGCCAACUACUUACCAACAAAUGUUGCAGCAACAAGCUCAACAGUUGCACACUGAAAAUUAGCAAAUGAACCACAAUCUGAAUCUCAAAUCAAUUCCAGAGCUAAAAGAUUGUGAAACUGAAGUUUUUUUUUUCCUUCGAUAUACUGAUGUCUUUCAUAUCCGGCAUCACACUAGCUAAGCCAUGGCUACAAUUAUUUGAUCUACCCUAGAGCACCAUUACCUGCUUGGCAUAGUAUGCAGCAGUUCUUAUGUCACAUGGUCGGAACUAAGAUGGAAACAAAAUACCCUAUAUACAAAUUGAAAAGGAUGAUUCUAAAAACUACUCUUGUUAUCCAUGGUAAAAAUGAUAUAUAUGAAAGAAAACCCAAAUCUACAGACUAUUUCACGAGUUGCAGCCAUCCUGUGCAAGAACACCCAAAUCACAAGGUGCAACAGCAACUUCUACACUCACGAGUUGCUACCAUCCUGUGCAUGAACUCAUACAGACUAUUUCAGCAAGUGGCAUAACACAGAUGCAUCCUGACUCACUAAACAUUGUUUUGAACUACUCAAUCUCCCCAUAGAAGUCCAUUCCCAGCUUCACAUAUUAUAUAACUGCUCUUAAGUCAUUAUGAGCCAGCCAGGAAGAAUCGUAAUCCCCAAAGGUUUUUGGGCUCUUGAAGGGUGGCCUCCAAGAUUUCAUGGCCACAACUGUAUAAGAAAAGGAAAUCCCCAUCCAAGUUCCUUGGAAGCCAGUAAAAGCCAGAACUAGGAAAAUGAAAGAAACUAAAGCAUAAACUGCAAAUUUUUCCUUCCCCAAGAGCAUUGCAUGAAUAGCCCAAGUUAUGGCAGUUAGAGAUGAAGGGGGUAAGAAGGGUAAUUUUCUUUCUUGUUUUUUUUAGGCGAAGGAAUAAGGGUAAGUACUGUAAAUACUUAAAUAAAGAAAGAUCUUUAGCAUUGAAAUAAAUAAAAAAUAGCAAACAUCCAAUUUAAUAAAGAUUUAUUGCUCAACUUCAACAGCCAAAAAGGUUAAAAACCAACUUUUUGCUAUUUUUUGGAUAGUCAGGAUAAUAGCUAAGCCCCUUAAAUUAGUAUUGGAAUAGAAUUACCUGCUCAAAGUAUGGUACUGCCUCCGACGCUGGCCUGUUGUUGUAUGAUAUUAUUGCAUUUGCCUUCAUUGAGAGACAAGAAUAACCGUCAUUAAGUCAAAAAGUACUAAACACUGAACUAAGGUGCAUGUUCACACAUUAAAGCUGCAAAAGCAUAACUUUUUAGUUAUAUUUUUCUUAUCUUAAUUAAGUUCAAUGUUGGUUAAGCAGUUAUGAAACUUUGGAAGAAAGAAGCAACCUUGGGUAUCUUCUCACAAAAAUAACUUCCAUUAAGCACUUGUAGAAGUGCACCAUUGCUGCAAUUAUAGUUAAACCAAAUAACGUCAAAGAUAGUAUCGUGAUAAGAAUGAAAUAAAAGUUAGAUGAAUUAGAUAGCAUUUUAGGCAUGGUUAUCUAUAACGAAGUCUCAUCGGAAUGAAACUUAAGAGUACUAGCGAGGUUUUUAACCUUGAAGUAUUCUUCAUCAUCCUCACCAUUUCAAAGUAAACAUUCCCAGCAUUUUGUUAAUCCAAUCCAAUCAGUCAUAAGUUCCUCCAAUGUAUCCAAGCUUAACUCGAUCAUCUUACAUUCAAAAAACAAUUCAUUGGACAACUAUCCCAUGUUCAGCUCCAAAACAGCUUUACUGAACCUCUACUAUGAUAAAAUGAAUGUUGAUAUGAAGGUUAGCUGCUCCAAUACACAUUGAUGUAAAGAUUCCUCAAGAAAAAAAGAGGACAGGCCUAACAUCCUCGGGACAAAGUAUAUCAUUGAGCAUACAAACUAACAUUAGACAACACAAUUAAGGCUUUAUGAAGUUUAAUUUGUGAUCAUUAAUGCUCAAUUAACCUCCACUCACCUAUGGCCAACCGAGUAAAGUGGAAGAUCAACAAUAUCAUCAGGUGAAAGGCCAUAUUCUGGCAAUUCAGACCCCAAAAUCAAAUCAAAGCCAGCAUGAAGCCUCUCAUAAAUCUCCCUAGUAACUUUUUCAUGAUCAAACGUCACGUUAUAUGGCACCGAGAUAAUGAAAUAGCCUUCAUUUGCCAGUUGCUCAAGCAAAUAGCUGCCACCACAACAAAAACAACUAAUCAAACAAAACGGAUUAUAAGACUCUAUUACCAUUUUAGUUUACAGUAGAAAAAAUUGAAUUAACAACCCUCUGUUCUGUAGUAAACAUCACAGUUUGAAUUUCAAUCAAGUAGACCUUGCUUUUCCAGAGCAAUGUUUCCUUCUUCUUUUCCCAAGUUAAAAAAAAAAAUUACUUCAACCACAGGAAAAAUCUUCCAAAAAAAAUUAACACUACCAGCAAAUUUAUUUCAGUUUCUGUGUUUCAAGAAUUAAUUCAAGGAUUAAUCUAAUAUAGUGUGUUAAAACUAUAGUUGGACAAGCAAAUAGCCACAUAUAUUAAUCCAGAAAUUAAAUUAAAAUGUUCCAUCCCAGAAAUCUAACAGCACUUCAUCAAAAUAGGAAAAAAAAAAAAAGACAUGAAAAUUAUCAACUAUAAUAGUGAAGUUUGAAACCAUAGUUAUUAAACCCGAUCCGGCUCGACGGUUCGACUAGUCAACCCAGUGAACCGGCCAUGGAACUAGGCCGGGUUCUUAACAAGAUCGUUUCUGCAUUAAAUCCGUAGACUUUUCAACGGACCGACGGUUCAACCGGUUAACUCGAUUGAACCGGCCGAUUUUCUGAGAAACCCGGACUAUGGAAAAAUUUUGUAAACAUUGCUGGAAUGGAGAUUCGAACGUGUGACCUCAUGCAAAGAAGAAGACAACCAUUACCGCUGGACCAACCAACCAUUUAUUACUUACUUUGCUCUUAUAUUAUAUAUUAGAGUCUUAUUCUUAUUUUAUUUCCCCAAAACAAAAUUUAUUUGAAAUCUUUUAAUAACAUUUUUAUUAUUCCCUGAACUCUAUAAAUUGUGAAAUUGACUUAAAAAUAACAUAUUACAAAAAUCAUUUUAAUGGCAAAUAUUAUUCUUAAUAAACUUUUGCACUUAAAAUUCAUAAAUAAACUAGAUAAUUACACUUAGAUAAAAUUUUAUACUUGAAAUUUGGUGGAUUACUAAUUAAACUUAGGUUGUUAAUUCUUAUAAAAAUUAAUGAAUCUAUAAUAAAUUAAACUAACUGAAUAUUUAUUAUGGCAUAAAAAAUUAUAAAACAUAAUAUUUAAAUAUUUGUAGUGACCCACCGAUUGGACCACUUACUCACCGGUUGAACCAGUAACCCGUUGACCCACCUCUUUCACUGAAUUCUUCCUCGGGCCGGGUUUAAUAACUAUGUUUGAAACAGAGAUAUUAACGACAGGCGAAUAUACAUAAGUAAAUUGGUGAUUGACCUGUAAGCAACUUCAGGGACAGCUCCAACAAAAGCACCUCCCAAAAAUUUAAUAAUAGCUUUAGGUUUUCUCCCUCUUGGAGGAGGAAUGACCAAACAAGACUCAAGCCUAUGGUAAAUUCGACCAUUGUGAUUCACAAAAGAAGUGUUCUUGAAGCUAUUGGGUUUAACCAUUUCCAUUUGGAUCCUGCAAGUUGUCAUUUUUUAGGGUCUUUUGCAAUUCUCAGUGGGAAAACCCCUCUGGAGAUAUAAUUGAGAAAAGGGCUUUCUUUAAAUUUGUUGAAUCUUGGAAAGUUGUUGAGAAUAGACGUGGUGCUAGCCACGGCAGCCAUGGCCAGCCUUCUUCACUCGGAGGUUCUAGUUGGGAGUUGGGAGGCGAAAUUGGAGCUAAAAAUGUGAAGCGCGGGAGGCAGUACGUGGCAUUAUAAUUGCUCUCCUUUUGUUCCAACUAGAUUUGGGGCUGAGUAACAAGUUCAGUCGAAUUCAAGUAAUACUAUGCUCGAACUCGAAUUCAGUGCCAUACAGACCUAUUCGAGCUGGAACUCGAGUCACGCGAGCAGGUAACUCAAUUUGAUUCGAUAAUAUGUAUUCUAAACUCGAGCUCGACUCAUUAAGAUUCCAAGUUAGUCUCGAAUAUGUCGCGCCCCAUUUUUGAAAAUAAAUUUUAGUGUUUUAACGCAUUUUUUAUUUUAGAAAAUAAAUAAAGAAAAAGGACCUAAAAUGGAACUUAAAAUAUGCGACGUUUUGAAUCCAAAAUAAUAGUUUAAAAAGGAUUUUAGAAAAAAUUAGAGUCGCCACUUGAUAUUGAAUUUAGGUGUACCAAAUCACCUAAAAUAUAUUUCAAAUAAAAAAAAUAAAUAAAACCCUUUUUAGACGACUUCGGGUCUUUGAAGCACAAGAUAAAAGAGUUCGAGAGUCACGGUUGAAGAAAGGGAAGACAAAGAUUUGAUAGGUUCAAACCUAAAGCACCCUUUCAAUCUAACCAAGGUUAGUUGCAAGAUUUAGUCAAAAAUUUUCAUAAUCUAACCUAUAAAACUUAUCACAUUUGGAUGUUUUUACAUAGAUGCAAAUCGAGACUUAAAGGAUAUUAGGAGGGUCGAAAUGUCUCUUCAAAAUUUAAUUGAUGCAAAAUACAUUAAUUGUGAUAUCCAAGAAUGAUUCUUAGAAGAGGUCACGGAAAAUACAAAAGAUAAGAGUCAAAAGGGAAAUUAUAGUAUAUAGAUAAAUAUACAUGAUCUAAAAAAGGGGAAUGUAACAUAACGGGUAUGGGAUGUUAAAAUUCAUGACUCAAAUUUUCCUUCUUAUAGAAGAGAUAAUAGCGUGCUAAGAUUAAGAAAUCACACUAGUUCAUUUCCCAUAUUUGAAAAGUGAUUCUUCUAAUCUAAUUAAACAAAUGGACUAGCCUACUUCUAAUUUCAUAGAAUGAGACGCAAUUCUAAAUGAUAUGAUCCAAAUAUAUAAAGGGUAAGGCAAUAAUAGUAGGAAAAAUAACAUGCAAAUCAAAAUAAUCCAAAAAUAGGAAAAAUGCAUGAAAUGCAACAAAUGUCACACAAGGUAUGAAUCUAGCACGAAAACAGUCUAAAAGGUCUAGCACUGGACUAAUCCAUUUCUAUAAGUCCUCACUAGCGUUAGACUAGCAAAAAAUUGGGGAGAAAGGUCACAAUUAGCAUUGGACUAGUAUGGUGACAUCAUACAUUUAUUAUAAAUAAAUAAAUCAUAUAAAACAUAAUUAAAGCAAAUAAACAUAUAAAGCAGAUAAAGCACGUAACACAUAAGCAUAAUAUCUCGAUGUAAAGAAUCUAAAGAAAGCGAAUAAACACAUAAGCACAUAAGGAAAUAAAUGCACAUAAAGACUUAACUAUUACAUUGGGGCUCUAACUAUAACCUAAAAGGGAAAUUUGAAAAACAAUAACCUAACUACUAUAUCCAUCUAAUUAACUACAUUUUUUGGCAAAAAUAAAAUUUAUCUAUUACAUUACCUAACUAAAUACAUUUCUUGAGCAUCUAUCUAUUACAAUUAGGCAUUUAAAUGCCUUUCAAAUAAUUAUGAAAAAUUAAAUAUAAUAAAUAAAAUUUUAAAAUGAAUAAAUACAAGAAAAAGCACUCAAAAUAUGCAAUCACACAAAAAAAAAUAUAGAAGCACAUAAAAGGAUUUAAAAUAAUAAUAGAAGAUACCUCCCUUGAAAUAGUGAUUAAAUGAGGUAGAAGUUGCCCUAUUUAUACUCCAAAAUCAACAAAAUAGUCAAGACACUAAUUUAAUUAAUAAUUAAAAAUAAAAUGUAAGCAUAUAGCAAAUUGACUUGAUUAUAAAGAAAUAUAAAUGGACAUAAAAUUCCUGAAAUUUACUAAGUAAAUGCAUUUAAAUGAGGUAUAAUUAAUUAUUUAAAGAAGAUAGAUAAAUUAUACUUAAGAAAUCAAAACUGUCACGGAUCCAAUUGCAAAAAUUGAAAAGUUUUUUGGGGUCAAAAUAAUAAUUUUUGGAAAAAGUCGAUGGUCAAAAUUGAACAAGAGAUAAAGUUCAUGGAUCAAAUUUUAAUUAAAUUAAGGACCUAAUUGAAAGAAAUCUGAAGUUUUUAGGGCCAUAAUGAAAUUAAUCAAAACAUUAGGAACUAAACUACAAAUAUGCUUUCUAAUUUCUUAGGGCUGGAAGGCCUUUGGAACUUCUCAUUUAUUUUCUUGGGUCGAAAACCUCUUGGCCAAAAGGGAAAACACAGAGAAAAUUUUGGCUAAGCAAACCCAAAUAAAAAAUGUUGGGUUUUACCUACAAACUCACAUCAUAAACCAAAGAAAAUAUACCAUAAACCUAUCCACCAAAACCCGUUAAAUAACCCUAACCCAUUUCUUAAAUUAUUUUCCUAAACCCAAAUAUUUAAUUGAAUAAAUAAAAGCCAACAAAAAUGUUUAGACCCAAAUUAUAUCCUAAAAUUUAGAAAUAAUUCACUCAAAAGCAUACAUAAAACAUGUAAAGAGGAUCAAGGCUUGCAAAGAGAAGAUUUGAUUCAUUUUUUCACAACUUUUGGGCCUUAGUGUAAUUGUUCAAAAGUCAAGGGGCCAAAUUGCAAUUUUUCUAAAUUUCUAUGCAAGCCGUCAAUAGGUGAUUGCUCGAAAAAUUCAAGUACCACAGAUUCCGACUAGUCCAGGAUGAAAGGAUUUCCACUUGUUUCGAAGAGUUCAUUUUCAAGUAUAAAUGGCUUCUCAAUUUUUUUCAAUUACUUCAUUCUCGUCUACAAUAUAUUGGGUAGGCUCUUCAAACUACUCAUCAGUGGUAAUAGCUCCCACAGUGCUCUUAUAUUCAGGAAGAGGAUUCUUACUGACAUUCAACCUUUGUUCACCUCUCCUCCUCAAAAUUAUCUCUCUGGCGUCAAUCAUGUCUUGAAUUUUGUGUUUCAAUGCCCAGCAACUGGCAAUAAAGUGACCAGGACUCUCAGAAUGAUAGGCGCAAAUGACUUGAGGAUUAUAACCAAUAGGAAUACCCCUAGGGUAGGUUUUAGGAGGUACAAUGCCAAUUUUGCUAACAGUUUUAAGCUGCUCAUACAAUUGAUCGAGGAGUCAGGCUAGAUUAGUGAAGAUUCGGAACUGGUUUUGGGUUUGGGAUCCACUAGCUUGAGCAUGGUUAUGGGCUUGGUUAUUGGUAGGGUGGGAUCCCCUUAGAUUAUAAAGGGGUUGGGGUUGAGUUUGCAAAUUUGUGUGAGAAAUUUAAAAAGGCGAUGCCGGUAUGCUUGUAUAGUUUGGUUGGGAGCAAGGAUGAUUGUUGGUGGUGCGAUAAACGGGUCGGGGGUUUGGAUAGUAUGGAUAAGGAGAUGAGUAGGUGGAGUGGUUUUGAAAUUUGGUCUAGUUGAGGGGCUUUGAUCCCAUACAGAGGCAGUCUCUCCUCUUUUUUUUUUUUUUUUGAAUUGAGGCUUCUUUUCAGAAUUAUUUUGGCUCUAUAGGGCUUCCAAUUGCAUUUUUAAAGUUGACACGUUAACUAUUUUUCCUGCCUUGACAAACCCAUCAAAUUCUUCAAAUUUGUUGACAAUAGCAGCAAAUAAACACUCAGUUAUACGAAAAAUCUCUUCAAAGUAUAGUGGGUCAUGUGCUUUAAUGAAUAUGCGGACAGUGUCCUCCUUGGUCAUAGGGGUUUCUACCUUGGCGGCCAACUUCCUCUAAUGUUUAGCAUAUAUCUUAUGAUCUUCUAAUGGUUUCCUCUUGGUUCCUUUGAGCGUCGUUCUUGUCUGUGCAAGCUCACAAUUGUACUCAUAUCACAAAAGUUGUAGACAAAUCCAACCAAGUUUUCAUCUCUUUAGGCUUCACAUUGGAAUACCAGUCCAGAGCGUCGCCUUCCUAGCUUUCAGGAAAUAAAUGCAUUGGUAGGUUCUCAUCAUCCAUUGAUUUCCUUAACUUGUUUGCAAACAUUUGGAGAUGCAUCUUGGGAUUUUCGGUUCCAUCAUACUUACUAAAUUUAGGAACUUUAAAACCCAGAGGCAACUGCAUAUCCGGAAAGAGACACAGUUCAUCAUAGUCCAAAUCUCCAUGCUUGUUCAAUCCCUGGCUUUUUUUUCAUGAACUUAUCAAAUCGAUCCAAUCUUUUUAGCAAAUUUUUAUCAAUUGAAGCAGAGGGUUCGUCAAUUUCUGCCUUUGUUUGAACGACAAUGUCCAACAUGAACGACUCUAUGGUAGGGUGAUGGGAUCCUUAAGAGUUAGAUGGGAUAUUCAAGUUGAUUUGUAGGUAACUUUGGAGAAUUUGGUUGCUAGUUGGAUUGACGAAAAUAUUGUUUGGAUAUGUAUGCGGUAAACUAGGGAUGGGGUAAGUAAAGGCGUCCCCAGGUGGACUUGUAAAAAGUGGGAUAAAAGUGGUUUGACUAUGUGAUAUGUGAGGUGAGGGGUGAAUAAAUUUGAUACGUACCAAAUUCAUACCCGAAUUCAAAUUUAAUUUGGUACUUUGAAAUCGGGUAUUUGGUAAUUUGGUACAAAAGCUGUAUUUACCGAAUUCACCGAAUUCUAAUAUGAUAUGAAAUAGGUAAUGAGAUUAUGAAUUUGGUAAUAACCGAUUUCACAUUUAAAUUUAGUAAAAUGAAAUAGGGCACCGUAUUACCGCAUUCGAAUACCAAAUUAGUUUAUAAAAUUAUAUAAUAUAUAGAUAAAUGCUAUUUAGUAUUAGUAUAUACUACUAAUAUAUUAUUAUAUUAUAUAGGUAAAUGCUAUUAAUAAUAGUUAGUAUAUGGUAUUGCCAUGUACUUAUGAUAAUAAUAAUAUAUAAUGAUGUACAAUAUACUAUUUUAGUAUUUGUUAAUUGUUAUAUGACUAUAAUAAUACAAAUAUAUAAUAAUACAUAGCAUAACUAUAAUACUUAUUAUUUUAUACAAGACUAGAAUUAGAUGAUAAUUAAUAAGUAUAUGUAUAAUACUAAAUAUUAAACAAUAAACAUAAUUAAUGAUUAGAAUUUAGAUAUUGGUAAUUUGAUACAUCAUUCAUGUUUGAAUUAUUGAAUAUUUGAAUGCGUAACUUAUAACUUGCAAAUAUUAGUGUACUCUAAAAUUACAAAACAUAUUUAACAUAAAAAUCCAUAUUCUCUAUUCACUAAUCUUAAGGAUUUGUGCAUAGACAAGACAACUAAGCAGUUUAAAUGAAUGCAUAUGAAUUGCAAAUCAAUGUAUUAGUGUAUUGGCUUUUACUAUUAAAACCAAUUAAGUGAUUUGCAAAUUUUUCCAAAAAAGCUAUAUAAGAAUGGAAACUACAAUUAAAGGAUUCAGCAGACUUGUUUUCUUUUAAUGAAUUCGGUUAACCCUAAUUCAUUACCAUUUUCAAAUUCAAAUAUGGAAGUGAAAUGAAUUCGGGUAUCUCUAAUUCAAAUUUGAAAGCGGUUUAAAUUUUUAUAAGUCCAAUAACCGAAUUUACUGAAUUACUGAUUUUGCACCGUUUGCUCACCCCUAUAUGAGGUGAUAGGUUUCUAACUCAUAUUGAUUAUCGUCAACGGGAUAUGAUCAUUUUGGACACUGCCAGUGUUGUUUGAGAUCAGUUAAUUGAUCAUGCGCCUUUGUGCCACCAUCUCUGCACUUAACUCAUUGAAUCUGUUCAGCAUCUCUCUCAAUUGGGCCCCCAAAUUUGCAGUAUUUAAGAUGGAAUUAUGGUAGAUCUUUCUGUCGGUUCCGGAUGGAAAUUCAUAUUUUCACGGUUCUCAAGAUUCUGCUGCGGGACCGCGUAAUGAUGAGAUUUCUAUGAGUAGUUAUGUUUGAAAGUACCUAAGAAUGCUCGUGCAGUCAAACGAACAUAAGGUUUCCCCGAAAAUGCAUGUUGGUUUCUGAAACGAAGUCAGGAAAACUUCAUCACAGGGUGCGCAGUCCUAAUGAACCCGCUACUUUGAGUUUCGAUUUGACUGGCUUGGAGGCGUUUUCCCUAAAUUCUUUCAAAACAAAAAUUGCUCUACUGCAUUCAGGGAUAGUGCAGAAAUCAAUAGUUUGCUCAAAAAGUUAAGAUCGACAAUGGAAUUUGACAAGGAACUAGGCUGGUCCGUCAGCCUAGUCGCAAUUUUUCAGAAAACUUCGUUUUUUUCUUUUUUUGUUUUGUUCUCUCUGUCUCUCUCUUUUGUUCGCUUUCCUGACUCUUUUUUGCUCUCUCCCUUCUCUGCCACCUCCCUAGACUCUUCUUCCUAUUUUUAAAUGCAAAAAAAAAAAAAAAACCCCUCAAACCCUAGGAACAAUAAUAGAUAUGAAACCAAGUUUGAUGGCCAUUUUUUAUCCAAUUGAUCAAUUUUUCGAGUGUCUCAAGAUAAGAGUAGGAGGGAUUAGUUGUGUUGUACUUAUUUAGACUUGGAAGGCCAAGAAAUCAGGAGCCAAAACGAAUUAGAAUUCCUCCAAAAUAAUGCAACAUCGCCAGCUUUCUGUACUAUCGUCUAGGGAAGAAGGUAUUGCGUGCAUGCAAGGGUUUUUUUUUUUAAACAAACAUCUAUUUUUUUUUGUUUUCUUUCUUUUCUUUUUCUUUCUAGUUUUUCUGCAAAAACAAUCAAAUAAAAAUCUAAUGAGAUGAAAUGAUUUUUCUUUAGAAAAAAUAAAAAAAUAAUAAUAGAGAUACAAUCACAUUGGUUUUAAUCCAUAAUCAUCUAUCAUGCAUUCAUAUAAUACUUUAUUAAAUGAAAGUAUAAAAUUUAUUUAGUUCUAAUCAUAUAUCAGUAUAUGCUCAAGCCUUUAAUCUCAAAAGACUUCAAUUUAAGAGGUUUAAAAUUAAUUGAAUCAAAUUCAAGUGAUAAUUAUUUUUAAAAAUCUAGAAAAUUCCUUUAACUAGAGAAUCACAGUCGCAAAGUGAUAAGUGACUAAUUUGAGCUAUAUUUGAAUGACAUUUUAUAUUAUUUUUAGUCACUUUUGCAAUGCUAUAAGAAGAAAAUAGAUUAUUUUGACUAUUAUUAGUUUAAAAUGCUCUUAAUUGAUUAAAUGAGAUUUAUGUUCCUUUUUACUUGUAUUUUGUCCAUAAUUUUUAUAGGAGUUGGAAUGGACGUCAUUUGGAUGAAAAAGGAAAGUUGACAGCUUUGAUACAUUUUCGUAUUUCGGCUAUAACUUGAGUUAUAAUGAUUGGAUGGAGAUAAUUCUUGAACCAUUUUGAAGAUAAGAGAUGGCUCUACAAUUCUUAUGAAGACAUCGAAAUUUAGUUUAAAGGUUUUCCAGGUCAAAAAGCCAAAUUAUAGUAGCCAAUUUUGUAUGAUCGAAACUGAAACAAGGCAUUGAGUAAUCAAGGGUAAUUCAGUCAUUUCGUAGCCUACACAAAUCCAAAAGAGGUGAUUCUUGAUGCAUUGGAAAUCUAAUUCAAAGGGCUACAAGUUUUAUGUUUUAGUCAAGAGUUAAUUCAGCUUCUAUCAUUGAGAAAAUUUCAGUUGAAUUUGAUACGAAAUUGGAACGACCUUGAAAACUGAACAGAAAUUCAGAAGCAAAGUAGGGGAGAAAUCCGGUCGACAAUCCGACCGGGUUCUAACAGGAUUCUUGGCUAGAUUCUGGUCAAAAAUGCUGCUCUCUAUUUGCACAACUUGUUUUCUUCUCCAAUAAUUCACAGCUAUUGAUGGACGUGUGACAACCAUUUUGCAGCUGUAAAAGUGAUGUUUGAAGCCUCAUUUCUUGACUAAUUUUAUCUAUAAAUAGCCAUGGAGUUGCAAGAAUCAAAAGAGCUUGAAGAGUGUAAAAAAUACUACAAAAAUGUAGUUCUUACAUUUUCUUGAUGUUAGGUUAGUGUAGUAUAGGAGAGUUUAACUAGUUAGUUCAUCCUUCUUAUUUAUUAGCUAGGAAAAAAUGAAGAAGGAGAUGAAGAUGGAGGAGAUGAACUCAUGUGACAAGGGUUACAUUUCAUUCCAAACUCUUUAUCUUUUAUACUUGAUUCUAUUGUUUAGUUAAUAUACAAGUUUAGAUUCUAUGUUUAUUAUGUGUUUCUAAAGUUUAUACUUUGGGUUUAGUUGAACUUUCUAUGAUUGUUAGAGUUUAUUAUUUGGCUAUUUGAUGCUAUUAUUUUGAACAAGUUAUUUAGUAUUUUUGCUCUUUAAAUCAUGAUUACUUGGUACCAUUAAUUGUGAUUAUCUUAAGGUAUUGUUUCUUUAAUGAAAAUUGAAAUUUAAUAUUAGUUCAAGAAGUGCUAAACCUAGAGACUACAUUCAUGAGAGUAGAGGUACACCUUUGUGGUUUUAAUAAUUCAUUUCAUGUAAUUUCAUUGAAAAAAUGAACUUGUAGUUAAUUUCAUAACCACGAGAGUAGGUAUCGAUUAGUUAUAAGUAUAGUUGAUUCACUACGAGAGUAGGUUUCACAUGCAUACGAAAAUUACGCCAUAACUACCAAUAUAGUAGCACUCAAUGAUCCAAAAAUAGCACUUGCAUGAGUAGUUAGGGAUACCAUAACCUAAGGAGUUUUCAUUUGUUAUUUUCUUGCAUAAGUUUAGUCUAGUUUUAUAUCUUUUAAUUCAUUGAUUAUCUAAAUAAUAGAGAAAUUUUAGUAGUGCCGGUAAUUGUCCAAUCUUCCUCGUGGAAUCGACCGAUAUAUGCCCUAAACUACUAAUUUGAUCUGUAUACUUGCAGUCAAAACGGGUGUAAAUUGGAUUUAAACUUGUACACAUAUCAAAAAUUCGUCAAGUUUUUGGCGCCAUUGCCAGGGAAGAUUUGUGGCAAUAUAGGCGUGAAGAGCAACUUUAUUAGUUUAAACAUUUUAAUAGUUUUUCAGUAUAUUAAUUGAGUCUAGUUUGUUUUGUGUUUAUCGAGUUAGUUUUGAAUUUUAUUUAUUCAUUUUUUUUGCUUAACGUGUGUAUGUGCUUUAUCACCUAUUCUUCUUACUAAUCUUGUUCUUAAGUUGUUUAAAAGCAAUAUUAGAUAAUGAGGAGGGUAGAUCAAUUUGGAAAACAAUGCAUGAGAAGUGGAAGUUUGGCAAUGAAUGGUUACUACGUGCAAAGUUCCAUAGAUAGAAGUAACCAAGAAUUUAACGAAAAUAUGUCGUUUGAAGAUGGUUUAAGGAGUUUAAAGGUUAAACUUGAUGUUAUAGCGUUAAAUGUUCAAAUAGACACCAUUACGAAUAUGUUUGAACAAAAAAGGAAUGUUAAUACUUUUAAUUGUUAUCAUGUGAUUUGUGACUUGUGUGGAGAUUAUCAUGCUACUCAUACAUGUAUGCAAGUACAAAAUGUGGAUUGCUAUGAUGAAUUUGGGCACUAUAAUUCUUGUUUUGAUCAAGACAACUCUAAUUGGGGUAAUUCUUAUGCUUACGGUUGGGAUAAUCAAUGUGCAUAUAGUGCUUCUCCAUGUUCUUUUGAUUACUAAUCCGAAUGUUUCCAAUAUGAAUAUAAACCAUCUUAGAAAUUAGCAAUAGAAAGAUUAGCUAAUGAUUCUAAACCAUCUUAGGAGUUAGCUAUAGAAAAACUAGCUAAUGCGACCGCCGACCGUUUUGUUAGGAUUGAGGAAAAAUUAGAUAAAUUAACUUCUCACUUUGGUAGAAUACAAGGCCAAUUGCAUGAGUUAUAUGAAAUUAUUUCUUCUAAUGAUAUGUACUAUGACCCUAGCAUAAAUGGUGAGCAUAUUGCAAGUGAAAGUGGAUUAAUUUUGAUGAAAAUGAUGCAUAUAAUGUGCAUUUGAAUGAGAAAAUGUUCAUUUCAUAAGAUAGUAUUUUUGGAACUAACCUUGAACAUCAAGAAGUGAGUCUUAACUACUCAUUGUUAACCCUUCUUGAGGAGCGUGUUGAAAGUAUAGGUUCUAAAGGUAUUAUUGUCCAAGAAACCCUCAUGGCAUCUCCUUUGGUGAGUACUCAAGUGAUGCACAUCCAAGGUAAUAUCUAUGAGUCACUUGAGAUUGGUAAGCCACUUCCAUCUCUCAUAUCAUUAGAUUAUGUGUCUUUUGCCAUUGAACCACCAUUUGUUAAUCCACCACAUCUUCUAAUAGUGAAUUAUUCUUUAACAAAACCUCCUUGAAAAAUGAGGUGAUAUAGUCAAGCUAAUGACUAUAAAGAAGUACUUGUUAGGAGGCAACCCAAUAAUUUCUUGUUUUUAGUAGGUGUUAGUGGUUUGAUAAGUAUUUUUGUGUGUUUUAUAGGUAGCAAUGGCAAGGAUUUAUGCAAAUGAUCUCAAUUGCAAAAGCGUCUAUAUUGAAGCAAAAAGGAAAUUUUCAUGUUCAUUUGAUGCAUUUCAUGCAUUUAAAAUACUUUAUGUUAAAGUUAUAUUAAUUCAUGGUUAUGUAUUUUCAAGUGUAUUUGGUUGAGAAAAGCAUAUUUUUAUGGUUUUAAGUGAACUUUUCUUGAAGAACAUGAAAACAAUUGAAAUUCGAGUGAGUGCGGAAACUUGGUCAGGCAGUUUACUGGAGGAAAAACUGCAGAUUGACAGGGUGAUGCGGAUACGGGUGUGCAAUAAAUAACUUCAACCUUGGGUCAAGGAUCCUUUGGUCAACAUUGGUGGUCCGAUGACAAGAUCAAGAUCCAAGAAGGUGAAGGAAGCUUUACAAGUCUUGAUCAUUCACCAUACAAGCAAGGAGCAAGCAAAGUUUGAAGAUUUGAUGGACCAUGAAGUUACCUUGUUCACUUGUACGUUUGAAGUGAAGGAAUGAUCUCAUACUUGUUAGCUUAGUUGAUAGUUGUUUUAAGACUGCCUAGUUUAGUAGUUGUUAGUCGUUGAGUAUUUUAUUACUUAUUGGGCCUUAUCGGGAAACCUUAAAGAGCUGGCUCUUUAGGCGACCGAAUUCCUAUUCCAGGUUUAUUUGGGCCAGAUUUGCCCUAGUUUUAGCCUAUAAAAGGCAUCUAUUGUAUGCGUGGAAAGGGGGAGAUGAUUACAACCAGAAAUCGUGAGGAAUUUUCCUUCAAGUUCUUAAUCGAACUUACUCUUGAAUUCUUGAGUUCAUAACUUAGAAUUCAAAUCAGACUUUAUCGAUUAGUUUGUUCCCUAAUCGUGGUGUCUAUUCAUCCAUCUUUAUUUGCUUAAGGCUGCUGACUACCUUCGUGUGUCAGAGGUCUUGACUUCAUGAGAACAAUUGAGGUCUUGAGGUCUUGAGUUCUGAUAAUUACAAGGUUGGGAGGGUCUUCCCCUAGGGUUGCCUUAUCAGUUGGUAAUCAGAGCAUCAGAUUAAUUCUCUUUUAAUUGAAAUUGUUCAUAUCUUGUUAGUUUGUGUCUUUUGUCAAAAAAAAAAAAAAUACUGUAGCGAUUACUGUUCAUUGUUACUGUAGCGAUUACUGUUCGUCGUACUGUAGCGUACUGUUCACGUUACUGUUCAUCCGAGUCAAAAAAAAAAUCUGUUUGGGUAUUGUCUUUUUGUGUUUUCUGUCCAGGUUCUUGGGUCUGUUAUACUUGUGUUUGGAUUGUUAGGGUUUAAAGACAAAAAAAAAAAAAAGAGUCACGUACCUUAUAUUGUUUUAGUGUCCAAGUUGCUAGAGUAUUGCUGGAAUUUUCUUUUGAGUAUUGCUGAAAUUUUAUUGUGCCUAUUUCUUGAGUAUUGGUUGUUGUUCUUGCAAACCCUAAACACCACAACGCAAUUUGGGGAAGUUCUUGAGCUUCUUGAACAAAUUCUUGAAGUUCUUGAACCAUAAAGUCUUGUUUUGAAAAUUCUUGAACAAUAAAUCAAGAACCAGAGCCUUCUUGAAAUUUGCAUAACCUUUCAUCCGUUUUUUUUGAACUUGUUGGUGUGACCUGAAUUUGUGUUCCUUGAAGAGCCGAAGCAAAAAAAAAAAAAAAAAAGAGAGAACAAAAAAAAAAAAACAAAGAAGAGAAGGAAUCGGCUCUCACACAAAGGAAAUCAAGUAUCUCAAAUCUUGAGUUUCCAAUUCUUGAUUGGUUUUCAAUUCUUGAAUAGUUUCCAAAUAUUGAUUGGUUUCCCAAAACUUGAGUCUCCAACCUUAAUUGAAUUGCAACAACCCCAAACGACCUAACCAGCCCCAAACACCCCCAAAUCAGUUUCCAAAACCAAACCUAAACCACCACAAACACCAUUUACCAUCCAAAUACUGGCCAGAAACUCAGCAAAAAACAGCAGCUCAAAAAAAAAAAGUUCUAGCUUCGGGUAGAGUUUUUCUAAGAUUUGCAAAAUUCUGCUUUGUGUCUUGUUACUUGCUUAUAGGGUAAUUAAUUCUGGAAUUUUUGAGAGUUUGAGUUAUUUUAAAAACUUUGAGAAGGAAAAUUGAGAGUGAGAGUGUUUUCCUUGAGUGAUACACGAGUGCUUUGCAAGGUAGACUAGGAUACACUUGUUUUGCAGGUUUGACAAUAUGUCUCAAGAGGGGAACAUGCCUGAGCUGUCUGAGAUCGACAUGUCACUCAAACUGGUGCUCCAAACUCUUCGAAAACAAGCGGAGAGACAUGAAGUUGUAAUGACACAAUUAUUAGACAGAUUGGCUGCUAUUGAGAUGCGAGGUACCGAAAAUACACACAAUAGGGUUUCGAGUGUUCAGAAUGCUGAUCAUGAUGUGGAUGAUGAGAGAUAUCAUUCUAACACCUCAUUUGGAUCAAGGAAAGGUCAAAGGGGAGUGAUGGAACACAAACAUAAACCCCAGCGAGAAAACGAAUCUCUUAAGAGGAAGGGUUCCAUGCAAUCUACCUUUUUAAAGCCGGUUUAUACAAGAGAUGAUAAGAAAGUUCAUUCAACAUUUUCUAGGCCUAAACCUAGAGUUGAAUCACCUCAUGAGGAGUCAUUUUGGGAGACAUAUCAACGUCUUCUACACCAAAAAUAAAUGGAGUCAAAUGGAUGCUAUCAAAGCGAGUUUUCUAAGAAGGAGGUAGCUGACCCUAUUCCCAACAAAGGAGUAUCUCAUCCUAUUGAACCAUUUGUUGAGGAGGUUGAUAAUGAGAAAACAAUCGAGGGCGUUAAGCUAGAUAAAGAGAUGGAAAAAUCUGAUGAGAUGAGUGGUAAAAAGGAAGAAAAAAGAGAAAGUGAGCUGAUUUUGAGCAAAAAUGUGAGGGCUUAUUGUUUUUCUAACGAACUUACCUAUGCUGUAUUUAGUGUUUCUUCAUUUGUGCAGAUUAAGCAAAGUCAAGUGAAGUUAGUCAUGCCAUGCUCCAUUCCAAAGUCACUUGUACAAUUCACUAGUUUCCAUGGAGUUUGUCUUCUAGGAAUUAAAUCUAUUUGGGAUCACCUCAUGGAACAAUUUCAAUUCAAAUCUGUCCAUACCAAAGGGGAAUCAAUUCAAACCAACCAUGAAGGGAGAAUUCCAAAUUUUGACUCUCAUUUGCUACCUAUGGUUCAUUCAUCAUUUUUACCUUCUUUUGAGUAUAAUUUCCAUCCUAACACUUGUAUUUCUUAUGCAGAUUUUGAAGGAAAGUGUAAAAGGCUAGCAAUGCCUUCUCAAGUUGAAUCAAUUGGUGAAAGGAAUGAUGAAGUGUCAAAGGGAGUUUUCACACUUAAAACUUGUUCUAUACCUUCUUACCAUUCAGUUGAUGAUGUACCAUUACUUCUUUACCCAAUUUCUAAUUUGUUUCAAGUUGAAGGUUAUUUUGUUUUUGUAGGUUGUAAAGCUGUCCAAAAUUUUCCAGUUUUGAUUAAAGACUUACAACCUGAUUUCGUGCUUAUUCCAACUAAAGGUGGUGAUCUUUCAUGCUUAUUCACACAGCCAAAAGCUGGUGGCCAAGUGCUCAAUUUGUCAACUUCAACUUGUGCUAGUUCGAGUAACCCUCAUGAAGUGGACUUCAAUUGUUUGCUACCUUAUAUGUUGGAAGAUGAGAAAUUGUGUGUCACACAAGAUCCCAAACCUUUGCACAAUCAAGGUGUCAAUGUGAAGAUUCAUGACCAAAGGCUAAUUAGAGAGUUUUGGAUUGCCACUUGGGAUUUUCACACGCCUUACACAAGCUCUUUCCUACCUUGGCGCAUGUCCUUGUUUGAGAGCUUCCCAAAACUGACCAAACGACAUGCAACAUAGCUCGUAGUCAUUCAUCUAUUUCCAACAUUGCUGUCCUUUUAGCGCACCAUCGAUUUAUGGACAAAUCACUUUCAAGAGGAGACUUUGAAGAUUCGAGGACGAAUCUUUUCGAGGAAAGAGAGAAUGAUGCGGAUACGGGUGUGCAAUAAAUAACUUCAACCUUGGGUUAAGGAUCCUUUGAUCAACAUUGGUGGUCCGAUGACAAGAUCAAGAUCCAAGAAGGUGAAGGAAGCUUUACAAGCCUUGAUCAUUCACCAUACAUGCAAGGAGCAAGCUAAGUUUGAAGAUUUGAUGGACCAUGAAGUUACCUUGUUCACUUGUACGUUUGAAGUGAAGGAAUGAUCUCAUACUUGUUAGCUUAGUUGAUAGUUGUUUUAAGACUGCCUAGUUUAGUAGUUGUUAGUCGUUGAGUAUUUUAUUACUUAUUGGGCCUUAUCGGGAAGCCUUAAAGAGCUGGCUCUUUAUGUGACCGAAUUCCUAUUCCAGGUUUAUUUGGGCCAGAUUUACCCUAGUUUUAGCCUAUAAAAGGCACCUAUUGUAUGCGUGGAAAGGGGGAGAUUAUUACAACUAGAAAUCGUGAGAAAUUUUCCUUCAAGUUUUUAAUCGAACUUACUCUUGAAUUCUUGAGUUCAUAGCUUAGGAUUCAAAUCAGACUUUAUCGAUUAGUUUGUUCCCUAAUCGUGGUGUCUAUUCAUCCAUCUUUAUUUGCUUAAGGUUGCUGACUACCUUCGUGUGUCAGAGGUCUUGAAUUCAUGAGAACAAUCGAGUUCAAUUUCCAUUGGGAAAAAAGAUCCAACUCUGAUAAUUAUAAGGUUGGAAGGGUCUAGGAGGGUUUUCCCCUAGGGUUGCCUUAUCACAGGGGAGGCAAAAAAAAUUUUUUUUGCUCACUCCUAGAAUCCGGCCAACAAUCUGGGCGGAUUUUGGCAGGUUUUGUGACCAAAAGAGGAAUCCGUGAACGGAUUCACGGAUUCCUCAAUCUUUCCUUCUCUUCUUCUUCAACCCACACACACAAACACCUAAAAUACACACUACUCACUAAAAUCUCUCUUUUCACUAUCAAAUCUUUCAACUAACUUCACCAAAACAUCCCCUUAACCUCUAGAGAUGAUUUCAUAGUUUAAACUUUUUCAAAAAAUAAGCUUUAAUUCAGAUUUGAGUUUGGUAAGAAUAAGGGUUUCAAAUUUUUGAACUCCAUUUGAGGCCGAAUUAGAGUGAGAUUUUAGGGGCUUUCUUCACUAUUUGCAUCCAUAAUCGUCAACCAAUAAGUUUGAGGUAAUAAAUAUUCACCAAAUUUUGUCAUUUAAAUUUUGCUAUUUUCACUUUUUUUCAAAUUUUUGGCCAAUUUUGAAUUUCUUUAUUUUGUGAAAUUUGGUACUUUCCAUUAUACUUAUUGAGGUUAUUGAUGAUUAUUGUUAACGGUUAACUUAUGGGCUUAUGACUAUUUGGUGAAUUUAGCAAUUUUUAACUACUUUUGAGGAUUAAUGUGACUAAAUAAUUAUUAGCUACUUUCUUUAGCUAAUUGGAUUGAAGAAAAUUUUAUGAGAUAGAUGGGUUGCUCUAGAAUAUUUACAUGCUAAGUUUAGGCUUAAUUUGCUUACCUCUUAAUUUUUGACAUGUUUAUUCUAGAAUUUUUGAUAAAUAGUAAAUUAGUGACCUUUUUAAACCUAAAACUCAUGGUCAAAGUACUAUUUAGAAUUUAAUUAUGCUUAUUUAAGUCAUUAAGAUGUGAGUGAGUUGUGUGUUUGUUUAGUUGUUUUCUUUAAUUACUUGGACAUUAUUGUUUAUUGCACUCAUAUGUGUCAUUUGGAAAAAUUAUAAGAGCACUUGUUGAUAGUAAAUUUUGGUACUUACUUAUGGUGUUGAUUGAUACUCAUUAUGUCAGUAAGUUAAUGAGUGUGCCUCUUUAAAGAUAAGGGUAAAUGCGAACAAGUAUUCGUUAUCCUUUAUUUAACAAUGUACCUAUUGAAUGACAUUAAUGUUUAAUAAUUUUAUUUAGAUACAAUGGCUCGCAUUAAGAAAGUUAGGGUGAAAUCUUUACCUCCCAAAAGAAAAGGAGAAGCUUCUAUGUUUACUUCUAGACCACAACAUAAAAAAAGAAAAGCAAGUAGACGACUUAUACUUAAAGAUGAACCAUCAUCAAAAGAGGAGAUUCAAUAAGAAGUAGAGCAAGAAGAGGAACAAGAGGAGCAAAUCCCAUAUGAUAGUUCGCGCUUCUCCUCCACCGAAAAUGAAACUUGGUAUAAUUCUCGAAGGGAGUUAAGAUGUUGGAGGAGAAGAACGUCACUCAUGAUGUUGAGGAGGUCUACCAUCUCAAGGCCUACUCUGCUAAAUUGGGAUGGGAGAAUUUCUUCAACCUCCCAAACAUUUAUUAUGAAGAGCUUGUCCAUGAACUUUAUGUAAUUGUGAAGGGCAAGCAGUCUUUUCACUUUGACACGGAAGAAAUUACAAGUACAUUACAAGGAACCAGUAUCCGAAUCCAUAGAUCUCAUUUGCAAAGCCUUCUUCAAGUUUCUGAUGUUGGAUAUAAGGUUGAUUUGAAGAAAGCAUUUAAACCUCGCGAUUUGGACUCAUGGAACAUGCUAGAGGCACUUGUACGCUUGGGAGUUGAGUAUAAGACCACUCGUAAAAUUGGGUGAUAUUCCAUGAUGACUUCCUCAUUUUCGGAGUCUCAUCGUCUUCUCAUCUACUUGGUUGCCUCCAAUAUAAUUCCAAGAGCGAAUGGUGCCAAUGAAUCGCGCAUAAAUGACAUCUAUUUCUUGGACAAAAUAGAGCAUGCCUUAGGCAACAUCCAAGGUUUUCCAUUAGAAAGCAUUAUCAUCAACCACAUGUGGGUUGUAGUUCAUAAUAAUGAUGUCAAACAUGUUUUCCCAUAUGCUCGCUUUUUGACCUUGGUAUUUCAAAGGGUUGGAGUUGAUUUCUCUAAUACUACCCCUACGUACCUCAAGAAAAAGGACAUUUUUAUAUUGAAUUUUUGCAAAUUUCUUUUGAAGAUCAAAAACGCGGGUGGUGACAUUCGACAAGAGGAAGAAACUGAAAUUGCAUGUCUUGAAAAAGAUCAAGGUGUUGAGACAACUGCCCAACCGGUCUCAACCGAUCCCUCCUCUUUACGUCCUUCAUCAUCACCUCAAGACACUCGAUCUUUUCUCAAAAAGAUGAUGGAUAUGCUACUUUGCAUCGAGAUUGAAGUAAAGAGGAGUCGAAAAGAGUACAAACGGAACUCCGAGCGUCUUCAUCGCAUUGAGGCUAAACUUCGCAUUGAAACUCCACCGACUCCACCUUCCUCAUCUGACCAAGCGACUACUUGAGGGAACGUUCAUCACCAUCAACCUCGUUCAUUUUCCCAAAUUUGUAUGUUUGCUUUAUCAUUGCCGCUAGUUUUUUUUUUUUUUUUUUUAGUGGUUUUCCUUAGUGUUUUUUAUGUUUACUUUUUAGUGGUUUUCCUUAUUCCUUUUUGUAUAAGAACUCAUCCAAGUGAUCUUCACUUAUGUUGUGAUUUUAGUGCUCAGACUUCUUAAAAUUGAAAAUUCAUCACUUGACCAUAGAUUUGGAUAGCGCAAGUUCAAUAGGGGAGCACUAUUUUCUCUUACUUUCGUAAUUUUUCCUUUCUCACAUUGAGGACAAUGUGAAGUUUAAGUGUGGGGGAGGGAAAUAUGUGAACUCACAUCCUAGUGCUACGUGAUGAUAUUUUGUGGAUUUAAAUGCAUUAAAAAUGUUGAAAUUGUGUUUGGAAAUAUUACCAUGUUGAAGUUUUCUUGAAAUUAGGUUUGUUGGCGGGGAGUUUCGCCCAUUUAUAAGGGGAAACACUGUCAAAAUUUUUUAAAAAUCUUUUCAAUAUUUCACUAAGACCCAAAAAGUUUUGCAAUUUUUGUCUUUGUUUUAAAAAGGGCCAAUUUAUUCCAAUCUUAAGCAUUGUAAUUUUUCCACUUGUUGAAAUUUAUAUAUAUUUUGGAAGAUUUAAUUCUCAUUUGACUCGGAAAUGGUUAUUAUGCAAUUUAAAUUUUUAUAUUUUAAAAAGUGUAUCCUGUAAAAUAGGGAGAAUUAUGCCUAUUAUUUUACAUGUUUAAUGAGAUUUCUCCUCUUUACUUAAUUUUGCAAGUAAUUGAUAUAGUUAAGAAAAGCUAUACUCUUCUUUUGAUUAUUCUUAUAUAUUUGCUACAAGGGAAUAUCUAUUUAUUGUCUUUUAUUUAAAAAAAGAAUAAACAAGAAAAAAGAAAUAAAAAGAAGAAAGGAAAAAAAAGAGGGAAUAAGCGUUUUUGCUCUACUCCAAUAAUUAUUGUACUGAGUAAUCGGAGGUACAAAUGUCAACAUUCGUAUAAAAAGGUACUUGAAUUAAGAGUAUGCAUUGUAAUUUAAAUAAGUGAAAUGUUGAUUAACCGAAACUCUUCACCUAAAAGUGUCGAUCUUCACGUCAAAAGACAUUUUUACUAUUUGAGUAUAAAUUAGUAUGAAUAAGUCCCUCUUAGUUGUGAAAUUUGAGAAAAAGAUGAUUGAAGAAAAAGGAUAGCUAUGAAUUGACUAUGAUUUGCUUGUUUGUGAAAUUAGGUUAGAGUGAGAGAUUAAGUUUAAAUUGUUAAAAUUAGGAUAUAAUUAUGUUUCCUUUACUUGAUAUUAUGAGUAUUUAGUGUAAAUUGAACAAUUGUAUAAAGAUUGUUUGCCAAAUCAUGAGGAAUUAAAUUUGAAAAAAGUGCAUAUAUUGUUUCACUUCUUGAAUCAUUGUAAUUGAUUAUGUGUGGAUUGCUUGAGAAUAAGCAAUGAUUCAAGUGUGAGGUAGUUAAUACGUGACUAAUUUGAGCCAUAUUUGAAUGACAUUUUAUGUUAUUUUUAGCCACUUUUGCAAUGAUAUAAGAAGAAAAUGGAUUAUUUUGGAUAUAAUUAGUUUAAAAUGCUCUUAAGUGAUUAAAUGAGGUUUACGUCCUUUUUUACUUUCAUUUUGUCCAUAAUUUUUUACAUGAGUUGGAAUGGACUUUGUGAAGAUUCGAAAAUUCUAUUAUUUUAAAAUCCCUAAUUUUGGCUAAAUUAAUUAUUUAUUUGGAUUUUGCCACGAAUAAUAUUUUCUAGCCUUAUUAGACCUAAGUACAGGGUUUUAUAGUUUCGUUAUAUUUUUAAAGUGUCUCGUUUCAAAAAAAUUAUUUUUCUUAUAAGCUUGUUUAGUGAAAAGUGAAAACGUGUCUAAACACUUUAGCCAAUUGGGAGUACAAUAAGCUCAAAAAUUUGAGACAUAUACAAUGGUCCUAAAAUAGGCAAUUUUAGGUUUAAAAACUCAAGUGAUAGUUGGUAGUACGAUUGUUAUAAGAAUUUCUCGAAAGUUUCAUUUUAUCGCGCCUAAAUUGGAAAUACGUGUUUUCACGUGCGCGCUUAAUUGAGGGACCUUGGACCAUUAUUUUGGAACAAUUAAGAAUGAAUAAUAUUUAUAUGAAUGUAAGUGCCCUAGAGGUUUAAUGCACUAGUGCAACAAACUUAAGAGAAAUUGAGCACAAAACGCGCGCGUAGGCGCACUAGUUGCAAUUGAUUUUUACGCACUUAAAAUAUUAGACGGUCAGCGUUCCUUGUACGCAAUAGAAUCAGCAAAACAUAUCAUUUCUUCAAGCUCCAUGGACGGCUAGCAGUCAGCAAGGGAGCAACCGAAAAACUUCCAACAUUUCCUCUACAAAACUCACUCAAAUCACCACCAAAUCUUCUCAAAAUUUAGCACUACUUAGCCUAAGCCUUGGAGUUCACAUCUAGCUAAAAAGGGGAGGAUUUUCACGGCUCACUUAGGAGCAAGGAGGGACCGAAUCUCUGAUUGAGACAUCAACUAGAGUAAGUUUUAAUUUAGCCUUCUAACUUCAAUUUUUGGAAGUUCUAGUAUAUCUUUUAGCUCUUAAUUUCUUAUGGGUUGUUGUUGAUGUUGGAAAAUUGGAAAAGUGGGCUCUAUGAACUCCCACUCUUGAGUUAUUGCUGAUUUUGUGCUUGAUGAUGGUUAUAAUGUUGGAUUAGUGUUUAAAUUAGUGGUUUGUUGAUGGAAACUCACGUUGGGUGCAAAGGCCAAAUCUGACCAUUUUGCCCCUGCUUUGUUCGGCCACUUUAAUGUAGAAAUUUGAGGAUUUAAUGGCUUGAUUGUGUUGUUUACAUGUUGUAGUGGUUGUGUAAAAAUUUUCAUUGAAAAAUGUUGAGUUUUGGUUGGUCAAAUGAAUUUAUUCCCAAAGUUAGUAAUCUGGAAGCUGUUCACGUCAUGGCCAGACCAGUAUUCGUAUUUCAUCCAUAACUCCGUGUUCCGACAUCAAAAUCAAGUGCCAUCAGUGGCAUUUGAAACUAGACAUUCCCCUCUUUCCAACGGUAUAAAAUGCAUGUUUUGGUUCCAUGUGUGUGAACCGCACCACUCUUAUGAAAUCAGCUGUUCUGUUUCUCUGUUCUGCUGGAAUGGAAUGCAGAAGCUGUGACUUGAACCUCGAUUUCGAGCUAGUUGUGUACCGAAAUUCAAAAUGAUUUCUUCUGUGAAAUUAUAGCCCUAUGAAUCUAUUUUCCAAAACUAUCAACCAUUCCCAAUUCCGAACUAAAUUGAGUGAGUUAUGAUCAAAAUACGACAACUGCCUCGUUUUUGAAAACUCUUAGAUUUGGACAGAUUAGAUGUGAGAUUUGUUGUGGUCUUACUAAAUGAAUUUCUUGGUGCUAAACACCUACUAAAAGUACCAUGUAUGUUCCUUAGACCUUUCUUGCACAAAUGAACCAUGUUUGGAGGUUUUUCCUUAGCCGAAUGUUUGGAAACGGAGAGAAAGGGAGCUAAAGGCAGUUUUGCCUUACUAAUUUCAAAAAUUUGGUUGAUUGGUUAACUACCUUUCCGAAGGUAUUUUUCCACAAAAUUUGAUAGAGAGAUACCCUUCAUAUAGAAGUACUAUACUGCAAAAUUUGGUACCAAUCCAAGUCUGUUUCGACACUUAACUAAAGGUCUAAAGUCGGAAACCCAAAUCUGGAAAAUUGUUCAACGGUCUUGAAUUUUUCCCCAACUUUGAGCUACCAUAUCUUGGUGCUCGAAACUCCGAUUCUUGAGCCGCUUGUUCUGUCCUAAACCUUACUUGCACCUCUAAUUGAGUUAUAAGUUUCAAGGGCUGGUUUGCAACGAGUGAAUUCUGCCAAAUUUUCAAAGUUAGCGAAAAAUCAACCCCGGCUCAAUCCUGGUAAUCUAGAACAGCAACUUUAGGCUCAUUUUUGAAUACCUUCCACUUAGAUUCAUGGAACAGUGUCUUCUAAGGACUUUUAGUACUUUGGAAGAUAAUUCCAACGGUACCAAAUUUAUCAAGUUUCGACUAGUAGAAAAGAAGUUAUGAUUUUUCAAAGAUUUGACCAAAAAUCGAAAAUUCUGAAAUUUCAAAGGAAAUCCGCGCGGGAACUAUUCUACCAGAAUCCGGCCUUGAAUCCGGCCAGUUUCUGGCCGGAUUAUCGGCGAAAUUUGAAAAAAAGGGAGGUUAGCCACUGCCUCCAAUCCGGCCAGAAAUCCCGCCAGAAAUCCGGCCGGAUAUCUGGCCAGGUUCCGGCCGGAUUGUGACGUGGCCCACCCACUUUCGAUUUCGAUCGUUCGUUUUGCAAUCGUUUCGCUCGUACUCGUUUCCAACCAAUGAUUUUAAGGAUAAUAAUCCGAUUUUUACUUGAGUCCUGCACCCUUUUUGAGAAUCCAACUUCAAAGGCAAGCCCAAACGAAAUUUUCAAAAUAUUUUCGAACCCUACUCGUGUUCAAUCUUUCUCACCAUUUGGGGACCUAUAGUAAUUGUCUACUAUUCGAUGUUCAGGUACGCACGAGGACCUCCAAGAGGACCCUACCGUGGAAGUUUGAACCCUCCAUCCAACCUACUUGCUUGCAUAACUUGGUGAGUGUCAAGUGUAUGACUACUUGAACUCUAUAGACUUGAUUCAUGCUUGACUUACCUGAUUACAUGCUUAACCUAUUUGGUUUUGAAAAAAAAAAAAAUGGAGUCGAGCGUGUACUUAAUCGCACUCGUUCUCAGUUGAAACAAAUGACUCAUGCCUGACAUGCUUUGCCUGGUUUAUAUGACCUGAAAUACAUGUUUAAACCUGUCAAAUGCUUGAAUACAUGACAUAGUAUGCUAUGACUGCAUAUGUCGUUGGAGUGAAUCUCCUCGACACUUACAUGAUACAUGGGGGACGCCCAAACUCAUAGGCCGACCGUGGAACUCGAGCCGGCAUGGGUUUGGUCUGGAACCUCGGUGAACUAUGAGAUUCACAUGAUAAGCUUGAUCUAUUGAGAGAUCUCGCUUGGCAUACUCGUGAAGUAUCGCCUUAUAAAUGUUGUGCGGGCCCGAAGCGGUGUAUAGUGGACGGAUGAGAAGUAAGUGGUGAACUACGGAUAUGAAAAUAUCAACCCGGUUGACGGAGAGUCGUAUCGGGGAGAUAUACGAAUGACAUCGGUAAAAUGUGGAACUUAGCUCCUGAGAGCUUCCAUAUCCUUGAAUUGUUUCUGGUUACAUUUUUGUUGGCGUUAUUAAUUACUUGCAAGCUAUUACUUGAAUUGUUAUUUGGUCUUGUUACCUGAACUAUGUGUCUGCAUGUGUGUUCUUGGCCUCAUGAGCGUUUUUGCUCACCCUGUAGAUUUGUUUUUCUUAACAGGAUUGAACUUGGCGAGGUAUCGAAGAAACCUUCCUGCUACGCUUUUGUUUAGGGUUCUAUUACUUUUGACUAUAUCUUGGCUUUUGGGUUGUAUUUUCGAAAUCUGAAUAUAACUUUUGGGGCAUGAUGUAUAUUUGGGAUUUAUGAUGGUUGUUGAACACCCGAUGUGCGGGUUGGAUAAUGGAUGAUUUUUAUUAAACUUGAACGCUUCCGCAUUUAUUGUAUCUAAGUUAUUGACUCGUUUUGUGUGGUCCAGUAAUAAGGCUGAAUGGAAUUGCUUGAGUCCUGGCGAGAGCUAAGCAGGCGUCCCGCGGAUACCCUUUGGUUCGCCUUAGGGAGAAGUGGGGGCGUCACAGACUUCAUUUGGAUGAAAAAUGAAAGUUGAUAGCUUUGAUACAUUUUCAUAUUUCGGCUAUAACUUGAGUUAUAAUGAUCGGAUGGAGAUGAUUCUAGAACCAUUUUGAAGAUAAGAGAUGGAUCUACAAUUCUUGUGAAGACAUCAAAAUUCAGUUUAAAGGUUCUAGGUCAAAAAGUCAAAUUACAGUAGCCAAUUUUGUAUGUUCGAAGCUGAAGCAAAGCAUUGAGUAGUCAAGGGUAAUUCAGUCAUUUCACAGUCUACACAAAUCCAAAUGACAUGAUUGUUGAAGCAUUGGAAAUCUAACUCAAAGGGCAACAAGUUUUAUGUAUUGGAUAAGAGUUAAUUCAACUUCUAUCAUUGAGAAAAUUUCAGUUGAAAUUGAUACGAAAUUGGAAUGACCUUGAAAGAAAUUCAGAAGCAAAGUAGGGGAGAAAUCCGGCCGGAUUUUGGCUUGAUUUGGGUCAAAAAUAGCUGCUCUCUACUGACACAACUUGUUUUCUCCUCCAAUAAUUCACAGUUACUAAUGUACAUGUGACAACCAUUUUGUAGCUGUAAAAGUGAUAUUUGAAGCCUCAUUUCUUGACUAAUUUUAUCUAUAAAUAGCCAUGGAGUUGCAAGAAUCAAGAGAGUUUGGAGAGUGUAAAAUAUACCACAAAAAUGUAGUUCUUACAUUUUCUUAAUAUUAGGUUAGUGUAGUAUAGGAGAGUUUAGCUAGUUAGUUCAUCCUUCUUGUUUAUUAGCUAGGCAAAGAUAAAGAAAGAGAUAAACUCAUGUGAUAAGGGUUACAUUUCAUUCCAAACUCUGUCUUUUAUACUUGAUUCUAUUGUUUAGUUAAUAUACAAGUUUGGAUUCUAUGUUUAUUAUGUGUUUCAACAGUUUGUGCCUUGGGUUUGGUUGAACUUUCUAUGAUUGUUAGAGUUUAUUAUUUGGCCAUUUGAUGCUAUUAUUUUGAGCAAGUUAUUUAUCACUUUAACUCUUUAAAUCAUGAUUAACUUGGUACCAUUAAUUGUGAUUAUCUAAAGGUGUUGUUUUUUCAGUGAAAAUUGAGAUUUAAUACUAGUUCAAGAAGUGUUAAACCUAGGGAGUACGCUCACGAGAGUAGAGGUGCACCUUUGUGGCUUUAGUGAUUCAUUUCAUGCAAUUUCAUAGAAGAAAUGAACUUGUAGCUAAUUUCAUAACCAUGAGAGUAGGUAUGGAUUAGUUAUAAGUAUAGUUGAUUCACUAUGAGAAUAGGUUUUACAUGCAUAAGGAAAUUACACCAUAACUAACUUAGGUAGUAGUACUCAAUGAUCCAAAAAUAACAUUUGCAUGAGUACGUAGUUAGGAAUACUAUAACCUAAGGAUCUUUCAUUUGUUAUUUUCUUGCAUAAAUUUAGCAUAAUUUUAUUUCUUUCAAUUCAUUGAUCGUCUAAAUAAUAGAGAAGAUUUAUUAAUGCCCAUAAUUGUCCAAUUUUUCUCAUGGGAUCAACCCGAUAUAUGCCCUAAACUACUAAUUUGACCUAUAUACUUGCAGUCAAAAACGGGUGUAAAUUGGAUUUAAAUUUGUACAUAUAUCAAAAACCCAUCACAAAGGCUUUAGUGACAGCCUUUGUGACCUGUAUAGUUUGCCCUACCAAUUAAUGAAAGGCUCUCUAACAACCCCCUUUUUUUUUGUUUUUUCGAAUUUCCAGAAUUGAGCAAUGGAAUUUUGGUAACUCUAAUAAUUUAGAAAUCUCUAUUUUAUUCACAAUAAAACAUAGUUAUAGUUGCCAAAUUAUAUAGAAGAACCAAACUAACUAAACAAUAUUAGGAACCUUUAUUCCUUAGGAAAUCAUAUUUCUUAAGAAAUCCUUAUUGGUUUCCAAUUUUAUUUUAAUUUCUUUUGCCAUCAAAUUUCCAAAAAAAAAAACUAUUUGAUUUCUAAAUAACACUUUUCAUCAUCUAAUGAUAAAAUUUUUGGAUCAAAAUCAUGGUCGAAUUCUGACAAGAAUCAUGCUAAAACUUUUGUUCAUUAAAGAACACAUGGACACAUGCUCUUCCAACAAAAAUUUUCAGCAAUAUCAAUCCACAAAAACCAGCCUUAAUCAUUAUUCAAAAUUCAAGAUUCAAAAUUUCAUCCAAAUAAAUUAUCUCAUAAUUAACCAUAAUAGCCAAAUUGAUAAUUUCAUGAAAUCAAAAAUAUGAUCCAAUGAAAAAUCUAAUUUUCAUCAAAUUUCCAACCACAAAAGUUGUUCAAUUUUUUUUAAAAUUUAGACAACGUUAAAAAACUUAUUUUUUAUGAUAAAACUAGUCCGGCAAAUUUGGAUUGUGAUUUUUUACAGAAAAAUUUUUAUAUUUCUAUUAACAUAUUUUACAAUUAUCUUUUUCUCUCACAUUCAUCAAAUUACUACAGUACAUUUUUCUACAAAACUCCUAAAAAUAGCAAUCCAAAUGGGUUACUUUUUUUUUACAAAAAUUAUCCAAAAUUUUUUUUUCAAAAUCUAAAACCUUUUCAAAAUUUUAUUUUUUCAUUUGAGCAAUAGUUUUUAAACACCUCUUGAAUUGAAUAUAAUUAAAUCUAAUUUAACAUAUAUGACAACUGAAUAAACAAGUCACAUGUCACUACAACAAAAAUGACUUUUCGUGACAUGUCUAUAAGGACACUUGCUGGUUUGUGUCAUUAUAACACAUCUAUUAUGACACUUGUUAUCAACUCAAUAAUAUACACUCUAAUUUUUUUUUAUUUUAUCUGAUAUAAAAAUAAUAAUGUGCCUUUAGAUUACCUAUCAUUACACUUGAGAAAAUGUGAGAUAUACUAAAAAAAAGGAAAGGCACAAAACAACAUCAUAGUGAAUUGGCGGAAGAUUCAUUUGCUGUGAAAUAUUCAAAACUUUCAAUUUGCCGGCCAAAACACUUGGUCAAAUUUUGCUUCUUCUGAUCUCUCUCACAGAAAACACUCUCUCCGCAAACUAACUCUUGGCAAAUUAUCUCUCAGCCAAGUAGGGGCGUUAAGACCGGAGUUUUUUGUAGAUGGCGCAAGACGAUUGCAGAUGGGUAAAGGAAACCUGGAAAAUAAUAGACCACCGAAGUACUAAAUGAAACUUUCUUCCACUUUCUUUCCUUUCGCUCUUUCUGGCUCCCAUGACCAAUUAAAGUAAGGAAGAAUCAGCCAUGGGAUUGAUCGUCUCCGCUUUCAGUUCAUUCCAUUCCUCAAGCUCACCGCCGUCUUUCUCCCCUCAACCGCCACCACCACCGCUGCCGGAAUGUUAUUUCUCUUUUCCCUAGCUACCCUCCUUCUACAAUCACCAGCAGCUGUACCAGUACCAGCACCAGCACUAGCUGUUCUUCCUCUUCUUCUUCUUCCUCCUAUUUUGGGAUUUCGAUUUCUGACAAAACUAUGAUUUCUGUUGCGUCUGGAAAAGCUAAGUCAAACCGAUCGUUGUAUAUUGUAGCUGAGGUGUUUGAGAAAUUUACUGAGAGAGCAAUUAAAGUGGCUAUGUUUUCCCAGAGGGAGGCAAAUGCUUUGGAGGUAGAAAUGGUGUAUACCCAGCAUCUUUUGCUAGGACUUAUCGCAGAAGAUAGUGCUUCCGGUGGGUUUUUAGGCUCUGGAAUCACAAUCGAGAUGGCUCACCAAGCCGUUAAGAGCAUUUGGCAUACCAAUUCUGAUGAUAAGGAGGAGAAUGGUAAGGGUAAUGGGAGUGGUCUUGGUCCUGAGGGGGCAGAGGUCUCGACCAUGGAUGUGCCAUUUUCGCUGAGCACUAAGCGGGUUUUUGAGGCUGCCGUGGAGUAUUCGAGGACUAUGGUGUAUAAUUAUAUUGCGCCGGAACAUAUUGCUGUUGGGUUGUUCACUGUCAAUGAUGGAAGUGCUGGCCGUGUACUUUAGAGGUUGUACAUUUUAAAUUAGCAUAAUUUUAUCUAUGAAUGCUUUACUCGCUGAGAAUUGCAAUUUUUUUAGUGCUUUAUAUUGGUCUUAUAUGGACUGCUGAAACUAUUGUUGCAACUUGUGAUCGAAGACAAAACUAGGAAGGGGUGGCAAAACAAGUCAACUGGGAGGUAAAAAGAAUCACCCAACUCUGACUGUACAUCCUGCCCCUGGGGCUUCGUUUGGCAUAUCUUCUGCCUGCUCUUCCCCAAGAUCACCUGAGAGCUGCAAGCCUGCAACACCGAUGGAAAUGCCCAUGAACCCAUGCUCCAGAACAGCUAUCACAGCACCCGAAUGCAUAUGCACAGGGUCCAGAGCUCACCUACUGUCUGCAAUCUUAUAGGUCUUCAGCAGUAGAACAGUGCUUCUAGUCUUCAGCUGUAUCCUCAGAAUUACUACCAAACCAUCAGUCUUUUUGGUGCGCAAGAAACUUCAACUUGUUGGAGUGACAGCAAUGCUUCUGGCUUGCAAGUAUGAAGAAGUUUCUGUUCCUGUCGUUGAAGACCUCAUAUUGAUUUCUGACAGGGCUUACUCCAGAAAUGAUGUGCUUGAGAUGGUAGGUUUGUUAUGGCAUCUAUUGUCUAUGAGUUGAUCUUUGAUAUAUGAAGCUUUCCUUUGUCAUAUAACUAAAAUUGAAUUGUGGCUCGCUGCAGGAGAGCUUAAUGAUCAAUAUCUUGCAGUUUAAUCUUUCAGUGCCUACUCCUUAUGUCUUCAUGAGGCGCUUUCUUAAAGCUGCUCGAUCUAAUAAAAAGGUAUUGUUUCGUAUUUAGUGUAUGUGAAUUUUUUGCACUAUCUUGAUCUGCCUAAUAACUGGCAAUAAUCUUCUGGUGACUAGUUGGAGCUUCUGUCCUUCUUUAUCGUUGAGCUGUGCCUCGUCGAGUAUGAAAUGCUUAGGUUCCCCCGUCUCUCUUAGCAGCAGCAGCUUCUUUAUUUCAAAUUUUUUGUUUGAGUUACCAUGCUCAGUUUAUGACAUUUUAUUCCUUGCCACAUUCAUUUUUUAUACAGAAUAGAACCACUCGUAUGUAAAGAAUAUGUAGAUAAACGCCCCGUGAUUAUCCCUUACCACAUAGGCGAAAAGCGGUUGUACGUUAGAUUUCAGGUGAGACCCUUUUGAGUUUCCAUACUGUGAGUGUUAAACAUCUUAUUCUCUUUUUGCUACUGAUGAUAUGGUCUGCAAGAGUUUAGAGAAGGCUUGGCUUCACAUUCUCAGGCCCUGAUGGAUCAAAUGACUGCUAUUAGGGUAAUUUUGAUCAUCCCUAGCUCCUGCUUACUUCCUUUUUCUCUUUUAAUUUGGUGUGUAUGGAGAGAGGGAGCUUAUGUGCACGAGAAUUCCAAUUCUAUUCUCUAGAAUUAUAACAGCAGAAGCUAAGCUUUUGUGCCCUUAACAUAACGGAAAAGGGAAAUGUGAGACGAUUACUGAUCACUUGUUGUUGGCAAUGAUUACAUGACUAUGGAUAGAGGCUUGGACCACUUGCACUAUUGGCAAUGAUUACAUGGCUACUGAAUAGGGUAGAUUGCAAGUACCUUGUAUUCUGCUUGAAUGAGGAAAUAAAUAGUCAACCUUUCCAUUCUGAAAUACAUGGUGCAGUUUUUUGUCGGUGCAUUGCUUUCAAGAUAUGGACCUAUUAGUUUCAUCCACAGGUUGUUGUCUUGCCCUUUCCUAUUCAAAACUCUGAUUACUUCUCUUUGUUUAAUGUUCCUGUCAAAUGCUUCGCUUGGGGUCAUACCUGGUUGUGAUGCAAAUUUCGAUAGGCAUUUAUACUACUCUGAUCAGAGAUGUUUUCAUCUUUAAUUUUUGUAUUUAUUUAUUUUUUUUGUUUUAUUAUGUAAAUUGGAUUAACUGAUUGUGAGCAGAGAAUGUCUGGUGCUUUAAUGGUCCCACAAUUAGGAUUUAGAAUUGGACCUAGAGAUGGUACAGGACAAGUGUAUUAUGCAAAGCAGUUAGUAGGUAGCAAGCGUGUUCAUUUUGGUUUUGGCUCCCGAGCAAGAAUUUGCUUGAAUAAUGUGUGUUAUGGAAGUUAAUAACUGAGUGUAGUGGUCUAGAUGUUGAAAAUGAAGAAAUGUCAGACAUGUAACUCCUUGGCAUAUAUUGUUGAUUGGACGUGUUUAUUUGAUUACCAUACAGAAACAGAUUAAUGUCUUAACAACUUGGCUGAAUCUUUUCUUUUUGAACAGGUUAAAGUGCUUACCAUCUGCGAAUCGAGAAACAAGGAUAAACUGGAUGGUAAUCCUAAGAUGAUUUUGCUUCUUUUGUUUUUUUUUAUUUCAAAUUUUUUGUUUGAGUUACCAUGUUUGGUCCCUUCAAAUUUACUGUGCAAUGCUCUGUCAAUGGGUUCAAGAAGUGGACUAAGACAUGCGAGAGGCACACAAACUACACUGAAGAUCAGCUUUUGUAAGUGGUUCCUUAUGCUUUUCACACAUUAAUGAAUUUUAUUGCUAGCUAUGAUGAUCUAAUGAUCCCAACAAACUUUGUGCACAGGUGGAACCAGCUGAAGAUUGAUGGGGUGUUCGUGGCUAUGAUUGAAGGGUCUAAUUUCAUUGGAAAGUUUGGCAGCUACUGCAAGUUCUUUCUACUUGUUAGGGAAGAGAAUCUUUUAGUUUGUGCACAUGAGGAUCUUUUAGUUUGUCCACAAGAGAAUCUUUCAAGUUUGUACUUGUUAGGAAUUUGCUAUGUUAGUACUUGUUACUGACUUUUAGUUCAAUAAAUUAUAUUUGAGCAUUGAUUUUUGCUUUUAGAUUACUAUAUGCAUUCUGUUCUUUGGGAUAAUUUUACAAGUCCUUUGGGUUUCUGAUUGACGGAAUGUAUAGCAGGGAGCACUACCUGCAGGUUGCUUCUAUAUCAAAAAAAAGAAAAAAAAAUCCUGACAAUUAAAAGUGUCAGCAUAGAAUUUGAUAUUGUAAUGUUGUACUAUAGCUAUCCUGACACUUUCGAUUAUCAAGAAAAGGAAUUUUCGUUGGCAGAUGAGAUGUUAUAACAACACAGUUUUCCUGACACAUUUGAAUAUUACAUACCUAUCCCUACAUUGGAAGGGACGACACUCGUCCUAGGUGUGAGGAAAAGUAAAGUGUCAGGUUAAAUUAUCUAUACUGACACCUUUAAAUGCCGUUAAAGGGCAUUUUUGUUGUAGUGUGUUUUUAUCAAGGUUGGCUCUGAUAUCACUAUAUGGAAUCAUGGAGAUAAAGGCAAUAGAAAUUUAAAAUUUUCUAUUUCUCAGAAUGCUAAAUUAAAUCACAUGCAACUAAAAAAGGGUGUUUAAAUAUGUUAUUUCAAUCAAUGAAGAAACACACAAACAUUUGGAGUGUUUAUUACAAAGGAAGGCAAGAGAUUCACAAAGCUGCUCAAAUGUUUGACCUCUAAUGGUGAUCGACAUGAACCCUUAGCUAGAACCUCCGAGACUGAAUUAGCUCUUACUAAAUUUAGUGUUAGCUAAUUCUAAAAUGAUCACACAUAAAAGGUGGGAGAGAAAAGUUGCCCUAAUACACGAUUAGGGUUUGUGCCAAGAGAGAGACAACAAUGAAUUUUUCCUUUUCUUUCUUGCUGAGGUAAAGUCCCAUUUCUUUCUUAUUUUUCCAGCAAAAAUCUCACCUAAAUUGUGUAUCAAAAAAUGUCUUGCAAACAAAGCUUAAAAGGGUAUAUAUAGGCAAAGAGAUUGGCCCAAUCCUAAUGGAAACCAAAAAUUAGUUUCCUUAAGAACUGGUUUCAUUAUCCCAAUACAACUCCUCAUAUUGAAAGAUUCAACCAUAUUUGCACCAUUAGUCCCUCAAGUUUAAUUUGUCUCACACAAUAAACUAUAAGUUAUAAAAUUUAUGUUUCAAGUAUCUACAUGAAAUUCAUUUAAUCCAGCUAAAGGACUUUUUAAUGUGUGUAACUCAUUAGGUUUUCAAAUAUGUUGGCAAUAAGAAUGAGUUAUAGUUCUUAAUCAAUAAAAACUAGAUAAAUUAAAACUCCUUUUAAUUUAUUAUUGAUUUAACUAAUCAAUCAACUCAUUCUUAUAGACCAAAAUUGGCAUCUAACAAUGCAUUAUAACCACCCAAAUAAUGAAAAAAGUCAAGUGGAUUAAUAUCCUACCACACUUAUAUCACAUUAAUCAUGGAAUGAGUUGUGUCAAUUUCAUUAUGCAAUUAUUGUUCUUUUCUUGUACCAAACUAUAAUUUCAGAAUAAAAGUACUUAGAAACAUCGUUCUAAGACUCACUUACUUAGUUCUAAGAUUUCUUGAGUUAUAUUUCUAGAAGGGGCCAUUGAUGAGAUAAUUCUUUUUUCAUAAGAGGUGGUAAGUGCUUAAAGAUUAUUCAUUACCUUUCUAUGCUUCAAGUAUAUAUUCAUAUGCUAAUGAUGUUUUAUGGAGGAAAUCAUACAACAAAUAAAAUACAAAUAUUCAUACUCAAGGCACCAUAAUAACUUUAAAUCCAAGGAUCACUUACAUAAAACGUAAUUUAGAGACUAAUUCUUUUGGCACAAAAGAAAUCUUUAUGUGAAUUAAUCUAGUAAAUUUGACCAUACUGUCAAAUACCCAGAUACUAGUUUAGAUGUCUCGCACCAUAGUAGAUGAGGUCAACUACUUUCCUAAUAGAAGCAAUAUAGUAUAUACUAGUCUAACCAUAUUGACAAUGUCCAAUUCUUGUUCAUGCUUAAACUAGAGAUAUUCAGGAAUAAAUUUUACACUUAAUCAAAUGAAGCUCACCAUCAUAACACUUGUGAUUUCAUUGAUUAAGUUUAUUCUAGGACUUUAUCAUACAAGUAUAAACAUACAAGCAAUCAGUAUGAUAAAGAUGUCAUUUAUGAAUGCAUAAAUAGUUUAAGUACAUAUAAAAUCUCUAAGAGUGACUGUCGUUAGGGCAUACAUACUUACAUUUUCUCAUAAGGAUGUGUUUGCUCAUAUUUCAUCCUUAACUUUCUCACUAAGUUUUGACAAUUCUUUUGUAGAGAUGUUUUCAUAAUGAUUUUUAGAGGGUUUAUGUUGUGUGCAAUUUUUAGUUGCGAGUGGACUCAAAACCUGAUCCUCCCAAAACAAGUCUCAAAUCCUUACCAAUUGAGUCACAUGAAUAUAUGAAUAUUAUCUUAAUAAUCAAAACUCAUUUAAAACUUUCUUACUUAUCACUAAAAAAUGUGGAUGCCUCCCCGUUUUAGUUUUUCCAGUCAUCUGCAAGAUAGAUAUGUCCAAUGUAAAUAUUUCUAACCAUUCAAUGCCUAUCUCACAACUAGGGAAAGUUGCUGAAAUAUACGAUAAGCAUAGGAUGUCAAUGUUACUAGCCAGUUAGGUAGUUAGAAUAAAAUCAAAGUUUAGGAGAUUCUAUAACUUUCAAAUUUAUAGCAUCUGUAAUCUUGGUAUUUUCCAUUAGAAGAUAUUUUGAUUGCAGUUCUAUAUUCUAGGAUUUUUCACAUAUAUAGGUAUGCAUAGUUUUUUUUAAACUUUUUCUGAUUACAGUUAUGUAGGGGUAAAAUUUUCCUUCAAGACUGAUUUGAUGAUAUCGCAUUAUAUCCAUAGCAUUUUUAGUUAAAUAAGAAAUGGAUAUAUUGCAGGAUAUUAUAUGUAGGCAUAUUUUACAAUUUUUUAUGAAAGUAUGACAGAAGGUUCGUCACAAAAAUACAAGCUUGGAAAAAUUAAGCAUAUGAGUUUAUAUGUGAAUACUUUGAGUACAUUUAAAAGUUAUGAAACUAAAAAUAUAGAUAAAAUUACUAAAAUUUCUGUGAUUACAUUACAUUCAUAAUAAUUUUAACUCUUAUUUUUGCAUAUGAGAUAUUAAAUUUAUAACCUUAUUGAUUUUAUAUGUGUGUGUAAAUUUAUAAAAAUUAUGAUAUAUGUCUUUGCUAUUGUGUAUAUAAUUUGGAAAUAUAUGUCACUUCUCUUACUCAAAUUUUAAAAUUUUUCAAAAUUUGAAGUAUAAUAAGUCAAACAUUUGUUAUGCGUUUAAUAUUGUUAUUUGAAACAAGAAUAUUUAUGCUUAAAAGAGUUUACCCUUUCACAAUGCAAUUGUUUCCGUUUACAUUGAUAAGUAACAAAAUUAACUUGUUAAAGACAAGUUGAUAAGACACUUUACCUGUAAUUAACAAGUCAUGAUUCCAGUCGUCAAGGAAUAAGUGGGGAAUCAUGUUGAUCCUCUUUAAAAAAAAAAAAAGAAAAGAAAAAGACAAGUUGGCCGCUAGAAGGGAUUUGAAACUCCUCUUUGAGCUGCACGCUAAGGAUUUAGACCCAUGCUCAAUAGCUAUUCCUUUAUUGGAUUCAAGAGCCCACAAUCAAAUGAAAGGUAUUGAAGAGUGAAGAGCACUAAUAAUUUCCAUGAUUUUGGAUUCUAGUUUGAGUUGUAAGCAAGGCAUCUUCUUUUAAAACCAAGUCAUCGUCUAGCUUCUUCUUUUAAAUAUUCCAUUCUUUUGCUUUAGUUUGUUCUUUCCUUAACGACGAUUAAUUUUCCUGCAAUUUCUCUCUUAUGAGUACAAUAUUUCCUCCUAUUUCAUCCUUAUUUUUCUCACAAGGCCUUGACAAUUCUUCUGAAUAGAUAUUUUUGUAAUGAUUUUUACUAGGCAUAUGCCAUCAACAACUAUGUAAUUUACAAGAAAUUUAACAAAUAGUCUACCAACAACACUAUAGUUAGCAGUGAACUUAAAACCUAAUGCAUCCAACACAUGUCCCAAAUCUUUACCAAUUUAGUCACAUGAGUAUAUUAUUUGUGAAUAUUAUCUUUCUCACAAAUGAGUGGCUUAAAUGAUGCCAUGUGUAGGUUUUAACCUGCUAUUACAGGUUUUAUUGGGUACAUAAUUGCAGCGGUAAUUUUUUGCAAAUAAUAGUAAGUUUGUUUUCUUGUGUAAGUCAAGUAUGUUUUGCGAUUCAUGUAAAUUACUUUUAAAUAACAAAAGUUACUAAAAUUUUAACAUAACACUUUUUCUCCAAAACUUACCAUUUCCUAUAUAAAACUUACUACUUUAUUCAAUCGAAGCUUAUGAAUAUUUUCAAAACCUUACCACUUUUAUACUAAACUCACUACAUUAUUAAUCAAUCUUACGAACUUUCAGGCAAAACUAACACUUUAUUUUAUACAAAAUUUACUAUUUUUGUCAAGCACAACUUAUGAUUUCAUUAAAAAAUCUUACUAUUUUUUGGUAAUUAAGUUUCUAACUAAACCUUACAACUUUUUGUUCAAAAUUUACUGAUUUCAUAAUUUUUGUAAUUUACAUUUUAAAUAACAAUCUAAGUUUUUAAUUAAAACUUACUACUUUUUCUCCAAAACCUACUAUUUUACUAAAUGAUAUAAAUGGCCAUUGGUAUAACUUACCAUAUUUUAGUAAAACUUACUAUAUUGUUAACAAAACUCACUACUAUUUUUUAACAAAACUAAGCUCAAGCAACUUUGCACAAAAGUCAAUACUAUUUUAAGCAAAAACUUGUAACUUCAUUAAAAAAUCUUACUACAUUUUCUUUUGUAAAAAUUGUUGUUUCAUUGAUAUGACGUACUGCUGAAGCUUGUCAUAUGUGGUUAUCAGCUUGGUGCUUUUCUGUAACCACCUGUUGUGACCAAUCAUCAAAGUGAAUCUAUUAGUUUUGUAAGUUUACCAUCAAAAUUAGUUAGUUUUACUCUUGAAUCGAUAAAGUUCAGUAAUUAUAAAAGUUACCACAAGUUAAAAAAGAAAGCAUACCAAAUAAAAUGUACCAGUUCUUAAGUAAUUUAAUUCUUUUAGUCAAACUUACAACUUCUUCAACGACUUUUAGUACUUUUUGACAAAUAAAGUUUUGAGUAAAAUGUACUAUUAUGUUAAUCAGUGACAUUCAAAUUUCCUUAAGCAGUUUUAGUACUUUUUUAAACAUAAUCUUACCUGGCAGAAACAUAUAUAUACGACUAGCAAAAAUUGUUUUUUUAUUCCAAAAAAGAUUUUUCAUCAUCAGCUUAGUUAGUGCACUAACUUUUCCAUCCGUGGGUUAUAUAUUCACAUUCAUUAUCUCUUUACAUUUGAAUACUUUUUUUAAAAAAUAAAUCUUCAUUUUCACAAACUACUAACUAUUCAUCUCUACUUAACCAAUGCCUUGAGUGUUCUCAUUAAACUAGCCCUUAGGUAUAUCAUUUUUCUCUAAAAAUUAUUAUUUUUAUUGCAAAGUCUUUUUCUAUUACAAAAUAUACCAUUUUCUUAGUAAAUUUACAUCUACACCAGUAAAUUUAUAACUAAUGAAGAUUUAACAAUUUUCUUUGAACGAAGCAAGUUUUGCUUGGAAUGCGGUGAUUUUUCAAUGAAAUAGAUAAGUUUUGCUUAAAAAGGGUUAACAUCAAAAAAAAUUCCCCUGAAAUUUUCUUUAACGUCACUUAGCAUCUAUUCUUUAUCUUUAAGUUUUUCAGCUCCAUUUGUUUGAUAUGGGAAUUAAGUCUCAAGUGAGGCUUAAUAUAUUCAUUUUGAUAUUAUGGAAAACUGCAAGGGAAGUUACUAAUAUUAUUCCUAAAAAAAUGUUAUAUGUUUUUCUGUAAUUUAACAAAACUUUUAAAUCAAGUAUCAUUUUGUGUUGUAAAAUUAAAGUUGCAUAUUUCAUAAGAAACUUAAUAAACUUUUUGUGUUCUCUUAAGUUUUGCCACAAAAUUAGUAAAAUAUUUCAAUAAACUAAUUUUGCUAAAUAUGUGGUUAGAUUUCUUAAUGAAAUCAUAAGUUCACUUGUAAUAGAAGUGAGUUUUGUGUAAAAAAAAAUGGGUAAGUUACGCUUGAAAAUUAGUAAGGUUCAUUAAUAAUGCAGUAAGUUUAGUACUAAAAAAUUGUAAAAUUAGUUAGAAACAUACUAAAAAUUUUGCUAAAAAUGGAGUAAAGUUUGUUAAUUAAGUCAUAAGUUUUGCUUGAAGAAAUUAGUAAGUUAUGUAUAAAAAUAGUAAGUUUUGCUUGAAAGUUAGUAAGGUUUGAUGAUGAUGUCGUAAGUUUUACCAAAAAAGUAGAAAGAUUAGUCAAAUGAAGUCAAAAGUUUUGCUUUAAAAUAGUAAGUUUUGUAACAAGGAUAUUUUUAUCACUAGUUGAAUUCUUGCCUUGGUUUGCAAAGAUGCCUUAUAUUUGGUAAUUGUGGAACUUGGAAUGGAUUCAAUAAAAGUUUCAAAAAUAAUAAUUUCAAGGUCUGCAGGGAACAUGGUUGAAUUGAUUCCUGUUUCUUGUAAAGCAUUAAAAAAAAAUGAAAGAACAGAUUAAUUGUGUAUCACUCUUGUGCUUUAUUGCUUCUUUAGGACAAAACGAAAGCCAUCACUAGCUUUUAUUUCAUUAAAGGGCUAAAACAGUUUUCGCUUAUAGUACAUCAUUUUCUUGCCACCUCUAUUUGUGCAAAAGAUGGAAAAUAUCAGUUUAAAAUUCAAAAAGACUCUUAUAUUACGUAUUAUUAACAAAUAUAUUGAAAUUUAUGACAAAUUUUCAUAAUUUGUAUUCAGAUAAACAUGUAACUUGUGAGUUAUGCAAAAAAAAUAACAAAGUCUUAUAUCAUUUUUUUUUUCAAAUAAUGAACAUAAUAUCAACAAUUUGAUAAAAUGACUAUCUUGUAGCAAAAGAUACAACUCACUUUUUGUAUCAUACAAGCAUAACCUAAUGUUAGAAAAAAUUAUUUUUUUUUGAAAUUCUAGUAAGGGAGAAGUGGAAAGGGGGGAAGGAAGAUUGAAAUUCAGGACUUCUAAUUCCUAGAGUCCUGAAUUUUGUAUUAUUCAUGGAUAACUUUUUAUGUGUAACAUUGUAAAACUUGAAUGUUUCAACUGAAUUUUGUAGUGUACAUUUUGAAGAGUAAGUUCUGUACGUAAAACGUUUUGUAUUAUUCUCAUACCUUAUCUUAGUAAUGUUUUUUUUUUAAGAAAAUCUUUUGGAAGUUUUCUUUCUGCAAUGAAUCAUGAAAAGUUGAUAGAGUUAUAAUUCAUGACAUUGUCUUGGUUCAGAAACUUGAAAUGAGAAACAAAAAAGAAAAAUUAACAGUCCGUGAAAAGAAAAUGAGAAGUGCAAUAGGGACACUAAUUUUAGUUUGGUGGGUGGUGGGCCAACGGGUGAAGUUUUUUUUUUUUUUUUUUUUUUUUGUCAAACAACGGGUGAAGUUAGUUUUUUUUUUUUUUGUCAGACUUUUUCAAGUAAGGUGAAGUUAGUUUUGAGUUAUGCGGAUAUCAUUUAUGAAUAUUAUAUUUGUUCAUCACUUAGAAAACAUGUUGGGGGCCUUCCCAUUUUUUGUUUUUCCAACAUCAACGGAAACAUAGGUUUGUGAUUUUCAAAACGAAGGGGAUUAUGACACUACCUAAAAUUCUUUUCUAUUUUAGAAAAGGAUCAUAAGUAGUAUCAUAAUCCCUUUAGUUCUGAAAAGCACAAUCACAAAUGUGAAUUCGAUUUUUUAUUCUCCAAGACCGUAACACUUGAGAUCUUUUUUUUGUUUAAGCAUAAACUUGAGAUCUUAAAGAAGCACACAAAUGUCUUAUAAAAUCAAAAUUCCUAAAGUUUAGGAUAAUCAUACAAUGAUAAUGUUAGAAUACUUCAGAAUUCCACUAUACUAUCUUUUUCGUAUCGAUUAACCCACUAAACUUUUAAAACUAAUUAAUUGAACCAUUCCGUCUAGUUACUGAUUAAAAAAUAUGGAACUUUCGGAAUUAGUGGGGAAUUUUCGUCACUUUGUUAAUGAAAAAUAGUAUGGCGGAUUAAAUGGAAGUUUAGUAAAAUUAAGUGAAUCUUGAUACAAUUUGUUGGAAAACUUCUUGGAAACUAAAGAAGAAUGGAAAAAAGAAAUGUUGUAGAAAAUGUUUAACACAACUAAUGCUCACAUACUCAAAUCUUUUGAACUAGUAUCAGAAAUACUUUACUGAGAUGACCAUAAGAUCUGACGUUCGACUAUCAAGUCCUUCAUUUUUUUUUCUUUCCCAUAGUAAGGCUGAAGUCUCCCGUUCAAAGGAAAAAUAAAACAGAGUAACUUUUAAGGUUUCUUUAGUUGACAUGAUGUAUUGUUAUAAAAUAGUAACCCAAAAUUUCAGUAGCUAAAAAUAACCACUCAAUCACACACACAAGGCAUGUAAAAAAUCUUCAGUUCUUCGUUUAUUUAUUUACUUUUGCAAGAUGGCGCAGUAGCUAUUCGUUUAUCGUGUUGAAGUGCCUACAAUCAAUUGGAAGUUGCUGAAAAGUGAUAAAAUCUUCCUAAUAUAUAAUUUCCAUGAUUUUGCAUUUUAGCUUCAGUCGUAGCCUAGGCAUCUUCUUUCAAAAUAAGUCAUCGUUUGGCUUUCUCUUUAUAGGAUUCCAUCCUUUUGCUUUAGUUUGCUCUCUUUUUUUAAAGAUUAUGACCCCAUAUGUCAUCAAAAAGGAACCUAGAUCCAAAGUGAACUAGGACCUUGCUAGGAAGUCAUGGUUUUGCUCUGUCGAUAAAAAAUUUUGCACCACAUACGAGUUGAGCAAAAACUGAUAGUGCGUUAGCUGACGGGGACUCGAAGCCAAGUAAAAUUGUAUUUCAUAAAAGGAUCAUAAUUGUAUAAUAACCCUUACCCUUGUAAAUAGAGGUGGCAAAACGGGCAAGAUGGACGAGAUUUACUUAGAUUUGAGAUAGAACAGAGUUAUAUGAGUUUGGGUUCAACCUUAUCCAUAUGUGUUUUGAGACUAACUUGAGCGGGAUCACUUUGGAAUGAGUUUAGAUUGAUCCCGUCCAAUACCCAAAUCUAUUUUCUACACAUUUUUUUUCCGUUAAUUCAUUUUUUAUUUUUUUUAAAUAACUUUAAUAUUUUUUAUUUAUUAAAUUUCUUUUAGUCUUAUUGUAAAUUUAUAUUUUCAUGAAUUCAUUUUACACUCUAGAACGAUCAACAGUUACUUGCCGUACAAGUUGGGCAAUGACUAAGUAGCAAUGCAGAUAAGUUCUAAUUAUCAACUAUAGUCUCGUCAAAGGAAAAAAGGAAGAAAAAGAAAAAGGAAAAUCACUUGUUUUGCCCCUCCAAAAACCAGACCUGCAGAGAGCAAGAAAAGACAGAGAAACAACCUUUAAGACUCAAAAACAAGAAUCCAGGCCUUUUUUCUCCAGAAAGCAACCGUACGUAGCUUGAUCCUCAAAAUUCUUUCUUUGUAUCCCCAGUCCAAAAAAUCUUGCCCAAAACGAAAAUAAAGAAUAAAGAAAAGAACCCAGGAAUGCUCAACCUUCAAAACCCAAAUCCCUUUUUCCCAAACGUUUUUGGGAAGAUAUUUGGGCUCAAUGGGUACCCAAGUAUUUCCCAACAUUUUUCAUCAAUUAAUGGGUAUAAUUGGGAUAUGUCCCAUUUUAAAUCUAGUAUCAAAUUGCAAUACCCAUUCCGCCUAAAGUUCAUUUGGGCAUGGAUAGUCCAUUGGGAUUUGAGACAAAUUGCCACCUCUACUUGUAAAUUUGAAAAUCAAAUACACAGCACAAAUUCAAAUGGGAUAAUUUCAAAAACCUCCCUUGUGGUUUCUCACAUUCUCACUCCUCUCUUUUGAGAUUUUCGAAAUAUCAAAAGCCUAUUACAAAAAUAAGUAGCUAGUAUCAAAUCAAAUCCAAUCCAAUUCAAAAAGACAAAUAAUAAAAAUUGGGAGCUGGAGAGAGAAAAUGACCUGAUGCUACAAAUGCCCUCAAGCCUGGCACCAGUAAGAUAAUUUCAUAUGAACAGUACCUAGAUAAUUUAACAAAGAUAGUAGUCUUUGCAUGGAUAGAAAAUAUUCAGGAAAAGUUAAUAAAAGAAUUCCUUUUAUUUUUUUAGUUGGGAUUGCAUGGAUAGAAUGGAUAGAAUAUUACUUAGAAAAACUUUUGUAUAAUUCACUGUAGCAUGUUUUGUAGUGUAAUGUAUUUAAGAUAAAUAAGUAGGGUAAAAAACAAAAAAGUUCCCUGUAAUAAGUUUAAUAUACAGAAAAGUCUCUUAUAGUUUCAAAAUAUACAAUACGAUACCUCAUGUUUUAAACUAAAUUGUAAAUGUGACGGAAUUCGUUAAAUUUAAUGGAAAUGACUUAUUGGAACCUAAAAAAAAAAAUUAUACCUAAUUUUUAUCAAAUAUACCUAUUCUACCCCUUAACCCUCAAUUCUCUCUAUUUAGAGAAUAAAACAAAUGAUUUUUUUGAGUUAUCUUUUACUUAAUUAUAUCAGCAUUUUGGUCAUUUCAUCCAUUUCUAUUAAGUUUAACAGAUUCUGUCACAUUUACAAUUUAGUUCAAAGUAUAAGGGGUCGUGUUAUAUAUUUUAAAACUAUGAAGGGCUUUUCUGUAUAAUAAGUUUAUGAGAUUUUUUUGUUUUUUACCCAAAUAAGUAAUUGUAAAACAUGUUUAAGAGCAAUUAAAAAAUAUAUAUAUAUAUUGUAAUGAUAUGUAACACAAGUGUCCCACAAAUUAGCUAUCAUUGCACAAGUAAAUCAGUAAGGGCAGAUUCACAUGUGAAUAUGUCUGGAAGUCUUCGCAGAAUCAAGACCUAUAUUAGCAGAUCUGAACGCGGUCUUGAUUUGUUGACCAAUAGUUCUGAACCACACAUUAUUAAAGUUCAUCAUACUGCGAACCGAGGACCAACUCUAAUUUCUUCCUUCUGUGUACAGGGUCAAGGAGCCUCUCUUCCUUACCUGAUAUUCUCAAGUUAAAGAAAAAGACUGAAAAUGGCAGAAACAGUUCUCUCUUUUGUGUUAGAUCAGCUCUCAAUUUUUCUGCGUGAAGAGGGCAGAUUAUUGGGAGGGCUUCGCCAAGAGGUUCAACUCAUCAGCGAUGAGUUGGGGCACAUGAGAGCUUUCGUGGGAGUGGCAGAAGCAAAAGAAGAAGGUGCUGAUCCCAGGCUCCAAGAAUGGAUCAAGCAAGUACGAUAAGCCGCUUAUGACACUGAAGAUGUUCUUGAUGAAUUCGUAGCUCGCUUUGCUCACCAUCAUGCAACAGGGUUCUAUGGCUCUUUUAGGAAAAUUUUCAACUCCGUGAAGACUUUGCGAGCUCGUCGUAAGGUUGCUGAGCAAAUACAGAGCAUCAAGGCCAGAGUAAAGAAUAUAUCUGAAGGGCGUCAGAGAUACCAAUCAGAAUUCGGCGGUACUUCCCAAGCGGCCGGGUCUCUUGCUGCUGUCAACAACACAUGGGUCUAUAGCAGGGAUGAUGCACUUCUCGUGGAAGAAGCUGAACUAGUUGGCAUUGACAACCCCAAACAACAGCUAAUUUCUCAACUACUCGAGGGGGAUGAUUCCCAACUCAAAGUUGUUUCUGUGGUUGGCAUGGGAGGACUCGGAAAAACUACCUUAGUCAAAAAAGUCCACGAAGAUUUAGAUAUUAGAAGGCAUUUCCCAGUUCGUGCCUUUGUAACUGUCUCUCAACCAUGCAACUUCCAGGAGCUCCUGAAAGACUUGACUCGGCAGUUACACAAUGAUUUGAAGAAACCAGUUCCGGAAUCGAUUGAGGCAAUGACUGCAUAUCAGCUGAAACUAUGUGUUAAAGAUUUUCUUCAACAAGCUGGAAGGUAUGCAAUUGUGUUCGAUGAUGUAUGGGACGUGGAAUUCUGGAAUGCGAUUAGAUUUGCACUGCCCGAAAAUGGCUAUGGCAAUCGCGUCAUGCUAACAACACGAAAGGCCGAUGUAGCCUCUGCUUCUUGUAACAAAUCUCAAGAUUAUGUCUACAAAAUGGUGGCACUAUCUUUCGAAGAUUCAUGGACCCUAUUUUGCAACAAAAUUUUCAAAGGAAAUGGUUGUCCUGCCCAUCUAACAGAUGUUGCAAAAGGUAUAUUGGGGAAAUGUGAGGGAUUGCCCCUUGCGGUUCUUGCAAUCAGUGGGCUUUUGGCUUUGAAAAAUUUGAAUAUUGCAGAGGAAUGGGAGAUGGUUCGACGCAGCCUAGUGGGUGAAUUAGAAGGCUCUGGUAUGCUGGACAGGGUCAAAAAGAUACUUUCUCUCAGUUACAAUGAUCUGCCCUGCCAUCUUAAGACCUGUUUGUUGUAUUUAAGCAUUUACCCAGAGGAUUUUGAGAUACGUUGUCAUAGACUUGUUCAAUUAUGGUCAGCUGAAAGAUUUGUAGGUGAGAGAGAAGGAAUGACAAUGACAGAUGUAGGCUACAAUUACCUCAGAGAACUUGUCAAUAGGAGCCUAAUUCAAGUGAUUGAAGGUUUUUAUGAAGGAAUCCCCUACACUUGUCGAAUCCAUGACCUAGUGCGAGAAGUUGUUCUUUCCAAGGCAAGGGAACAAAAUAUGAUCGCAAUUACUACUGGACAAUACACAAAGUGG